CUUUUUGCAACAACAACCCCAACAGUCGGUCCAAGGUGUCUCCCAACCCCAACAACAAUUGCAGCAGGAGCAAGUCGGACAAUGUUCUUUCCAACAACCUCAACCACAACAACUUGGUCAACCACAACAGGUACCACAGAGUGUUUUCUUGCAGCCACACCAGAUAGCUCAGCUUGAGGCGACGACUUCCAUUGCGCUACGUACCCUACCAACGAUGUGCAAUGUUAAUGUGCCGUUAUUCGACAUCAUGCCAUUCGGCGUUGGCACCGGAGUUGGCGUCUAAUGAUAAGAAAAGGUCUCGAGAAAUAUAUAGUUGCAUCAGCGUUGUUUAAUCGAUGUAUAUGUCGAUGUAGCGGUGACAAAUAAAGUGUCACACAACCUUAUGUGUGACCGGCCCAAACUUGUUGUUUAAAUUCUGGAAUAAAUAUAAAUAAAGCUUUAUCUAGACAAUAUUCAUAUUGACGUUGUCUGGACGUCGACUUGAGUGCCACACUUGCAAGUUCAUAUGGUCGUCUUGCCUGGUGAGAACUUCAACGUGGUGCAUUAAUUAAUUAUUCAUGCAUUGCAACCUGGUGAUUGUAAAAUUUUGGUUUUAGUGAAGCAUGGACUUACAUAUAUAAAACUCUUUAGUGGUUGGAAAUUUGGGAUGUUAUUUUUUUUAUUGGUUUGUAUCGAGGUCCAAGGGUACAUGCCAUUGUCUACAAAAACAAGCAUGCCUAUUUUUCGAGAAAAAGGACAUAUUUUCCUUUAACUUAAGAUCAGUUAUUUAUCAACAUACACAAGUGGAUGUUGUACACAACACGCCCAAAGGAAUAGCAGCAAACAAAACCCAUAUCAUAUGGGGUUGACCUGAGAUCUGAUUUGGGCAUGCGGCUUGACUCGACGGCAAACAAUCACCCAACAAUUCUCGAUCGAGAGCAACUACAACACAGUCACAAUUCACAAGCUAGUGUUCCCCUAGCACUCUACCAUAGCAAAGCAGCCAUUUGGGAUGAUGCAUAUUUAUCAUCCAACAACCUUCCCCAGGGCUCCAAACAACAGACUGCAGACAGUUUUAUCAACAACAUUCGACAUGCCAGCAAAAUCUCCCCAGUAACCAACACUUCAUUCAAAUGUACCAUCAGUGUUCAUUCAAACAGAUACCUGAUAGAUGCUGAAGGAGAUGACUUGAUUCACAUUACAUAUGUCUGAAUCUGAACAAGAUAGAAAUCAAAGUUCAUGACGACUACCUGAAAAGUUUGUCAACAAGUUGAAGCCGUAUUAAUUCCUCCCAGGCCUGCCAAACUGAAUGACUACCUGAAAAGACAGACACACUUUGCAUCUACAUCGACUCUCUGCUCGAAAUGGUGUUCUUUUGCUUCAGAAUCUCCCCUCAAGUUCCUGAGAUCCAUCCACGGAUGUCGUUCACAUUGUUCGCCAUGGCCUCUGAUGAUAAAUAGCCUCUUGAGGACCCUCUCGCACCUGUAAGGAAUCAUCAUCGUUUUGCAAGAAAUAUAUGUAGCGUGCUCACAAACUCUGAAAAAGAACACGGUUCCAUUGCUAAAACAGCUCAUGAAAGACAUCACCAUUGAAAUCAAAUAUAUAAUCGCACAUCAAAACACUACCAGAAAACUCAUAGCAUGUUCCUUCAAACAGGCCUCCAAACUACUGAGUGCAGAAUUUUCCUCAACAACUUAUAACUUUAUUAGUUCCUACUGUGAAAGCUGGAGGUCUUCUCAACUAAGUAACGACGCGAAAACCAGAUACAUAGAUAGCUGCAAGAACUGGCAAAACCUGGUUGAAUGCUUGAGAAAGUUGGAACAUAAAAUUUGGAAGAACUGGCAAAACCUGUAGGUGUUUGCACAAUAGCUCUUCGAUCAUAUGACCGCCCAUGCUAGAACCUAGAACCUUGAUCGGAUUUCCUGCAUGUGCUAAUGGUUAGGAAAAUGCCACAGAUGACUCCUGCUAUCACUACAAGAAAUAUGGUCAACAAUGACUCUCCUUUUUGGUCAUUGAAUCGUCAUUAUUUUCAAUUUAUGACCUUCUUAUGACCAAAAUGAGGAGGUCAACAGUUGGCCGUCAAGAACGAACAAACUUGACCUUUCUAAAGUUUUGGUCACUGUUUUCAUGACCAAAACAAUUAGGUCAUGGCCAAAAUUUUGGUCAUUACCCAUGUGCCUCCUCCAUGUAGGAUUUGACAUGGCUAAGGUCAUGUGGCAUCAUCCACGUGGCAAACAUAUGACAUGGCAGAAAUAGUGACAUGUACCACAUGUCAGAUAUGACAUGGCAUGGGUUGGGAUGCAAUAAAAUCAAUAUAAAUUUUUACAAGCCCAAUCAGCCAAGCCCAAAAAGUGUGGCCUAUAAAAGAAUUGCAUUUUGUUGGGCCAGAGGUUAUAUGCAAUACAUUAUUUCCACAACAUUAUUCUGAUCCAUCUACUGUACCAACAUUAUGUGAUGUGCACAACACAUUCAGCUACUGUACCAACUUUCAUUCCCCAAUUUAAAAUUACACAAAUAAAUUCCAAACCAAAAUUGCACAUCCCAGACAAAAGGUAUUACACAAAACAUAUCAUAUUCAGCACUAAAAGAAGAAAGUGACAUCAUAUAACGACAGUGUGGCUCCAUUGUCUUCCUCUUCUAGAAUAUUGAGACAUCCUGGCACUCAAAGGGACAACACAUGAGAGGCAAAUUAAACAUAACAUGAAAUAUGAAAAAAUGCAACAAGCGGAGCAGACUCCAAACAACAUAUAAGCAAGUCAUGGAUGCAAGAAGUGAUCAUUUUAGGGGCAUUAAUGUGCACGAACCAAAGUAGGUUUCUUCCAUAAAUCAGGUUCCGAGUAUUAAAUACUAGUAAAAUCAAAUUCAUAUCAAGCUGAUGUGCUAUGUGUGUUGAUUCCAUAUUCCGCAUCCAGCUAACUUUUGCAUCAGAAGAAAAAGAAGAACGUGUUGGCAUCAUGACUAUAGUUCAAUCCCGAUAUAACAAACUAGGGCAACAGUUGCAUACAACUAAUAAAGGGCUUGUCAGAUUACUUAAAUUUGUAGAAUUAAUAGGUGCCCAAAGCUUAUAUGCAAAGAGACUAAGCAAAAAACAAAAUCUUCUCCUAUUUUGACGGAUAUCAGUCACAAGAGAGAAAAUGGAGGAUUACCAGGUUGGAUGAGUGCACAUGUGAACAUGCAAUACUUGUCGUCGCAUCCGGAAAGCUCAUAGUUGAUGUGCUCCUAGAUCUAAAUCGCCCUCCCUACACACACAACCAGAGAUCCUUACUCUGCUGAGAAACAAUACACGGUAAAUAAAAUGGUGUGGUUUAUACCUAUAAAAGAAUAAAACAUUCACUAUUUUAAAAUAAUUAGCUACAUGCACAGUACAUAAAUCAUACAUCCACAUAUGUGGUAUUUACAUCAUACAUCAACAUGCGUGGUAUUUUUCAUAACGUUGUUUCAUACUUUGCACAAACAGCAACAAGUCAACAAAGAUGCAAUAUAAAUCAGGUUUUAUCAAACUAGUAUUAAUGUAUACGGGGCUGCCACAAAAUGCUUUACAUUCGUGAGUAUCCAGUAGAAUAGAAACAGAGUUGGUGCUACUACCGAUGUUGUUGGUUGGUUGUCCAAAUACACUGGUUUAUGUUACUACUCGAGCAGGUAGGGUAGGCACCCCAUGGAAGCAUAUGAGCAGACCUUACACCACGACUUUAUAUCUAAUAAAAACACGACGAGUUUAUUUCAACCACGUUUUAAUAAAAGAUACUAAUCCAAUAGAAACACGACGAGUUUAUUUAUCACUAAAGUGAACGCAGACCUUACACAACGACUUUAUAUCUUGAUUAACCUUGAAUCGUGGAGUAUAUUAUCAAUGUACAAGCCAAAUUCAUUAUCAAGAGUCACCAUAUAUUUGUGAUUAAAGUCAUCAGAAUAGAAUUUAGCUAAUUUCAGCAACUUCUCCUUACCAAAACGACGGAAUAAUUGGCUAGGGAUCAAAGCAGAUAUGCAUGGAAGCAACUCGAAAUUUACCUCAUUAGCAUCAUCAUCAUACAAAUCAUCAGCAACAAAUCAGUUCUAUGCCUUACCCUCUCAUCUGCUCCACGCCUCUCGGUUCUAUCUCCUGCAGCCACCACCACCCAGUCGGUCAUCAAUCUGCAACCGCCUGACCACUGGACGGCAUCUAUAGUCAGCUCAAACAACAAAUAUGCCCGCCACUCUGUUUGCACAAGAAUUCAGUCAAAAAUUCAGUAUACAUGCAUACAAUGACAAAAAAAAAGAAUCAGAAUGCAUGAGCAUACUGUAAAAAAAUUCAGACUGCACCAUCGCAUAAGCAUACUUUCGAAAAAUUCGGAAUGCAUAACCAUGCUGACAAAAAUUCAGAAACAAACAUCAUCCAAACUAAGCUGGUAUGAAUUUGAAAUACACUCAAAAGGAGUUUCCUUUUUAUUCAGAAACAAGUCAUUUACACCGUCCAACAACUCUCCAAUACAAAAAAGAAUCAGAAUGCAUGAGCAUACUGUAAACAAAAAUCAGAAUGCACCAUGCAUAAGCAAACUGUCAAAAAAUUCAGAAGGCAUAACCAUGCCAGCGGUCCUGCAUCGGCCAAAUCUAGGAGCAUGACACAUAUCCCUUGCAAUUCCACGAACCUAAACUACGCAGUAAGGAUUGGUGGGGUUACCUCCUAAUUGGUACAUGAACUCCAUCCUAUCAAGCACCGGAUUCCGUGAUCACAUGUGCUCGCGAGCAGAACAACCGCGUCCUAUACUAUCACGAAUUCCAUAUGUGCAUUUGAUGUGGCAUGAACCAGAACCAGAACCAUAAAUUCAAAAGAAACAAAUUCAUAUGAUGAGAUGAAUGUAUCAGUUCACGAAGAACAAACCUAGUUUCAGAGUUGGGGAUGAUGAAUUGACAGGGUGAAGCUGAUGCAGACCUACAGUAUCGAGUAGGGAGCCACCAGUGUCCAGCGAUGUUGGUAGCCAGGUCGGAGCAAUGGAGGUCGAGCGUCACGGCAUGCGGUGGCCGAGACGACGGUCGCAGCAUGCGGUGGCCAAGACGACGGUCGCAACAUGCAUGACAAGAUCGAGCCACUCCAUGGCGUCCGGGCAGGGGAGGAAGCGACCCUGCCGUCCAUCGCGUUCUAGUGCUUGGGAAACAAUGGAUCUGAGAUUUAAGAGGGGAUGUGGUGAGGAGGAGAAGGAAGGAGGUAUGUGACGAGGGAAGAGAGGGGAUCUGACUCACCGGAGCAACGACGGGGCCACGCUGGCGACACGCUGGCCCAAAUCCUAGUGGAUGCGAUAGAUACACAUGGUCACAGGAGGACGCGCCCACCGGAUCCAGUCGAAGGAGAUGGAGGAGCGGAUCGAGGGGAUCAUGUGGGGGUGAUGGGUGCUUCCUCCGGCCCGAGAAAUUGAUCGGGAUCGACCGCAAGAGGUGGUGGUGGUGGCGGCGGCGGUAGCGAGGAGGGUCUCUGGCGAGGUGCUGGGUGGCGAGGAGGGUCUUUAGAAUAGAUGGAUGGAUGGAUGGAUGUGUGAUGGUUGAGCAUGGAGUCAUCGAUCCGUGUCCAAAAUGAAUGAUCAAUGAGAAUAGAGUUUAUGUAAUCGUGUUGGAAAUAGGUACUUUUGUAAAGAACGUACCAAGUAUUUUUUGCAAAAUUAAGCUUCAUGUUAUUGAUGUGGUUGCAUCUAUCAUGUCAUCGAAAGUUUUCAUUAUUUUUUAACGAAAAUUUUGUUUUCAUUUUUCGAGUGGUCAAAAUGAGUUUUGUGUGAAGGACCUACCAUAUAUUUGUUGUAAAAUUGAAGAAAAUAAAUUUUAUAAUAUACUAGGACAUAUUUAAUGUACAAUUGAAGCUGGACUCACAUCGUAGAUUGGAUUGAUGUGCAAUUUUGAUGAGGAUGAUAAAUUGGGCAAAUGAAAGCACUAUACAAAUUUGAUAGCAUUUGGAUAAAUAGAAAUGAUACUUCCUUGACAAUGCUCUCUAUUGAACUAAAAAUUGGGAAAAUAUUGAGGGAAAUAGGAUACAUUAAAAUGAGAUACACUUUGGUGGAGGGAUAUUUUAUGGGCAGUGUCAUGUCCUGGUAAGUUGCGAGAAAUUAUAAAGCAAUACAAAAUAUAGUUGCUUCACAAACUGAAAAUAUUACGAGAAACAAAGAUUGGAUUGUGAGCUUAGAUGGAUUGUUAGAUGGGGACAAAUUUUUGUGGAGAGCUAUGAUUUGGGCAUAUAGGAUAUGUGGUAAAAAUUCAGCUCGUUAGGAGAUGCCUAGUAAGUACUUCCUUCACAAAGCUUCUAGCUGAACAAAAAACUUUGGAAAUUUGCUGAGGAUGAUUUAAUAGGCAAAUAGAGCUAAAGCUUUUCAUGAGGCAAUGAUUUGCGGGCAUAAAUAGAGCUACGCAUGCUAAUGACCAUUUUGUGCAAUGAGAUUAUGACCUUCUUGAGAGAGAUGGUCAAAAUUUUAUAGGGUUUGGACCCUCUUAGACACCUCAUGACCUUUUUGUAUAUUUUAGUCAUAGAUCUAUGACCAAUAAAACCGCCGUCAUUAUUUUUUGUCAUAAACGAACUUAUUUCUUGUAGUGUAUGUAUCUGUAUAACAACAAUAGGGAGAUCAAAAUGCAUAGAAGCGAAAUGGCAAGGAAAUCACCAACCUGCAAAUUAUUGAGUUACGCAGUGUAUGCGGUAUGCACUAUCAAUGACAAUGUAUGGACCAAGUUAGAAUUAGAAUGAACAAAACACCAAAACAGUAAUCACUUACAGAUUAUGCUUUUGUAAUAAAAGGAUGCACCGUUUCCUGUAAUUUUAUCAAAGGAAAAUGUGGCAUGCCUAUAAACUAAAAUAAACAACAGUAAGAAAAAAUCAUUAUUUUAAAAUGUUGGUAGCGGCUGUCAGGUCGGCGGUGUGAAACCGUAAAGAAGAAGGUACCUGUGUUUUUGUGCUGAUUUUGCAAGUUUAUCUGCAGUUUCACACUAGAGACACAGUAGUUGUGAAUUAUAGCCUGGUAAGAGCAGCCGCACAUGAUGAUCCUCAGUUAAUUGGCCGCACCUUCCAGCCGCGGUAGCACCUGCGACAGGUGCGUGUCCGCGUCGAUGAACCUGCUGUCCGCAACAUUCAGUGACGCCGCCAGGCCGAGGUAUACAGUCCGGUAAUGCCACCAUCCACUUGUGCCAUGCGCUCCCGUCUCAGGGCGUGAACUGGCGGAGCCUGUGUUCAUGUAAUAUUGCACACAUAGGACAUCGAUGCCUCAGUCCCGUCCAGGUACUAUGAUGACGUCUUCCGGAAUCUAACCGACGAUUCCCUUCCUUUGCGCUGCUGAAAAUGACCUUUAGUGCUAGUUGGUGGCUGCAACCGGGACUAAAUGUUAUUUUCAGCAACCCAAAGGACGGGAAGCAGAGCCCUAUAAUCCCGGUUGCUGACCUCAGCCGGGACUAAAGGGGGGCCUUUAUAGGCAGAGGUGGCUUGGACGGCUCAAGGAUCAUGCCACCACUAGAUGCCGAGCGGCCGGCGCGGCGGUGCGGCCACGCGUGGGAGUCAUGUUAGUGGCACAUCUACGGUACAUCAUGAUAUUUGACGAUAGCAAACUGAAUUAAAUUGUUUGAGUGUCAAUCGAUCUUAUCCAUAAGAUCAGACAGAAUAGACGGUCGGGUUUCAUUUCAGGUUACUGAAAAAAGAGAAGAGAAUCAAAACUUCAAGCGACCUUGCAUAUACUCCCUCCGUUCCUAUAUAUAAGUUUAUUUAAAGUUUCUAUUAGGGAACUACAUACGGAGCAAAAUGAGUCAAUCAAUAAUUUGAUGUAUGUCUAUAUACAUCCGUAUGAAGUUACCUAGUUAAAUCUCAAAAAGACUUAUAUUUAGAGGGAAGUAGUAGGGAAGCACGAGAAUCUUCUUUGUUAGCACCACAAUUUUAUACAGAUGGUCAAUGUGCACUUCCUUUUCAAAUUAACACUUACGAUUGAUAUAUUUUAUGUAGUACAGUACUGCAAGUCAAACUAUACGUGAAGUACUACGUAGGAUUACAUAUGCUGUUCACUGUAUCCGAUUGGCACCUCCGGUGGCGGGUCCAAUCAACACAUGCGGUGCAUUAAUUGUAGGGCGCUGCAACUACAACAUGCAGCUCAGCUUAUUGGGUGGCAGCAGUUGAAGUUUCCAUUUUAACAUUGCCCGUGUCAGGCUAUGGUAAGUAGACUGCACUUCCAGUUUGUUUGGUCAUUGGGUCCUGUUACUUGUACAAGAACAAUGGAUAGAUACCAAGCUAGCCGGAAUAAUAAGAUGCCGUCAACAUCAUCAACGGGAAAUAUAAAAAUGUGAAAAAAAGAUGAAAAAUAGGAAGAAUCUGUAUACUUGGAUCUUCCAAACUGAUAUUAUACCAAUGGUUCUGCUGACUGCUUCCAGGCCUGAACUACUCUAAUUCCAACUAACUUAUCAAGCGAAAGUAUAAACGAAAUUGGUACAAAUUUGAUUCUCUUUUAUUUCAAAACUAGAGGUAAACAUUUCCGAAAACUACGUGAUCUAUCCAAGGUAUUAAUCUGUCAAACAUCCAAUCAAUUCGUUUUGGUAGAGACAGUAAGAGAAUUCUGCUGCCACCCUUAAAAAUGCGCUUCCAUUUCUUAAGCUAAGAUGAUGAGAUUUCUUUUCAACUCCUCCAACAAAACUGAGAGUUUGAAAAUAAAUUUUCCUAACUGAACGUGUAGAUUUUCCAUGCCGGACCCACAUAUCAGCCGCUGGUGCACAUAACUGGUUGUACUAUUCUAUUACUUAGAUCAAGUCAAUGGAACUUCUCAAUUAUUUAGAACUUCGAUCCGCUUCUGCGUGCUAUAUAGAUCAUACUAAGCCUGUUUCUUCAUGGAUCCAUCUGAAGCAUCUAAUCUCACAAAUUCGUGGUCUCUUACCAUUGUUGCAGGGUGGACGUGACUGGACGCAGUGGUAAGCCCCAAGCUCCUUCGUGAGUGUCCUAGAUUACUAGCACAUUAACUUGUCAUUUAUUCGGUAAUUGUAGUAUUUCGUUCAAGUUUUUUGGAGCUAUAUACCUUCCAAAUGCAAUAAUACAUACAUUUUUUUCACUCUAUUUUCUACAAGGGGCGGCUAUGGAUAAGGUUGAACUGGCUAACGUUGCAAAGCCGGCUGAUGAGCCCACUCUAGGAGCAGCUUCGUCCUCAAUAUCAGUUGCUCGAGGAAUGGAAGGUAUGGAUCCAGUUAGAGAAUGUAUGUAGCUCGAACCAAUAUAUAUCCGUUCGUACUCGUACCUAUCUUUGGAUUUUUCUCCUUGGAGCUUCUUGAUUAGCAAGUUGAACCACCGACCUUUUAGAGUUUUAGUUCACAAUGGAACAAAGGUGAACAAGCUAGCUGCUAUGCUAACAAUGCUUGGAUAUUAGCUUCCUUCAUAUAAUCUAGUUUCCUUCCUUUGCUCAGUAGGCGAUCGAAAAUUCGAUUUGCUUCUUGCUGUCCGGUUGCUAUGAGCUUCUGCCUUCUUAUUGAUUUCACCUAGUGCAGCCGCCAUUAUUGAAUCCACUGGGAGCUUCUUGCUACUUAUUUUGCGCAGUUGUUAUUUUUAUGAGGACGGUCUACUGUUGUUGUGUGCGUCACACUAGAUAGAACUGUCUGAAGCAUUUUAUUUUUUGUUUUUCUUACUGACUUUUGGUAAUGUAUUCAUAAUAUGCGCCUCCGGAUAGUAUAGGGGUCAAAAAUGUACUUUUCCAUCAUCUAAAAAAUUAUAACUUUGAUUUGUGAUAGCUUGACUAAGAGUACAGUUCCUGUAAAAAAAUCUUCGUAAAAAUGGUUUUACGGGGUACCCGUAUAGUGGAAGUUGACAGCAGGUGAGAUGUUUUUUAGUUCCCCUCAAACUUCCCCCAAAAGUGGUUUUUGGCGAUGGCAUGACGACGACGGCAAACUCUAGCAGCGGGCGGGCGGCACGAGCGUACUCCGGUGAUGGUUAGGUGACGUGAAACUUUUUUUGGAAAGGCCAUCUUCGCAUAGACUGAGGCAAUGUUUUGGAGAAAUUACAGGACCCGCAAAAAUAAUUGCACGUUUCAGAAAAGUAUUCAAGAGCUUUUUUCAAUCCAACUUCACCUAAACAAUGGUUAUUUUCCGAUAUAUGGGAACUGUUAGAGAUGCUGUUAAGACGGACCUAGAAAUAUCGAUAUUUGUGGAGAAAAGUGAGCACUCAACUAGGAACACGUACAUGAUAUAAAUUGUGAAUUUACACUUUACUAUUUGGGAAUAAUUAAGUUGUCUACGCUAGUACUAAAUCAAAAUUUAGUUGGCAUUGAAGGUGGCACCGUGAUUCAAAUGCUAAACAAAGAAGGCUAGCGAUUUAUUCUUGGUUUCUACCAGAUGCUACAUCUUAAGCACCUUCAGAGCGUAAAUAAUUGUGAUCAUAUACAUGUAAAAUGAUAGCAAGCCCGGUGUUGUUGGUUUGAAUAAUGUCGGCUGCAUGUCGGCGUUCCGUGCCACCAGUAAGGUGGCUUCACGGUCUGACAUACAGGCCCCAUGACAGGCUGUCAAUGCACAUCACCACCCGUGGAGGACUCACGAACCAAGGCACAGAGAAUGAAUGACUUGAAAGUAGGAUUAUAACUACGAUGGUUAACGAGCAAAGGGCAUGCAGCUACGUCAGCAAUGGAAGCCACCUUCUUGCAAGACGACUCAUUCGGUAGCAUUUGUUAGCAUGUAUCAGUUGUAUGCUCCUUGCAUACAUGACCUAGUUGGACCUGGGUGAGCCGAUACAAGCUACUAACUAUAGUGUGGGCAUAGUUUGGUUGCCUGCCUCCUCCCUAGCCUGCUUGUGAAGAAACACAAGCACAAUGUUUGGUUAUGGGCUUGAGGGGAAUGUUGCGUGCCCGAUAUUUUGUUAGAUGCAACACAUUUUGUGUGGUAACCUCCGAGUGAUGAGGUUACCAGCACACUGAGAACCAGGAGAUGGUAAAAACCAUAACUUAACUCAAGAAAAGUCGUAAAAAAAAACAAUUCAAUGAUUAAUUGGAACAACCCAUGCAGAGAAAACUUCCUACAUAUCCAUGGGAAAGGCCUCAUCAUGCUUCUCGNNNNNNNNNNNNNNNNNNNNNNNNNNNNNNNNNNNNNNNNNNNNNNNNNNNNNNNNNNNNNNNNNNNNNNNNNNNNNNNNNNNNNNNNNNNNNNNNNNNNUGAUGAUAUCAUGCCAGCUUGGAACCUUUUCAGAGUUCAUUUGAAAUGCUUUUCAAUUUCAUGGUUUUUAGCUCAAAAUAAUCAGUAAAUGCAUGAAAAAUAACAAAUGAAGUCAGAAAGGGUUGUAAAUCGAUGAUGUGGCUUUGAACGGUGCAUUUUGAACACAGAAAAACUAUGGAGUUCAAAUAAGUUCAAAAAAAUGAAAUCCCUUUGUAACAAACGAGUUUCCGUAUGAAACCCUGAUACUUCCAAAGAGAUUGUCCGUUUUGUACACGAAGUGCAUUCAGUUUUUGCCGUAACCCUCUCAACUUUCUCGCACAUGCUAUGUGGGUGAAAUGAUGAUACCAUGCCAACUUGGAACCUUUUCAGAGUUCAUUUCAAAUUCUUUUCAAUUUCAUGGUCUUCAAGCUCAAAAUAAUCAGUAAAUGCAUGAAAAAUAACAAAUCAAGUCAGAAAGGGUUGUAAAUUGAUGAUGUGGCUUUGAAUGGUGCAUUUUGAACACAGAAAAACUAUGGAGUUCGAAUAAGUUCAAAAAAAUGAAAUCCCUUUGUAACAGACGACUUUCCAUAUGAAACCCUGAUAUUUCCAAAGAGAUUGUCCGUUUUGUACACGAAGUGCAUCCAGUUUUUGUUGGAAUUAUGCCCUAGAGGCAAUAAUAAAUAUAGUUAUUAUUAUANNNNNNNNNNNNNNNNNNNNNNNNNNNNNNNNNNNNNNNNNNNNNNNNNNNNNNNNNNNNNNNNNNNNNNNNNNNNNNNNNNNNNNNNNNNNNNNNNNNNCCCGCUCCGGAUACAAAGCCUGAGCCUGCCACGGAUACAAAGCGGGAGUGUGCCACCAAGAACGCUCCGCCAACGAUUCCUAAGCCAGAGAGCACCCCAAAGCGCAAACGGUCGCCCCUCCCAAAGGUAUCUCAUGCUAAUAUUCCUAUCGGACCUUAUGAUCGUACCCCCGAGGAAAACGCCAGGAUAGCAAAGGAACAUCAUGAUGCGCAGAUGAAAAAGAAGGAACCCGAGCCCCGCCCGGAAUACACCUAGAAGCAAAUAGCAUUUGCAAAAUAAUUCACGACCCUUCCAUCACAAUAUGACUUACACCAUUAGCUUGAUGACUAUACACGCACAUUGCAGAAGGAAGUGAAAAAGAGCAGAUCACGUGCAAGCCCUCCACAUGACGUCGGCCAGCACAACACGAGUCCAUCUCGAUCACCGUCGCCGGACUUGGGUCGUCCGUCUCCGCCGCCGCCCGCUCCGGAUACUAAUUGGGAGCGUGCCACCAAGAACGCUCCGCCGAUGAUUCCUAAGCCACAGAGCACCCCAAAGCGCAAACAGUCGCCCCUCCGAAAGGUACGUUAUGCUAAUCUUCCUAUCAGCCCUUAUGACUUACACCAUAAGCCUGAUGACUAUACACGCACAUUGCAGAAGGAAGUGAAAGAGAGCAGAUCACGUGCAAGUGCAAGUGGGAGCAAAUCAAGUUCAACUACAAGCAAGAAAAAAUCAGACGUUCCUCAGCUUGGACAACAGGCCAAACAGUCGAUCCCACCCCUCAAGGUGUUAACCGAGAAUGUUCCCCCUCCGGUGGAGGGGCUAGCUUUAGAAAGACCAAAGCAGUUGGCGGCUGCAUGUGGUGUCUCGGUUGAAGAAUUGCUUUCUUCCCAAGAUGACAAGAUACCCAAGGCUGUGGUAGCCCCUAAGCCACAGCUUGUGAUGGGUAAGCCUUUGGUCAGCAAAGAUGAUCUCCCAACAAAUAUGCGUUACUUGCAUCAAUGGUACUUAAGUGAAUCAAAGAAUGGGAGAACGANNNNNNNNNNUUGAGUGUCCCACAGGAGUACUACGGCCGCCCCGAACAAAUCCAUAUCGACUUUGAUGAACUCUUCCAGAUGUACAAUGGCGACGCCCUCGACAAAUCGCUUAUGAGUUGCUAUUGUCUGUUAGUUUUUCAAUUCGUUGUCUACAUAUAACUUGUUUAGUUAUUUCAAUUNNNNNNNNNNCCGAGUGUCCCACAGGAGUACUACGGCCGCCCCGAACAAAUCCAUAACGACUUUGAUGAACUCUUCCAGAUGUACAAUGGCGACACCCUCGACAAAUCGCUUAUGAGUUGCUAUUGUCUGUAAGUUUUUCAAUUCGUUGUCUACAUAUAACUUGUUUAGUUAUUUCAAUUCAUUGUCUAUAUAUAACUUGUACUCUAUUAUGCAGAAUGAAUAUUCUGGAUUGUAAAUGUAAGAGCAUCCUAAAUAUUGGGUUUAUUGACCCAGAUAAAAUACAUAUAGCGACGCUAACUAAUUAUCCCAAGGAGAUGGAGGAAAACCUUCUAAGGUUUCUAACAGAUCAAAAUUUCUUUGACCACAUACUGUUUCCAUACAACUUCAGGUGAGGGUGUUUACUCUGUUGUGUCCAUUCACUUAUAAGUGUAAUUGAUAAGUUACUGACACACAUAUAUAUAUACAUGUGCAACUUUCCUUGGAUUCUGUUGGAUAUUCAAAUUGAUAAGGGAAGAGUUGAUGCCUUCGACCCAUUAUCGAGACCCUUGAAACAGUUCCAAAGCCUGCAGGACAUGCUCCAAGGGUAAUUUCAAUCAUUCUUGCGCUCUAUCGGUCCUUUCGAUGAUUUUCUGAUAUAUCAAUUAAUGAAAAACUUAGCAAAUCAUUAUCCUUGUCGGGCAGGGUUUGGAAGCGGUUCAAGUGCGUGACNNNNNNNNNNUCUCUUUCGAUGAUUUUCUGAUAUAUCAAUUAAUGAAAAACUUAGAACAUCAUUAUCCUUGUCGGGCAGGGUUUGGAAGCGGUUCAAGUGCGUGACUCCCGGUAUCGAGUAUGAGAAGCUGACCUUUAGAGCGGUUCAGGUAAGUAGUAGUAUGAUAUACUUCUAUUUUCAAUACAUUUAUGAUGCUAGAUUAUUAUUUUGAUGAUAUAUAUUCUAUUCUCGUAAAGUGCGACCAGCAGCCACGGGGAACGCNNNNNNNNNNCAUGAGAAGUUGACCUUUAGAGUGGCUCAGGUAAGUAGUAGCAUGAUAUACUUCUAUUUUCAAAACAUUUAUGAUGCUAGAUUAUUAUUUUGAUUAUAUAUAUUCUAUUCUCGUAAAGUGCGACCAGCAGCCACGGGGAACGCAUCUAUGCGGAUACUAUGUUUGCGAGACCAUUCGCACGUUUAACUCUGAGCACAAGGAUCACAGAUUCGACGUAAGCAAUGAACAUUCACACCUCUAUUUUUACCCGUCAUUCUUUGUUAUCAUGAUUGAUAUUCAUAUUCAUCUCCUCUUCUUAUAUAGCACACGGCCAUGAGGACGAAGGUCCUACCAGAGCAACGCGCGAUUGCUGUUGCAGAGGAGCUUGCGACCUUUCUGAGGACGGAAGCUAUAGAUGACAAAGGACGAUUUAGUGUNNNNNNNNNNNNNNNNNNNNNNNNNNNNNNNNNNNNNNNNNNNNNNNNNNNNNNNNNNNNNNNNNNNNNNNNNNNNNNNNNNNNNNNNNNNNNNNNNNNNGCCGAGUUUCGUGGUCUAUAGCGCACUGUUUUGGGGUCUCGGGUCGAUAUUUGAUGCACCAUGAACCCUGUGCACGACCAUCGAGAUGUCGCAAAAACUUGUUGUUUUUGUCGUUUCGGGCUAGUUUCAUGUGCUCUAGCGCAGUGUAUUAGGAUCCCGGCUCGAUUUUUUAUGCUCCAUGAACCCUAUUCACCCCUAUUGAUACGUCGCAAAAACUCGUUGUUUUGGGGUGCCGUGUCGAUUUUUGAUGCUCCAUGAACCACGUGCACUGCUAUCGAGACGUUGCAAAAACUCAUUGUUUUUGUCGUUUCGGAUCUGUUUCGUGGGCUAGAGGGCACUGCAUUGGGGUCCCGGGUCGAUUUUUGAUGCUCCAUGAACCGUGUGUACGACUAUCGAGACGUCCCAAAAACUCGUUGUUUUUGUCGUUUUGGCCGAGUUUCGUGGUCUAUAGCACACUGUUUUGGUGUUCCGGGUCGAUUUGUUAUCGACCAUGAACCAUGUGCACGCCUAUCGAGACGUUCAAAAAACUCGAUGUUUUUGUCGUUUCGGGCGUGGUUCGUGGGCUAUAACGCAGUGUUUUGUGGUCCCGGGUCAAUUUUUGAUGCUCCAUGAACUGUGUGCACGGCUAUCGACACAUCGAAAAAGCUUGUUGUUUUUGUCGUUUCGGGUCAGUUUCAUGGGCUAUAGCGCACUGCAUUGGGGUCCCAGGUCGAUUUUUGAUGCUCCAUGAACCCUGUGUACGGCUAUCGAGACGUCGCAAAAACUCAUUGUUUUUGUCGUUUUGGCCGAGUUCCGUGGUCUAUAGCACACUGUUUUGGGGUCCCGGGUCGAUUUUUGAUGCACCAUGAACCUUGUGCACGGCUAUCGAGUCGUCGCAAAANNNNNNNNNNNNNNNNNNNNNNNNNNNNNNNNNNNNNNNNNNNNNNNNNNNNNNNNNNNNNNNNNNNNNNNNNNNNNNNNNNNNNNNNNNNNNNNNNNNNNNNNNNNNNNNNNNNUUUGCCGUUUUGGCCGUGUUUGGUGAUCUAUAGCAUACUGUUUUGGGGCUCAGUGUCGAUUUUUUAUGCACCAUGAACCAUGUGCACGGCUAUCGAGACGUUGCAAAAACUCGUUGUUUUUGUCGUUUCUGGCAUGUUUCGUGGGCUAUAACGCACUGUUUUGGGGUCUCGGGUCGAUNNNNNNNNNNNNNNNNNNNNNNNNNNNNNNNNNNNNNNNNNNNNNNNNNNNNNNNNNNNNNNNNNNNNNNNNNNNNNNNNNNNNNNNNNNNNNNNNNNNNCGGUGCACCAUGAACUGUGUGCACUAGUAUCGAGACGUUGCAAAAACUCGUUGUUUUUGUCGUUUCGGGCCUGUUUCGUGGGCUAUAACACACUGUUUUGGGGUCUCGGGUCGAUUUUUUAUGCUCCGUGAACUCUGUGCACUAGUAUCAAGACGUCGCAAAAGCUCGUUUGUUUUGUCGUUUCGGGCCAGUUCGUGGGCUAUAACGAACUGUUUUGGGGUCUCGGGUCGAUUUUUGAUGCUCCAUGAACUGUGUGNNNNNNNNNNUGAGACGUCGCAAAAACUCGUUGUUUUGGGGUCCCGUGUCGAUUUUUUAUGCUCCAUGAACCACGUGCACGGCUAUCGAGACGUCGCAAAAACUCGUUGGUUUUGUCGUUUCGGGCCAGUUUCAUUGGCUAGAGCGCACGGUUUUGGGGUCAUGGUUCAAUUUGUGAUGCUCCAUGAACCGUGUGCACGACUAUCGAGACAUCGAAAAAGCUCGUUGUUUUUGUCGUUUCGGGCCAGUUUCAUGGGCAAUAGCGUACUGCAUUGGGGUCCCGAGACGAUUUUUGAUGCUCCGUGAACCCUGUGUACGACUAUCGAGACAUUCAAAAAACUCGAUGUUUUUGUCGUUUUGGUCGAGUUUCGUUGUCUAUAGCGCACUCCAUUAGGACCCGGGUCCAUUUUUGACGCACCAUGAACCUUGUGUACGGCUAUCGAGACGUCGCAAAAACUCAUUGUUUUUGUCGUUUUGGCCGAGUUUUGUGGUCUAUAGCACACAGUUUUGGGGUCCCGUGUCGAUUUUUUAUGCUCCAUGAACCACGUGCACGGCUAUCGAGACGUUGCAAAAACUCGUUGUUUUUGUCGUUUCGGGCCUGUUUCGUGGGCUAUAACGUACUGCUUUGGGGUCUCGGGUCGAUUUUUGAUACUCCAUGAACCGUGUGCACUAGUAUCGAGACGUCGCAAAAACUCGUUGGUUUUGUCGUUUCGGGCCACUUUCAUGGGCUAGAGCGCACUGUUUUGGGUCCCGGGUCAAUUUUUGAUGCUCCAUGAAUCGUGUGCACGGCUGUCGAGACAUCGAAAAAGCUUAUUGUUUUUGUCGUUUCGGACCAGUUUCAUGGGCUAUAGCGCAGUACAUUAGGGUCCGUGGUCGAUUUUGAUGCUCCAUGAACCCUGUGUACGGCUAUCGAGAAAUCGCAAAAACUCGUUGUUUUUGUCGUUUUGGCCGAGUUUCGUGGUCUANNNNNNNNNNCCUGGGUCGAUUUUUGAUGCACCAUGAACCAUGUGCACGGCUAUCGAGACGUUCAAAAAACUCGAUGUUUUUGUCGUUUCGGGCGUGUUUCGUGGGAUAUAGCGUAUAGUUUUGGGGUCCCCGGUCAAUUUUUUAUGUUCCAUGAAUUGUGUGCACCACUAUCGAGACAUCGAAAAAGCUUGUUGUUUUUUUCGUUUCGGGCCAGCUUCAUGGGCAAUAGCGUACUGCAUUGGGGUCCCGAGACGAUUUUUGAUGCUGCAUGAACCCUGUGUACAACUAUCGAGACGUUCAAAAAAUUCGAUGUUUUUGUCGAGUUUCGUGGUCUAUAGCAUACUGUUUUGGGGUCUCGGGUUUAUUUUUUAUGCUCCAUGAACCACGUGCACGGCUAUCAAGACGUUGCAAAAACUCAUUGUUUUUGUCGUUUCGGGCCUGUUUCGUGGGCUAGAGCGCACUGUUUUUGGGUCGCGGGUCAAUUUCUGAUGCUCCAUGAAUCGUGUGCACGACUAUCGAGACAUGAAAAAAGCUCGUUGUUUUUGUCGUUUCGGGCCAGUUUCAUGGGCUAUAGCGCACUGUUUUGGGGUCGCGGGUCAAUUUUUUAUGCUCCAUGAAUAGUGUGCACGACUAUCGGGACAUCGAAAAAGCUUUUUGUUUUUGUCGUUUCGGGCCAGUUUCAUGGGCUAUAGCGUAAUCCAUUGGGGUCCCUGGUCGAUUUUUGAUGCUCCAUGAACCCUGUGUACGGCUAUCAGACGUCGCAAAAACUCGUUGUUUUUGUCGUUUUGGCCGAGUUCCGUGGUCUAUAGUACACUGUUUUGGGGUCCCGGGUCGAAUUUUGAUGCACCAUGAACCUUGUGCACGGCUAUCGAGUCGUCGCAAAANNNNNNNNNNGUUGUCGUUUCGGUCCAGUUUCAUGGGCAAUAGCGUACUGCAUUGGGGUCCCGAGACGAUUUUUUGAUGCUCCAUGAACCCAGUGCACGGCUAUCGAGACAUCGAAAAAGCUUGUUGUUUUUGUCAUUUCGGGCUAGUUUCAUGGGCUAUAGCGCACUCCAUUAGGUGCCGGGUCGAUUUUUGAGGCACCAUGAACCUUGUGUACGGCUAUCAAGACGUCGCAAAAAAUCAUUGUUUUUGUCGUUUUGGCCGAGUUUUGUGGUCUAUAGCACACAGUUUUGGGGUCCCGUGUCGAUUUUUUAUGCUCCAUGAACCACGUGCACGGCUAUCGAGACGUUGCAAAAACUCGUUGUUUUUGUCGUUUCGGGCCUGUUUCGUGGGCUAUAACGCACUGUUUUGGGGUCUCGGGUCGAUUUUCGGUGCAUCAUGAACCGUGUGCACUAGUAUUGAGACGUCGCAAAAACUCGUUGGUUUUGUCGUUCUGGCCGAGUUUCGUGGUCUAUAGCACACUGUUUUGGGGUCCGGGUCGAUUUUUCAUGCACCAUGAACCCUGUGCACGGCUAUCGAGUCAUCGCAAAAACUCGUUGUUUUUGUCGUGUUGGCCGAGUUUCGUGGUCUAUAGCACACAGUUUUGGGGUCCCAUGUCGAUUUUUGAUGCUCGAUGAACCAUGUGCACGGCUAUCGAGACGUUGCAAAAAUUCGUUGUUUUUUAUGCUUCCGGCCAGUUUCGUGGGCUAUAACGCACUGUUUUCGGGUCUCGGGUCGAUUUUUGAUGCACACAGUUUUGGGGCCUGUGUACGGCUAUCGAGAAAUGGCAAAAACUCGUUGUUUUUGUCGUUUUGGCCGAUUUUUUUGGUCUAUAGCACACUGUUUUUGUGUGCCGGGUCGAUUUUUGAUACACCAUGAAACAUGUGGACGACUAUCAAGACGUUAAAAAUACUUUAUGUUUUUGUCGUUUCGGGCGUGUUACGUGGGCUAUAACGCAAGGCAUAGGGGUCCCGGGUCGAUUUUUGAUGCACCAUGAACCCUGUGCACGGCUAUCGAGUCGUCGCAAAAACUCGUUGUUUUUGUCGUUUUGGCCGAGUUUCGUGGUCUAUAGCACACUAUUUUGGGGUUUAGUGUUGAUUUUUUAUGCUCCAUGAACCACGUGCACGGCCAUCGAGACGUUGCCAAAACUCGUUGUUUUUGUCGUUUCGGGCCUGUUUCGUGGGCUAUAACGCACUGUUUUGGGGUCUCGGGUCAAUUUUUUAUGCUCCAUGAACUGUGUGGACUAGUAUGGAGACGUCGCAAUAGCUCGGUCGUUCUGUCGUUUCGGGCCAGUUCCGUGGGCUAUAACGCACUGUUUCGGGGUCUCGGAUCGAUUUUUGAUGCUCCAUGAACUGUGUGCACUAGUCUCGAGACGUCGCAAAAACUCAUUGGUUUUGUUGUUUCGGGCCAGGUCCAUGGGCUAGAGCGCACUGUUUUCGGGUCGCGGGUCAAUUUUUUAUGUUCCAUGAACAGUGUGCACGACUAUAGCGCACUACAUUGCGGUCCCGGGUCGAUUUUUGAUGCUCCAUCAACCCUGUGUACGGCUAUCGAGACGUCGCAAAAACUCGUUGUUUUUGUCGUUUUGGCAGAGUUCCGUGGUCUAUAGCACACUGUUUUUGGAUCCCGGGUCGAUUUUUGAUGCACCAUAAACCAUGUGCACGCCUAUCGAGUCGUCGCAAAAACUCGUUGUUUUUGUCGUUUUGGCCGUGUUUCGUGAUCUAUAGCACACUGUUUUGGGGCCGAGUGUCGAUUUUUGAUGCUACAUGAACCACACGCAAGGCAAUCGAGACGUUGCAAAAACUCGUUGUUUUUGUCGUUUUGGGCCUGUUUCGUGGGCUAUAACGCACUGUUUUGGGGUCUCGGGUCAAUUUUUUAUGCUCCAUGAACCGUGUGCACUAGUAUCGAGACGUCGCAAAAACUUGUUGGUUUUGUCGUUUCGGGCCAGUUUUAUGGGCAAGAACUGGUUGUUUUGGGGUCGCUGGUCAACUUGUGAUGCUCCAUGAACCGUGUGCACGACUAUCGAGACAUCAAAAAAGCUCGUUGUUUUUGUUGUUUAGGGCCAAAUUCGUGGGCUAUAACGCGCUUCAUUGGGGUCCCCAGUAGAUUUAUGAUGCUCCAUGAACCCUGUGUACGGCUAUCGAGAUGUUGCCAAAACUCGUUGUUUUUGUCGUUUUGGCCGAGUUUCGUGGUCUAUAGCGCACUGUUUUGGGGUCUCGGGUCGAUAUUUGAUGCACCAUGAACCCUGUGUACGGCUAUCGAGACGUCGCAAAAACUCGUUGUUUUUGUCGUUUCGGGCUAGUUUGAUGUUCUCUAGCGCACUUAUUAGGGUCCCGGGUCGAUUUUUUAUGCUCCAUGAACCCUAUUCACCCCUAUUGAUACGUCGCAAAAACUCGUUGUUUCGGGGUCCCGUGUCGAUUUUUGAUGCUCCAUGAACCACGUGCACGGCUAUCGAGACGUUGCAAAAAACUCAUUGUUUUUGUCGUUUCGGACCUGUUUCGUGGGCUAUAUCGCAUUUUUUAUGCUCGAUGAACCGUGUGCACUAAUAUCGAGACGUCGAUAAAACUCGUUGGUUUUGUCGUUUCGGGCCAGGUUCAUGUGCUAGAGUGCAGUGUUUUGGGGUCGCGGGUCAAUUUUUGAUGCUCCAUGAACCGUGUGCACGACUAUCGAGAUAUCAAAAAAGCUCGUUGUUUUUGUUGUUUCGGGCGAGUUUCAUGAUCUAUAGCGCACUGCAUUGGGGUCCCGGGUCGAUUUUUGAUGCUCCUUGAACCGUGUGUACGGCUAUCGAGACGUCGCAAAAACUCGUUGUUUUUGUCGCUUUGGCCGAGUUUCGUGGUCUAUACCACACUGUUUUUGUCGCUUUGGCCGAGUUCAAAAAACUCGAUGUUUUUGUCGUUUCGGGCGUGUUUCGUGGGCUAUAACGCACUGUUUUGUGGUCCCGGGUCAAUUUUUUAUGCUCCAUGAAGUAUGUGCGUGACUAUCNNNNNNNNNNNNNNNNNNNNNNNNNNNNNNNNNNNNNNNNNNNNNNNNNNNNNNNNNNNNNNNNNNNNNNNNNNNNNNNNNNNNNNNNNNNNNNNNNNNNAAGGUUCGACGUUGUUUUAUGCGUAUUUGAGUUAUAUGGUUGGUUACCGAAUGUUGUUCGGAGUCCCGCAUGAGAUCACGGACGUCACGAGGGUUUCCGGAAUAGUCCGGAAACGAANNNNNNNNNNNNNNNNNNNNNNNNNNNNNNNNNNNNNNNNNNNNNNNNNNNNNNNNNNNNNNNNNNNNNNNNNNNNNNNNNNNNNNNNNNNNNNNNNNNNNNNNNNNNNNNNNNNNNNNNNNNNNNNNNNNNNNNNNNNNNNNNNNNNNNNNNNAAUGUACCGGGAAUGACGAAUGGGUUCCGGGAGUUCACCGGGGGGGGGGCAACCCACCCCGGGGAAGCCCAUAGGCGAUAAGGGUGGCGCACCAGCCCUUAGUGGGCUGGUGGGACAGCCCAAAAGGGCCCUAUGCGCCAUACAAAGGAAAAUCAAAGAGAAAGAAAAAAAAGGGAGGUGGGAAGGAACGGAAGGACUCCCACCCACCAAACCAAGUCCAACUCGGUUUGGGGGGGGAGGCUUCCCCCCUUGGACUCGGCCGACCCCCUUGGGGCUCNNNNNNNNNNGGGAAAGACUCCCACCCACCAAACCAAGUCCAACUCGGUUUUGGGGGGGGGAGGCUUCCCCCCUUGGACUCGGCCGACCCCCUUGGGGCUCCUUGAGCCCCAAGGCAAGGUCCCCUCCCUCCCACCUAUAUAUACGCAGGUAUUGGGGCUGAUUUGAGACGACUUUUCCACGGCAGCCCGACCACAUACCUCCACGGUUUUUCCUCUAGAUCGCGUUUCUGCGGAGCUCGGGCGGAGCCCUGCCGAGACAAGGUCAUCACCAACCUCCGAAGCGCCGUCACGCUGCCGGAGAACUCUUCUACCUCUCAGUCUCUCUUGCUGGAUCAAGAAGGCCGAGAUCAUCGUCGAGCUGUACGNNNNNNNNNNUCCUGCUGAGACAAGGUCAUCACCAACCUCCAGAGCGCCGUCACGCUGCCGGAGAACUCUUCUACCUCUCUUGCUGGAUCAAGAAGGCCGAGAUCAUCGUCGAGCUGUACGUGUGCUAAACGCGGAGGUGCCGUCCGUUCGGUACUAGAUCGUGGGACUGAUCCCGGGAUUGUUCGCGGGGCGGAUCGAGGGACAUGAGGACGUUCCACUACAUCAACCGCGUUCACUAACGCUUCUGCUGUACGAUCUACAAGGGUACGUAGAUCACUCAUCCCCUCNNNNNNNNNNNNNNNNNNNNNNNNNNNNNNNNNNNNNNNNNNUUCACUAACGCUUCUGUUGUACGAUCUACAAGGGUACGUAGAUCACUCAUUCCCUCUCGUAGAUGGACAUCACCAUGAUAGGUCUUCGUGCGCGUAGGAAAAUUUUUGUUUCCCAUGCGACGUUCCCCAACAGUUUUUGCGGUAACCCUCUCAACUUUCUCGCACAUGCUAUGUGGGUGAAAUGAUGAUACUAUGCCAACUUGGAACCUUUUCAGAGUUCAUUUCAAAUGCUUUUCAAUUUCAUGGUCUUAUAGCUCAAAAUAAUCAGUAAAUGCAUGAAAAAUAACAAAUGAAGUCAGAAUGUGUUGUAAAUUGAUGAUGUGGCUUUGAAUGGUGCACUUUGAAGACAGAAAAACUAUGGAGUUCAAAUAUGUUAAAAAAAAUGAGAUCCCUUUGUAAGAGACGAGUUUUCGUAUGAAACCCUGAUACUUCCAAAGAUAUUGUGUGUUUUGUACCCGAAGUGCAUCCAGUUUUUGCCGUAACCCUCUCAACUUUCUCGCACAUGCUAUGUGGGUNNNNNNNNNNGGGAACCUUUUCGGAGUUCAUUUUAAAUAGUUUUCAAUUUCAUGGUCUUAUAGCUGAAAAUAAUCAGUAAAUGCAUGAAAAAUAACAAAUGAAGUGAGAAAGGGUUGUAAAUUGAUGAUGUGGCUUUGAAUGUCCAUUUUGAACACAGAAAACUAUGGAGUUCAAAUAAGUUCAAAAAAAUGAAAUUCCUUUGUAAUAGACGAGUUUUCGUAUGAAACCCUAAUACUUCCAAAGAAAUUGUCCGUUUUGUACACGAAGUGCAUCCAGUUUUUGCCGUAACCCUCUCAACUUUAUCGCACAUCACUAGUGGGGACGGGGCCUUUAGCCCCGGCCCGUAAGGGGCUUUAGUCCCGGUUCACCAACCAGGACUAAAGGGGCGGGACUAAAGGCCUAACCUUUAGUCCCGGCCCUGUUACAAGCCGGUUCGUUACACGGGCCGGGACUAAAGAGUUUCAGAUUUUGCUUAUUUUCGGGUUUUUCUUAAUGAAAUUAUUUUUGGGUUUUAGGGUUUUAGGGUUUAGGUGUUCGGGAGAUUAACGUGAUGCCUCGUUUGGUGUUCGGGAAUUAGUUUUCAUAUAAUUUAAAUAGAAAUAAUUAUGCAUAUAUAUAUAAGGUUAACUUAUCUUACAAGCGAGCNNNNNNNNNNNNNNNNNNNNNNNNNNNNNNNNNNNNNNNNNNNNNNNNNNNNNNNNNNNNNNNNNNNNNNNNNNNNNNNNNNNNNNNNNNNNNNNNNNNNAUUUAUUAUUGCCUCUAGGGCAUAAUUCCAACAGUCUCCCACUUGCACUAGAGUCAAUAAUCCAGCCCUCACAUCAUCAUGUCAAUUACAUUGUGAUAAAUCUAACACCCAUACAGUUCUGGUGUUGAUCAUGUUUUGGCCGUGGAAGAGGUUUAGUCAGCGGGUCUGCUACAUUCAGAUCCGUGUGCACUUUCAUAUAUAUACGUCCUCUCCCUCGACGUAGUCGCGGAUGAGGUUGAAGCGUCGUUUGAUGUGUCUGGUCUUCUUGUGAAACCGCGGUUCCUUUGCUAAGGCAAUGGCACCCGUGUUGUCACAGAACAAGGUUAUUGGAUUCAGUGCGCUUGGCACCACUCCAAGAUCCGUCAUGAAAUGCUUCAUCCAGACACCCUCCUUAGCCGCCUCCGAGGCAGCCAUGUACUCCGCUUCACAUGUAGAAUCUGCUACGACGCUUUGCUUGGAACUGCACCAGCUUACCGCACCCCCAUUAAGAAUAAAUACGUAUCCGGUUUGCGACUUAGAGUCGUCCGGAUCUGUGUCAAAGCUUGCAUCGACGUAACCUUUUACGGCGAGCUCUUCGUCACCUCCAUACACGUAGAAACAUCUCCUUAGUCCUUUUCAGGUACUUCAAGAUAUUCUUGACCGCUGUCCAGUGAUCCACUCCUGGAUUACUCUGGAACCUGCCUGCCAUACUUAUGGCCAGGCUAACAUCCGGUCUAGUGCACAACAUUGCAUACAUGAUAGAGCCUAUGGCUGAAGCAUAUGGGACGAAGCGCAUAUGCUCUCUAUCUUCAUCAGUUGCUGGGCACUGAGUCUUACUCAAUCUCGUACCUUGUAACACUGGCAAGAACUCUUUCUUGGACUGUUCCAUUUUGAACCUCUUCAAAACUUUAUCAAGGUAUGUGCUUUGUGAAAGUCCUAUCAGGCGUUUUGAUCUAUCCCUAUAGAUCUUAAUGCCCAGAAUGUAAGCAGCUUCUCCUAGGUCCUUCAUAGAGAAACUUUUAUUCAANNNNNNNNNNACCUGCCAUACUUACGGCCAGGCUAACAUCCGGUCUAGUGCACAGCAUUGCAUACAUGAUAGAACCUAUGGCUGAAGCAUAGGGGACGGAGCGCAUAUGCUCUCUAUCUUCAUCAGUUGCUGGGCAGUGAGUCUUACUCAAUCUCGUACCUUGUAAAACUGGCAAGAACCCUUUCUUGGACUGUUCCAUUUUGAACCUCUUCAAAACUUUAUCAAGGUAUGUGCUUUGUGAAAGUCCUAUCAGGCAUUUUGAUCUAUCCCUAUAGAUCUUAAUGCUUAAAAUGUAAGCAGCUUCUCCUAGGUCCUUCAUAGAGAAACUUUUAUUCAAGUAACCCUUUAUGCUCUCCAAAAACUCUACGUUGUUUCCAAUCAGUAAUAUGUCAUCCACAUAUAAUAUUAGAAACGCCACAGAGCUCCCACUCACUUUCUUGUAAAUACAAGAUUCUCCAACCACUUGUAUAAACCCAAAUUCUUUGAUCACCUCAUCGAAGCGUUUGUUCCAACUCCGAGAUGCUUGCACCAGUCCAUAAAUGGAUCGCUGGAGCUUGCACACCUUGUUAACAUUCUUAGGAUCGACAAAACCUUCGGGUUGUAUCAUAUACAACUCUUCCUUAAGGAAACCGUUAAGGAACGCCGUUUUGACAUCCAUUUGCUAGAUUUCAUAAUCGAAAAAUGCAGCUAUUGCUAACAUGAUUCUGACGGACUUAAGCAUCGCUACGGGUGAGAAUGUCUCAUCGUAGUCAACUCCUUGAACUUGGGAAAAACCCUUUGCCACAAGUCGAGCUUUAUAAACGGUCACAUUGCCGUCAGCGUCCGUCUUCCUCUUAAAGAUCCAUUUGUUUUGAAUAGCCUUGCGGCCCUCGGGUAGUACCUCCAAAGUCCACACUUUCUUCUCAUACAUGGAUCCUAUCUCGGACUUCAUGGCUUCUAGCCAUUUGUUGGAAUCUGGGCCCACCAUUGCUUCUUCAUAAUUUGCAGGUUCAUUGUUGUCUAACAACAUGAUUGUCAAGACGGGAUUACCGUACCACUCUGGAGCAGCGCGUGAUCUCGUCGACCUGCGUGGUUCAACAGAAACUUGAACUGGAGUUUCAUGAUCAUCAUCAUUAACUUCCUCCUCNNNNNNNNNNCGAUAAGACGGGAUUACCGUACCACUCUGGAGCAGCACGUGGUCUCGUCGACCUGCGUGGUUCGAUAGAAACUUGAACUGGAGUUUCAUGAUCAUCAUCAUUAACUUCCUCCUCAACCGGCGUUGCAACGACAGAGGUUUCCCCUUGCCAUGCGCCACCAUCCAGAGGGAUGAGAGGUUCGACAAACUCGUCAAGUUCUAUCUUCGUCCCACUCAAUUCUCUCGAGAGAAACUCCUUCUCGAGAAAAGCUCCAUUUUUAGCAACAAACACUUUGCCCUCGGAUUUGAGAUAGAAGGUGUACCCAACUGUCUCUUUUGGGUAACCUAUGAAGACGCUCUUUUCCGCUUUGGGUUCCAGCUUUUCAGGCUGAAGCUUUUUGACAUAAGCAUCACAUCACCAAACUUUAAGAAACGACAACUUUGGCCUUUUGCCAUACCACAGUUCGUGUGGUGUCGUCUCAACGGAUUUUGAUGGUGCCCUAUUUAAAGUGAAUGCAGCUGUUUCUAAUGCAUAAGCCCAAAAUGAUAACGGCAAAUCAGUAAAAGACAUCAUAGAUCGCACCAUCUCUAAUAGAGUACGAUUACGACGUUCGGACACACCAUUACGCUAUGGUGUUCCAGGCGGUGUUAACUAUGAAACAAUUCCAGAUUGUCUUAAGUGAGUACCAAACUCGAAACUCAGAUAUUCACCCCCACGAUGAGACCGUAGGAACUUGAUCUUCUUGUUACGAUGAUUUUCCACUUCACUCUGAAAUUGCUUGAACUUUUCAAAUGUUUCAGACUUGUGCUUCAUCAAGUAGACAUAACCAUAUCUACUCAAAUCGUCAGUGAAGGUGAGAAAAUAACGAUAUCCGCCGCGUGCCUCCAUGCUCAUCGGACCACACACAUCGGUAUGUAUGAUUUCCAACAAGUCACUUGCACGCUAAAUUGUUCCGGAGAACGGAGUCUUAGUCAUUUUGCCCAUGAGGCAUGGUUCGCACGUGUCAAGUGAAUCAAAGUCAUGUGACUCCAAAAGUCUAUCAGCAUGGAGUUUCUUCAUGCGCUUUACACCAAUAUGACCUAAGCGGCAGUGCCACAAAAAUAUGGCGCUAUCAUUGUUAACUCUAACUCUUUUGGUCUCAAUGUUAUGUAUAUGCGUAUCAGUAUCAAGAUUCAAUAUGAACAAUCCUCUCACAUUAGGUGCAUGACCAUAAAAGAUGUUACUCAUAGAAAUAGAACAACCAUUAUUCUCUGACUUAAAAGAGUAACCGUCUCGCAAUAAACAAGAUCCAGAUAUAAUGUUCAUGCUCAACGCAGGCACUAAAUAACAAUGAUUUAAGUUCAUCACUAAUCCCGAUGGUAGUUGAAGUGACACGGUGCCGACGGCGAUUGCAUCAACCUUGGAACCGUUUCCUACACGCAUCGUCACUUCGUCUUUCGCCAGCCUCCGUCUAUUCCGCAGUUCCUGCUUCGAGUUGCAAAUGUGAGCAACAGAACCGGUAUCGAAUACCCAGGCACUACUACGAGAGCUGGUUAAGUACACAUCAAUAACAUGUAUAUCAAAUAUACCUGAUUUUUCUUUGCCCGCCUUCUUAUCUGCCAGAUACUUGGGGCAAUUGCGCUUCCAGUGACCCAUACCCUUGCAAUAGAAGCACUAUGUUUCAGGCUUAGGUCCAGCCUUGGGUUUCUUCGACGGAUUGGCAACUGGCUUGCCGCUCUUCUUCGAAUUGCCCUUCUUGCCUUUGCCGUUUCUCUUGAAACUAGUGGUCUUGCUCACCAUCAACACUUGAUGUUCUUUACGGAGUUCAGACUCUGCGACUUUCAGCAUCGCAAACAACUUGCCGGGAGACUUGUUCAUCCCUUGCAUGUUUGUAGUUCAACACAAAGCCUUUAUAGCUUGGCGGCAGUGAUUGGAGGAUUCUGUCAGUGAUAGCUUCUUGCGGGAGUUUGAUCCCUAGUUCAGCUAGACGGUUUGAGUACCCAGACAUCUUGAGCACAUGUUCACUGACAGACGAGCUUUCCUCCAUCUUGCAAGCAUAGAAUUUAUCGGAGGUCUCAUACCUCUCGAUCCGGGCGUUCUUCUGAAAGAUAAACUUCAACUCCUGGAACAUCUCAAAUGCUCCAUGACGCUCAAAGCCACGUUGAAGUCCCGGCUCUAAGCCAUACAAGAAUGCACAUUGAACUAUUGAGUAGUCCUCCUUACGUGCUAGCCAAGCGUUCUUAACAUCCUGAUCAGCCGUAGCGGGUGGUUCAUCUCCUAGCGCAGCANNNNNNNNNNNNNNNNNNNNNNNNNNNNNNNNNNNNNNNNNNNNNNNNNNNNNNNNNNNNNNNNNNNNNNNNNNNNNNNNNNNNNNNNNNNNNNNNNNNNCAUCAUCACGUGCUUGUUGAUCUCCAUCACCAAAGCACCGGCAUGAUCUUCUUGUCACCGGCGCCACACCAUGAUCAUCCAUCAACGUGUUGCCAUCGGGGUUGUCGUGCUACUUAUGCUAUUACUACUAAAGCUACAUCCUAGCAAAAUAGUAAACGCAUCUGCAAGCACAAACGUUAGUAUAAAGACAACCCUAUGGCUCCUGCCGGUUGUCGUACAAUCAACGUGCAAGUCGAUAUUUUCUAUUACAACAUGAUCAUCUCAUACAUCCAAUAUAUCACAUCACAUCAUUGGCCAUAUCAUAUCACAAUCAUACCCUGCAAAAACAAGUUAGACGUCCUCUAAUUUUGUUGUACGAGUAAUGUCAGUCCAAGCCGCUUCAAUCCAACAAUACCGCGGAAUCAAGAAAAGACUAAGGAGGGCAGCAAAGCGCACAUCACCGCCCACAAAAACUUUUGUGUUCUACUCGAGAAGACAUCUACGCAUGAACCUAGCUCAUGAUGCCACUUUUGGGGAACGUCGCAUGGGAAACAAAAAAUUUCCUACGCGCACGAAGACCUAUCAUGGUGAUGUCCAUCUACGAGAGNNNNNNNNNNNNNNNNNNNNNNNNNNNNNNNNNNNNNNNNNNNNNNNNNNNNNNNNNNNNNNNNNNNNNNNNNNNNNNNNNNNNNNNNNNNNNNNNNNNNAAGCUUGCUGCUAUGCUAACAAUGCUUGGAUAUUAGCUUCCUUCAUUUAAUCUAGUUUCCUUCCUUUGCUCAGUAGGCGAUCGAAAAAUCGAUCUGUUUCUUGCUGUCCUGUUGCUAUGAGCUUCUGCCUUCUUGUUGGUUUCACCUAGUGCAGCCGCCAUUAUUGAAUCCACUGGGAGCUUCUUGCUACUUAUUUUGCGCAGUUGUUAUUUUUAUGAGGACGGUCUACUGCUGUUGUGUGCGUCACACUAGAUAGAACUGUCUCAAGCAUUUUAUUUUUGUUUUUCUUACUGACUUUUGGUAAUGUAUUCAUACUAUGCGCCUCCACAUAGUAUAGGGGUCAAAAAUGUACUUUUCCAUCAUCUAAAGAAUUUACAACUUUGAUUUGCGAUAGCUUGACUAAGAGUACAGUUCCUGUAAGAAAAUCUUCGUAAAAAUGGUUUUACGGGGUAUCCGUAUAGUGGAAGUUGACAGCAGGUGAAGUGUUUUUUAGUUCCCCUAAAACUUCCCCCAAAAGUGGUUUUUGGCGAUGGCAUGACGACGACGGCAAACUCUAGCAGCGGGCGGGCGGCACGAGCGUACUCCGUUGACGGUUAGGUGACGUGAAACUUUUUUGGGAAACGCCAUCUUCGCAUAGACUGAGGCAAUGUUUUGGAGAAAUUACAGGAUCUGCAAAAAUAAUUGCACGUUUCAGAAAACUAUUCAAGAACUUUUUUCAAUCCAACUUCACCUAAACAAUGGUUAUUUUACGAAAUAUGGGAACUGUUAGAGAUGCUGUUAAGACGGACCUAGAAAUAUCUAUAUUUGUGGAGAAAAGUGAGCACUCAACUAGCACCACAUGAUAUAAAUUGUGAAUUUACACCUUACUAUUUGGGAAUAAUUAAGUUGUCUACGCUAGUACUAAAUCAAAAUUUAGUUGGCAUUGAAGGUGGCACGGUGAUUCAAAUGCUAAACAAAGAAGGGUAGCGAUUUAUUCUUCGUUUCUACCAGAUGCUACAUCUUAAGCACCUUGGGAGCGUAAAUAAUUGUGAUCAUAUACAUGUAAAAUGACAGCAAGCCCACUGUUGUUGGUUUAAAUAAUGUCGGCUGCAUGUCGGCGUUCCGUGCCACCAGUAAGGUGGCUUCAUGGUCUGACGUACCGGCCCCAUGACAGACUGUCAAUGCUCGACAUGCUCGACGGUGAUGUGGUGCACAUCACCAUCCGUGGAGGACUCACGAACCAAGGCGCAGAGAAUGAAUGACUUGAAAGUAGGAUUAUAACUACGAUGGUUAACGAGCAAAGGGCAUGCAGCUACGUCAGCAAUGGAAGCCACCUUCUUGCAAGACAACUCAUUCGGUAGCAUUUGUUAGCAUGUAUUUUGUUAGAUGAAACACAUGUUGUGUGGUAACCUCCGAGUGAUGAGGUUACCAGCACACUGAGAACCAGGAGAUAGUAAAAACCAUAACUUAACUCAAGAAAAGUCGUAAAAAAACAAUUCAAUGAUUAAUUGGAACAACCCAUGCGGAGAGAACUUCCUACAUAUCCAUGGGAAAGGCCUCAUCAUGCUUCUCACACUUGGACACCACCUCGACGUUAUCGUCCUUGAAGACGAUCACAUUUAGCAUGUCGGGUGUCACUAGCUUCAAGGAGACUAGGUAUAUGUGAUCCAGAUUUGGUGACGAGCGGUGAAGGAGGCCCAACCCUGAUUGAGGGUGAGCCUAUCGUUGAUCCACCAGACCAUCACCCUCGAGGCAGCACUAGUGUUUGUCUUCAUCCUGAAUUACUUUAGGACAUCGGUGAAGUGAUUGGUGGGCUCCAGUGCCUUCGACAAACAGUCCAGCUUUGGUGCAAGCAUGGCAUUGUAGAAGUGGGUUGGCCCGGCCCUCAUGGAGAAGCUCGUAGUUUUUUACCGCGUUUGGGCAUUGCCGAGCUAUACCACCGCCUUUCCCUUCUUGUCGGAUGUAACCACCUCUUUGCCAUUGGAGUUCCCUGAACUACCCUGGUUGAUCUACAUUAUGAACAACAUGACUGAAGGUAAAUGAAGGGAUAAAUGCAACACACAUCAGGGACGGAGCCAACAUUCAUGCAUAGUGGGGGCAAGUUUGUUCAUGGAAGGGGUAAAGUUCAUAUAAAGUGAAACUUUGUUACUACAACAACUAUAAUCAUAGUAGAAGAAUCAAUUUGUUAGGGGGUCUAGCCCCCCUCGCCACCCCUAUAUUCCUCCUUGCACACAUAUGAGCACGAUCUAUGAAGAAUGCAUAAUUUAUUAAACCCCACCCACCACAUCAUUCAACUACCUUUUCCAAUCGUUUGUAUAUCUUUGUCUUCUACCAUCUCCUGUUAUAUAUAUUUGUCUCUUAGUCUUCUAACGUCUACUAUUCCAUAAGUCUGUAUCACUAUCUCUUUGUCUCACCACCUCUCCAUGCACGAACCCCAUCCAUGAACGCACUCCACUGCCACUUCAAACCAUCUAUAUAAUAUAUGGCUCUCUUUGUAUACUACCGUCGCCUCUCUAUUUCGUCUUUAUCUCACCACCUCUCCAUCGCCAUGAACCUCAUCCAUAAUCCCUUCCACGGGCAUUGGAUUUACCCCCUCCUCCAUCGUACUCGAUCCUGUUGAAACCACUUAAAUCCAUCAGAUUUCCUGAAUCUAGUAUCAAAUCUAGCCGGAGAGACAGAUUAAAUACCUAAUGUGCAAAUCGAGUUCGGGCAUGGUAUAAGAAAGGAAUCGUAGGCAACUAAAUUAGUUGAGUACAAGGAGAGAGGGCUUACCGCCAUUGCCAAGUGCGUGCUACUGAGGUGGUAAAACCGGUUAACGUCGCCAUUGCUCAAUGCCCAUAUUUCACGCUCGCCACAGAUGGUGUGAGAUUGGAGAGUGGGGGAGAGACCGGUGAGAAGAGGGAGAGAGUAGUUAUGUCCAUGCUUGGGAAAACAACACAUCUCGAGCAUGGCUUGUUGCUAGCAAUUUGCGACCAAUGCCCACAUAUCACAAGUUCCAGCGCUCGGGCCCGGAUGUGGAAAAACGAUUGAUUUGAUCAUUCCUACUCAUGGGGGCCAAGCAACACAUACUACAAAUCAAACAAAAACUGCAUCAACACACCUGGCUGGAUCUAAUACGUGCUAUCAAAUGCACUGUCGAUGUCUCCUACAUGACGGAACCUGCAGCUUUAAUGGUAUCCAAGCGGAGAUGCCAAUCCUGGGAUCUGUCAUGUCCCUGCACCAACGUAAGGCAGCGUAGGCAUGUCGAAGCCGAUUGAUAGAUAACUUGUGGUACAGUUCCCUUCGUACCAUCCUAGAUAUAUAACAGCAUCUACAGUCAGACUUCUCAAAUCCGUCUCAAACCUCCGGAGACGGGCCAUCCGGUCAAUGAUCCGUACAAAAAAAUCUACCUAACCGGAGUUCUCAAACUGCAGACAAAUGCCAGGAUUGAACGGCAUCCCUCAUAUCCAACCCAAAUCUAGGGUGGAUAUGAGGCAGUUUGGGCGCGCUCGGGGCCGUCCGCCCGGUCCACCGCUGGCACACUCUGAUCCCACAAAUCCCCCCUAAGCAAAUCCUAGGCUCACUUCACUCCGCUCCCCCACACUCGUGUUUCCCCAAUCCGUCCCAACCCGAGCGACGAUGACCAUGUCCAGCACCGGCAGUAAUUCCGAUGUUAGCUUCGGAAACAAGGACGAGUUGGCACUCCAUAUCGCGCUGGAUCACUCGCGGGUCGAUACAUGCAACAUGUCCGGUUCAGGUGCAAUGUCACCCAUCACCGAUCGCCACAACACUGACUCCGAAGCUGCUCCUUCACGGCUUGCGUGUGAAUCUGCGAGGGCGGACCAAUCGACACCACCCACUCAACGACCUGCUUCAUCUCCCCGCCGAUGUUCCGUGUACGCAGCGGUGGGUUCUAGGGAGAUGGAGGCACACGUCACCCACCACGGGAGGCAGACAGCAAGGGAGAUGGGCCUCGCAUCUGAUGUUGGUGUGUAGUCCGGCUGCCGCCACCAUAUGAUGCCGCUGCCAAUGAUGAGGAGCGUCUCCUUCAGUGGGUGUAUCGUCGGUCACUUACCACGGCGGAGACGGACGCCCGACGGCUGCGGAGGAUCAAUGUCAAGCAGCUCUAGCUCGACAUUGAGUAUUUUGAGCCGGAGGGCAUCGCUUGUCACUUGCAGGGCUCCAUCAUCAUCUGCGAUUUCUCCAACCAUGAUAGGUCCGACUCUGUCGGCUCCGACAUGGACCCACGUCCUUCCAGAGACGCCUACAACAGCGGCAGCAACCGGAAAAGCAAAGGGUCGGCUAGAAAGUGUUGAUGCUCCGCCCUUUCAUAUCUUGCUAGUAGUAUCUACUCCCUCCGUUCCUAAAUAUAAGACCUUUUAGAGAUUGCACUAUGAAAUACAUACAAAUGUACAUAGACAUAUUUUAGAGUGUGGAUUCAUUCAUUUUGCUUCGUAUGUAGUCUUGUAGUGAAAUAUCUAAAAGAUCUUAUAUUUAGGAAUGGAGGGAGUACAUCCUAGUAUUAGUUAGCAUUUGACGGAGAAUAUAAACUGUAUGAGCUAUGACCAAUCUUUUUUUGAUGUUUAUAUGUAAAUUUAUGCCCGUUUGCUAUUGGUUUAGAGUACGUUUCCUGUUGAUUUUUCUCGUCUGGUGAUCUACCUACUACGUUGCAUGAUCUUGUAUGAAUACAGGAUUUUAGAUAUGAGACGCGUUCGGGCGUAUAAGAUCUCAAAUUUGACAAAUCUGGCUGUAGAUGUUCUAAGUGCUCCCCGUACUGUUCAGCAUGUCCAAAAUUAAAUAACGUGACCAAGAGAGUCUAAAAGUCUAGGAAAUACCAACCUCUGUUCCGAAUUAGGCAAUACUCCCUCCAUUCAGGUUAAUUAUUGGAGGAACGAAUGUAGCAAGAUUUAUUUUAAUUCGAGAUACAUCUAUUUUAUUCAUUUCCGUGGCAAGUAAUUGGGGAGGGGAUGAGUAGUUAACUAGUCCGGUGAUCUACUUCUCCAUCGAGGUUACAUUCUGCUGGCCCUCACAACGCGCCAAGGUUUUUCAUGUGUAUAUGAAUAUGCUUACGGCUUUUAUUUAUAAUUUUCUUUUAUUAUCAAUGUAUGAGCAGACUGCAUUUACGCUAUCGGUCAGGAGCAGAAAGCCUUGGACAGACUCAUCAUGGAGGUCGGCAAUGACUCUGGAGACAAGAACGUUCGCCUGGAUGGACUUCAGAUAUCCAUGACAUGCAUUGCUAAAAUUGCUAAGGUGAGCUUCCUUUAUUAUUGUAUAUAUGUCUUUCUAUGUCGCCGUACGUGACCAGCAUUGCAUACUAAUACUAGCAUUAUUUCAUCGUAAGCACGGAUAAUGUAGUAGCAAGACAAAUAGAGAUAUUUCGGACCAAUGUAGGAAAUCCAGUGUGAUGUUUCGAAUAUUCUGGAACCCCCUCAUUUUAAUAAACCCGCUAACGAAACUCUAUGACCUUGCUUGAACAUGAUCUGUAUCCUUUACCAAUAAGGAAGCAAACACUUCAGUUUCUGCCCACUGAUCCAGAGCAUGUAUCACUGUAUCCACUUCAGUUUCUAUAAUGGGAUCAAUCCGUUGGCUGUAGAGAAUCGUUCCUGCCUGACUCACAUAUGUGCAGAGUCGCCCAGUGGUUGUGUGACAGACUUGAUCCCUUUUUUUAAAAACUUAUGAGAUUCUGUUUGGUGUGCAGGGCACUACGACAUACGAUCUGAAGAUAACCAGGAGCAUGGUCGGUGGGCUAUCACUGGAAUGGCAUCCUAAUAAAAAGCAGGUAAACCCCCCCCACCCACAGAAAAAAACUUUCUCUCAUAUUUGCUUGCCAGCCAGCAGGAUUUCAUAUGGUGGUUUAUUCCAGGGACCAAUCAACCUUGACAAAGCAGCAGGAGAAACCACACCGGCUGCUACUCCUCAAAAAACAGUUGCUAAAGCCCUAUCUGAUGUUAUGCAUAUGUUAAGAGGAAAAUGACAGAAGAUGGAGUCCAAGAACCCAAAGAAAGCAAAAAAGGACAAAAAGAGCAGGCGUAAAAACUUUCGAACUUUGUGUAUGCCCCCUUUACAUUCCUCCUAAUAAGGAGUGCAUGAUGGCCAACUCCAUUUUUAAAUUAAAUUUGUAAUUCAACACAAAGGGGAUGUAAAAUGAUGCUUCCUGCGACUUUCAUUUAUUCAGUACACUAUCAUGGUUUGAUUGUUAUUUUUACAAUGGAUUAAGUUUUGUUUAUUACUAUUAUUACCACUAAUGCUAGGGUAAACUAGAUCUUCUCCUGCCAUUAAUCAAACUUUUCAUAUUCGAUCAAGUCUUCUAUUAUAUACUAAAAGGAAAAUAUGUAUCAAAAUAUAGAUGAAUAAUCUAGAAAAUCCCACGUUAAACAUAAACGUCUCACCUUCAAUUUUGUACACAAAAAACCCACAGCCGUUAGAUUAACUUAAAAGUUCAAUAAAUUAUCCACCAAUGUCAUUGCCAUUACAUUAAAACACGUCCUCCUCAAUUUCAAGUAACCGGUUAAAAUCUGAUCUCCCGAUGUGAACGUUGCUGCCGUUAUGAUCUCAUCUCCCGAUGCCCUAUCAUGGCCUCCGCGUCCGCCGGACAGCCAAGGAUGGCCGUGAUAGUGUUGGUACUAGACAGAACAAAUUGAGCCGACGUGCCUAGGUAAAUACCAUUUGAGCUUCCAUAUUGUCUACAUGAGGUUCUAGACAAUUCUUCACUGCAAGGCAAAAAAAGGCAAUCGAGCGGUACGUACCUGUUAGGAAACAUUGUAUGGGAAACAAAAAAUUUCGUACGCACACGAAGACCUAUCAGGUUGAUGUUCAUCUACGAGAGGGAGAUCGGAUCCACAUACCCUUGUAGAUCGCUAAGCGGGAAGCGUUAAGAAACGUGGUUGAUGUAGUGGUACAGCUUCGUGAUUCAAAUCACCGUCGUCCCACGAUCCAUUCUGAUCUUGCGUCAAACGGACGGCACCUCCGCGUUCAGCACACGUACAACUCGAUGACAAUCUCCGCCUUCUUGAUCCAGCAAGAUGGCGGGGAAGUAGAUGAGUUCUCCGGCAGCGUGAUGGCGCGCCGGUGAUGGUGAUGAUCUAUUCCUGGAGGACUCCGCCCGAGCUCCGCAAAAAACCGAUCUAGAGGAAAAACUAUGAUCUAGAGGAGAGGACAACACGUGGCAAUGUUGUGUCUCAAAAGCCCUAAACCUCUAGUAUAUAUAGGAGGAGGGGAGGGGCAGCCUUGGCGCGCAAAGGAAGACCUCCUUGGGUCGGCCGAAGUGGGGAAGGGAGGAGUCCUUCUUCAAUCCCACUUGGAUUAGGACUCCUUCCUUAUUUUCCCACCUCUUUUGGAUUUUCAACUUUUUCCUCAUGCGCUUUCCUUGGAUGACUUUGUCAGCCCAUUAUACCUUAUUGCGCAUCCAAUAAACCCACGUGGACCCCUUGGGGCAUGGUGGGCCCACCCAAUGGGCCCCCGGAAGCCAUUCGUCACUGCUGGUACACUGUCGGCAAUGCCCGAAAACCUUUCGGAAUCCAAACACCAACUUCUAUAUAUCAAUCUUCGUUUCCGGACCAUUCCGAAACUCCUCGUGACUUCCGAGAUCUCAUCCGGAGCUCCGAACAAAACUUCGGUCACCAACACAUAUAAUCAACUAUACCAAAACAUCAUCUAACCUUAAGUGUGCAGACCCCGCUGGUUCGAAAACUAUGCAGACAUGACCCGAAACACUCUCUGGUCAAUAACCAACAGCGGGACCUGGAUGUCCAUAUUGGCUCCUACAUAUUCUACGAAGAUCUCUAUCGGUUGAACCUCUAUGUCAAGGAUUCAUAUAAUCCUGUAUACUAUUCCCGUUGUCCUUCGAUAUGUUACUUGCUCGAGAUUCGAUCGCCGGUAUCUCUAUACCUAGUUGAAUCUCGUUGCCGGCAAGUCUCUUUACUUGUUCCGUAAUACAAGAUCCCGUAACUAACUCCUUAGUCACAUUGCUUGCAAGGCUUGUUGUGAUGUUGUAUUACCGAGUGGGCCCCGAGAUACCUCUCCGUCACACGGAGUGACAAAUCCCAGUCUUGAUCCAUGCCAACCCUACAGACACCUUUGGAAAUACCUGUAGAGCACCUUUAUAGUCACCCAGUUACGUUGCGAUGUUUGAUAACCCACAAGGAAUUCCUCCGGUGUCCGGGAGUUGCAUGAUCUCAUGGUCAUAGGAACAGAUACAUUGACGUUUAUAGUUUGGGUCUUGUCCAUUACAUCAUUCUCCCAAUGACGUGAUCCCGUUAUCAAAUGACAACACUUGCCUAUGGCCAGGAAACCUUGACCAUCUUUGAUCAACGAGCUAGUCAACUAGACGCUCACUAGGGACAGUGUUUUGUCUAUGUAUCCACACAUGUAUUUUUGUUUCCAAUCAAUAUAAUUAUAGCAUGGAUAAUAAACGAUUAUUAUGAACAAGGAAAUAUAAUAAUAACCAAUUUAUCAUUGCCUCUAGGGCAUAUUUCCAACAGUCUCUCACUUGCACUAGAGUCAAUAAUCCAGUUCACAUCACUAUGUGAUUUUAACGAAUCCAACACCCAUACAGUUCUGGGGUUUGAUCACGUCUUGCUUGUGAGAGAGGUUUUAGUCAACGAGUCUGAACCUUUCAGAUCUGUGUGUGCUUUACAAAUCUCUAUGUUAUCCUGUAGAUGCUGCUACUACGUGCUAUUUAGAAAUAUUCCAAAUGACUACUCUACUAUACGAAUCCAGUUUACUACUCAGAGUUAUUCCGAUUAAUGUCAAAGCUUGCAUCGAUGUAACCCUUUACGACGAACUCUUUAAUCACCUUCAUAAUCGAGAAAAAAAAUCCUUAGUCCACUAGUUACCAAGGAUAACUUUGACCAAUAUUUAGUGAUUCAAUCGUGGAUCACUUUUUGUAUCGCUUGACAGGCUCAUGGCAAGGCACACAUGGGGWUAGGUACAAGCUUGGCAUACUUUAGAGCCUAUGGCUAAGGCAUAGGGGGUGACCUUCGCCCUUUCUCUUUCUUCUGCCAUGGUCGGGCUUUUGAGUCUUACUCAAAUUCACACCUUACAACACAACCAAGAACUCCUUCUUUGCUGAUCUAUUUUGAACUUCUUCAAAAACUUGUCAAGGCAUGCAUUUCAUUGAAACUUCUAUUAAGCGUUUUGAUAUAUCUCUAUAGAUCUUGACGCUCAAUGUUCAAGUAGCUUUAUCUAGGUUUUUUCUUUGAAAAACUCCUUUCAAACAACCCUUUAUGCUUUACAGAAAUUCUACAUUACUUCCGAUCAACAAUAUGUCAACCACAUAUACUUAUCAGAAAUUCUGUAGUGUUUCCACCCACUUCUUUGGAAAUACAAGUUUCUCAUAAACCUUGUGUAAACCCAAAAGCUUUGAUCAUCUCAUCAAAGCGUAUAUUCCAACUCCGAGAUGCUUGCACCAGUCCAUAGAAGGAUCGCUGGAGCUUGCAUACUUGUUAGCAUCCUUAGUAUCGAAAAAACCUUCUGGUUGUAUCACAUACAACCUUUUAUGAAGGAAACCGUCGAGGAAACAACGUUUUGACAUCCUAUGUGCAAUAUUUCAUAAAUAAUGGAGCAACUGCUAACAUAAUUCCAACAGACUUUUAGUAUCGCUACGAGUGAAAAAGUCUCAUCAUAGUCAACUCUUUGAACUUGUCGGAAACAUCUUUGCGAUAAGUCGAGCUUUUCUUAAUGGUGACUUUUCACCAUCAUCGUCUGUCUUCCUCUUAAAGAUCCAUCUUUACUUAAUAGUCUUACGACCAUCAAGUAGUUUUUCCAAAGUCUACCCUUUGUUUUCAUACAUGGAUCCUCUUUCGGAUUUCAUGUCUCCAGCCAUUUGCCGGAUUCCGGGCCCACCAUUGCUUCUCCAUAGCUCGUAGGUUCAUUGUUGUUCAACAACAUGACCUCCAAGACAGGGUUACCGUACCACUCUGUUGCAGUACGCAACCUUGUCGACCUACGAGGUUUGUAGUAACUUGAUCCGAAGAUUAAUAAUCACUAUCAUCAGUUUCCACUUCAAAUGGUGUAGGCGCCACAGGAACAACUUCUUGCGCCUUGUUACACACUGGCUAAAGUGACGGUUCAAUAACCUCAUCAAGUUCCACUACCCUCCCACUCAAUUCUUUUGAGAGAAACUUUUCCUCGAGGAAGGACCUAUUUCUAGAAACACUUUGCUUCCGGAUCAGAGAUAGGAGAUGUACCCAACUGUUUGGGAUAUCCUAUGAAGAUGCAUUUAUCUGCUUUGGGUUUGAGCUUAUCAGACUGAAAUUUUUUCACAUAAGCGUCGUAGCCCCAGACUUUCAAGAAACGGCAGCUUAUGUUUCUCCAAACCAUAGCUCAUACGGUGUCAUCUCCAGGGAAUUACGUGGUGCCCUAUUUAAAAUGAAUGCGGUUUUCUCUAAUGCCUAGCCCAAAACGAUAGUGGUAUUUCGAUAAGAGACAUCAUAGUACGCGCUAUAUCCAAUAGGGCGCGGCUAUAACGUUCGGACACACCAUCACACUAUGGUGUUCUAGGUGGCAUGAAUUGCGAAACAAUUUCCAUAUUGUCUUAACUGCGUACCAAAACUUGCAACUCAGUUAUUCAUCUCUAUGAUCAUAUCAUAGACAGUUUAUCCUCUUGUCACAACGAUCUUCACUCUGAAACAACUUUGAAUUUUUUAAUAUUUCAGACUUGUGAUUCAUCAGGUAAAUACUCUUGUAUCUACUCAAAUCGGCAGUGAAGUAAGAACACGACGAUAUCCACUGCGUGCCUCACCACUAAUUGGACUGUACGCAUCAAAAAUGUAUUACUUCCGACAAGUUACUUUCUUGUUUCAUCUCACUCGAAAACGAGGCCUUCAGUCAUCUUGCCUAUGUGCUAUGAUUUGCAUGUCUCAAGUGAUUCAAAAUCAAGUGAGUCCAAAUGAUCCAUCUGCAUGGAGAUUCUUCAUGCGUUUAUACCAAUAGGUAUGGUUUGCAUGCCUCAAACAUUUCAAAAAUGAGUGAGUACAAAGAUCCAUCAGCAUGGAGCUUCUUCAUGCAUUUUACACCAACAUGACUCAAGUGGCAGUGCCACAAGUAAGUGGUACUAUCAUUACUACUUUGGAUCUUUUGGCAUCAAUAUUAUGAACAUGUGUAUCACUACGAUCGAGAUUAAAUAAACCAUUGAAUGUAAUUAUUCAAGCAAAUAGAAUAACCAUUAUUCUCAUUAAAUGAAUAAUCGUAUUGCAAUAAACAUGAUCCAAUCAUGUUCAUGCUCAACAUAAACACCAAAUAACAAUUAUUUAGGUUUAACACUAAUCCCGAUGGUAGAGGGAGCGUGCGAUGUUUGAUCACAUCAACCUUAGAAUUACUCCAACCACACAUCGUCACCUCACCCUUGCUAGUAUCCUUUUAAUCCGUAGCUAUAAUAUCGAGUUAUUAACACUUAGCAACUGAACCAGUAUCUAAUACCCUGGUGCUACUAGGAAUACUAGUAAGGUACACAUCAAUAUCAGGUAUAUCCAAUAUAUUUUAGUCAACUUUGCCAACCUUCUCAUCUACCAAGUAUCUAGGGUAGUUCCGCCUCAGUGACCGUUCCCCUCAUAACAGAAGCACAUAGUCUCGGGUUUGGGUUCAACCUUGGGUUUCUUCAUUAGAGCGGCAAUUGGUUUGCCAUUUCAUGAAGUAUCCCUUCUAUCCCUUGCCCUUCUUGAAACUAGUGGUUUUACUAACCAUCAACAAUUGAUGCUCCUUCUUGAUUUCUAGUUUCAUAGUGUCAAACAUUGCGAAUCGCUCAAGGAUCAUCAUAUCUAUCCUUGAUAUGUUAUAGUUCAUCACGAAGCUCUAGUAUCUUGGUGGCAGUGACUUUGGAGAACCAUCAUUAUCUUAUUUGGAAGAUUAACUCCCACUUGAUUCAAGCGACUGUUGUACUCAGACAAUCUGAGCACAUGCUCAACGAUUGAGCUUUUCUCCUCUACUUUGUAGACAAAGAAUCUUGUCGGAGGUCUCAUACCUCCCAACAAGGGCACGAGCAUGAAAUCUCAAUUUCAUCCCUUAAAACAUCUCAUAUGUUCUGUAACGUUCAAAACCGUCUUCGGCGCCUUACUUCUAAGCCGUUAAGUAUUACGCACUGAACUAUUACCUAGUCAUCAAAAACGUGUAUGUCAGAUGUUCGCAACAUCCACAGACGAUGCUCGAGGUGCAGCANNNNNNNNNNNNNNNNNNNNNNNNNNNNNNNNNNNNNNNNNNNNNNNNNNNNNNNNNNNNNNNNNNNNNNNNNNNNNNNNNNNNNNNNNNNNNNNNNNNNUAUCUUUCUUUUCUGAUAAUGCCUGGGCAUCUUCUGACUCCUUGUACUCUUGAAAUUCCUUCCAUGUUCGCCUGCUUGGCUAGAUACCCCUCGAAUACUGGCACUUUCUUUGUCUUCAAAGUUUUUCAAGCUUUUCUUCCAUAGGAAAGUUCGGCCAUUUCUUUAGAGUCCACGUGAUUUGGCCCUCAGUUUGUCUGCGGCGUCUUCAUUCUCAAUUCUGGCAGGUUGAAAUGUGACAUGAGAUCAUUCCAAAGAUUUCUUUGUACCUUUCGGCGACAUAGUCACAAUCGGCUGCCCCUUUGCACUUGUUCCACUCCCAACGCUGUCGGGAGUGAUCCCAGGAUCCGCAUUGCUUCUUGAAUGWSUCMGUGUGACGGAGAGGUAUCUCGGGGCCCACUCGGUAAUACAACAUCACAACAAGCCUUGCAAGCAAUGUGACUAAGGAGUUAGUUACGGGAUCUUGUAUUACGGAACAAGUAAAGAGACUUGCCGGCAACGAGAUUCAACUAGGUAUAGAGAUACCGGCGAUCGAAUCUCGAGCAAGUAACAUAUCGAAGGACAACGGGAAUAGUAUACAGGAUUAUAUGAAUCCUUGACAUAGAGGUUCAACCGAUAGAGAUCUUCGUAGAAUAUGUAGGAGCCAAUAUGGACAUCCAGGUCCCGCUGUUGGUUAUUGACCAGAGAGUGUUUCGGGUCAUGUCUGCAUAGUUUUCGAACCAGCGGGGUCUGCACACUUAGGGUGCUACCUGAUUGCUUGGUUGAGGAGCUAUCCGGACGCCCCUCAAACCUGCAACAACCACAACACGGUGUUUCGCGACAUCCUUUACCUCGUUGAGAACCAGGUGCCUUUCAUUCUUUUAGAGGGCAUCAACGGUCGCGCCAAAAGCAGUGGUCUACUCCCGUACAUGGCAAGAUAUAUCCAGAGGCUGCUGCAUGCUCAGCUGUACAUCAGCCCAGAGAAGCCGAGGCUGCCGGAGCACCCAUCCCCACCUGCCUACACCUAGUGCACACAUACNNNNNNNNNNNNNNNNNNNNNNNNNNNNNNNNNNNNNNNNNNNNNNNNNNNNNNNNNNNNNNNNNNNNNNNNNNNNNNNNNNNNNNNNNNNNNNNNNNNNGCCAGCCAGAGGGCAAUUUCUUCAGAUCCAGUGAGAGGAAAACAAAGCUCUUUGUAGGGGAAUUUAAUCCUUGACCCUUUGGUUUGUUGGAUCAAAUUACAAGACUAACAAACUCUCCCAACCUUAGUUAUUAUCUAACAAAUAGAAAUAAUACAGUUGAACCUUCUUUACGUUCGCAUAAAAAAAACAUGUUUUUUGUCUUGGAUUUCUAUUAGUGCGUCAGUUUUGUUGGUGUUUUAGCGAAUAGUCAGAUAGGUGCUUCUAUUAAUGUCACAGACAAAGUUAGAUGUCUCCGUGAGGCCCGAACCUUUGAGGGGUGCCGCAUGAGGACUCGUGUAUUCGCAGACGCUUCGACACUGGUGAGGAUGGUGUUACUGAUGUGGUCGAUGACGUGUCUGUGCGAGAUGUAGUUAGAGAGCUAAGAAAGGGACUAAGUGAAAGUUACCGUUAACUUCUGUGAUUAUAACAUAGGUACAAACAUCAUGGAACCAUUUACUCAGGAAAAAACAAAUUGUACCAUACCCCGAAAAUUAUCUGUAAACAACAUGGUAAUUUAUGCAACACAUACCUGACAACUUACGUACCCACGGGCCUCAAAAAAUUUAGCCGACGAAAUAUUGUUCAACCCCCCCCCCCCCACCCGCCGGCACGCGCGCGCCUAACUUUUCUGUAAAUAUUAUGAUAAUUCAGGCUGUUUACUUUGACAUUGGGGAAAAACAUGUUGAAACGUACCCCAUUACUUCUGUAGAAAUAGCAUGGUUCUUUAUGCGCAGCAUACCUGAGGAUCUACAUAAAAACAACAUGUUAAAUUUGAGCCGGAGGACAAAGUGGGAGAAAACAUAUCCCUGACAACUUCUAUGUAAACAACAUGACAAUUUAAGCACGGCGAAGCUGGUAACUGGAGAUUAUAUAUAGGUCAUCAAUUUUACAAAUAUAAUAUGAAGUCUAUNNNNNNNNNNNNNNNNNNNNNNNNNNNNNNNNNNNNNNNNNNNNNNNNNNNNNNNNNNNNNNNNNNNNNNNNNNNNNNNNNNNNNNNNNNNNNNNNNNNNGGGAUUGCCAUCAAAACUGAUGCACUAGAGCUAACGAGUAUGUGAAAGCUGUUAAGAAAAACUAAUGGGUGUGCAUCCAACUUGCUUGCUCACGAAGACCUAAGGCAAAAAAGCCUAUCAUUGGAAUAUACAAGCCAAGUUAUAUAAUGAAAAUUUCCCACUAACUAUAUGGUGGUGACAAAACGAAGAGACUCUCAAUCAUGAAGAUCAUGGUGCUUAAUAUGCACAAGUGUGGAUAGGUGGUAGCAUUGUCCCUUCUUCUCUUUUUCUCUUCUCUUUUUUUUGGAUUGGGCUCUUUGGUCCUCUUUUUUUUUCUUUUUUUAAUUAUUUUGGUGGGCAUCUUUGGCCUCUUUUAUUUCCUCUCAAGGGACAAUGCUCCAUCAAUGAUGAUCAUCACACUUACAACUCAAAAACUUAGAGCAAUGAUGACUCUAUAUGGAAUGCCUUCGGUAGUGUACUGUGACAAUGAUCUAGCAUGGCAUGGACAUUAAUGUAAACAUCAUGCUAGCUAUCUUACGAUCAUGCAAUGGCAAUGUAGAAGUGGUGGCACAUGUCAUGGUGGUAGUUGCAUGGCAAUAUAUCUCGGAAUGACUUUGAAAAAGCCAUAGUAGAUAGGUAUGGUGACUGUUUUGAGGGAGGCUAAUGGUGGGUUUUGUGCACCGGCGAAAGUUGCACGGCACUAAAGAAGAUAGUGAUGGUGGAAGGUGAAAGUGCAUCUAAACCAUGGACUCAACAUUAGUCAUGAAGAACUCAUAUACUUGUUGCAAAAGUUCUAGUAGUAAUCGAAACAAAGCAUUCAACGCAUAUUCCUAGGGGAAGGGUUGGUAGGUAUAAACCAUAGCGCGAUCCCGACCGCCACACAAAGGAUGACAAUCAAUAGACUAAUCAUGCUCAGACUUCAUCACAUAGCGGUUCAUCAUACGUGCAUGCUAUGGGAAUCACUAACUUCAAUACAAGUAUUUCUAGAUCCACAAUACCUUACUAAUAUAACUUCAAUAUUACCAUAACCACAACUCAAAACUAGUUGAGAUGAAUCAAACUUCUCUAACUAUUCAAUGCACAUGAAGGUGGAAGUUUUCAUAUCCCUUUGGAUAACUACCCCUUUUGAGACUACUUUCAUAGCAUAGAUCAACUACCAAGCCAAGCACCGCCGUGCUCUAAAAGAUAUAAGUGAAGCACAAAGAGCAAAAGCAACUAGCUCAAAAGAUAUAAGUGAAGCACAUAUGAGCUGAAUUGUCUAACCAAAGGAUAUAAGUGAAGCUCGACAAAAUCACGGUGAGUGCAUGUCUCUCUCUCUAGGUGUGCAGCAAGGAUGAUUGUGACACAACAAAAAUAAAAGACUCCUAUGAUACAAGACGCUCCAAGCAAAACACAUAACAUUUGGUGAAUAAAAAUAUAGCCCCAAGUAACGUUACCGAUGGAUUAAAGACGAAAGAGGGGAUGCCUUCCCGGGGCAUCCCCAAGCUUAGGCUUUUACGACAUCCUUGAAUCAUCUUGGGGUGCCUUGGGCAUCCCCAAGCUUGAGCUCUUGCCACUCUUUAUCUUUUUGUCCAUAAGAACUUCACCCAAAACUUGAAAACUUCACAACACGAAACUUAAACAGAAACUCGUGAUAACAUUAGUAUAAGAAAGCAAACCACCACUUCCUUAGGUACUGUAGCAAACUUAAAUUCUACCUAUGUUGAUGUUGGCUUACUGUAUUUUCAAUCUUCCAUGGCUAAUACCCCCCGAUACUAUCAAUAGUUUCAUCAAAAUAAGCAACCAACACAACAAAAACAGAAUCUGUUAACAGCAGACCAGUCUGUAGCAAUCUGUAAACUUCGUAUACUUAUGUUACUUCAAAAAUUCUAAAACAUUACGACAGUCUGAAGAAUUUGCGUAAAAUCUGCAGAAAAGAGAAUCAACUCAAAAGCUCUUACAGAAAAAAAUGAAAAUUCUUUUCGUGAUCAGAAAGUUUCUGUCUUUUCCAGCAUGACCAAACGAUCAUCCCCAAGACUAAUCAUAACGGUUUUUGCUUGGCACAAACGCAAAAAGAAACACAAAAAACACAAUCAUAACAGAAUUAUGAAAGUGAGGAAAACACAAAACAGAUGGGUGAAGCUGACAGGAGGCGGGGUAGUUGUAGACCAAAAGUACGACAUGACAACAGUGGAUCUCUACAAUCUUGCGUACAUGGACGAACCAUUUGCCUAGCCAAUGAUGUCGCUCAGGUUUUCUAUGUGAAGGACAUGUCUACAUUAACGAGAAAAGGAAAUCAGCAAACGAAAAUAUCGUACCGAUGAGCCAAAACGCCACAUAGUUCUUUACAGGGAAAACGUGCUAGNNNNNNNNNNNNNNNNNNNNNNNNNNNNNNNNNNNNNNNNNNNNNNNNNNNNNNNNNNNNNNNNNNNNNNNNNNNNNNNNNNNNNNNNNNNNNNNNNNNNGAUACCAAAACCAUCGCACUAUAUAAUAACAAAAAUAAUGAAAGUGAUUAAUUUAUACAAGUAUGUAUCUAAAUCAUACAAGUAAGAUUUUUUUUCUUUUGAAAAAUAAGAUAAGAACAAGAGGCUCACCACGGUGGUGCUCGCGACGAGAUCGGCACGGGGCAAUCGACAAUGGUGAGGACAGGCACGGGACGACACCCUACGCAUGUGCAGACUCUAAGAAGUUAAUUUGAGCAUUUGAAAUGAGCUACACUAGCAGUGACAAAUGAAAGGAUGAAGUAGCUAACCUUUUAAAACACUUGUGUAGUUGGUGCACGGCCAAACCUAGACAAAUAUUAAGGAAAAUGGAGCUUGGAGGUCGAGCUUGGAGAGGAGAAAGCUUAAGUAGAGUGGCUCGGGCAUUUCGUCGAACACGUCAUGUGCAUGAACUAGAGUCACACUUCAACAACCAAAAAACAGGGGAUAUGGUGGGCAGGGGCGAGGGUUUAUAUAGGCAACACUUUAGUCCCGGUUCGUUCCACGCCCCGGGACUAAAGGCCCCUGCUUCCCGCCUUCUGGUCUGACCGAAAARGGKCCUUUAGUCCCGGGUCGUGGCUCCACCCGGGACUAAAGGGGUCUUUAGUCCCGGAUCGNGCCCCGAACCGGGCUAAGAUCCACUUGUCUAAGCGGGAGUUAGAAAANNNNNNNNNNNNNNNNNNNNNNNNNNNNNNNNNNNNNNNNNNNNNNNNNNNNNNNNNNNNNNNNNNNNNNNNNNNNNNNNNNNNNNNNNNNNNNNNNNNNUUAGCAUUUAAGACGACGUUACCUGUAACUAGGCAUUUAUUCGCCACCACUCACCCCUGUGCACGAACCAUUGUGGAGGGCAGCGCACUCUAUAUAAGCCACCUCCCCCACCUGGUGCAGGGAUUAGCAACUCAUGGUAUUCCAUAUUCCACUUGACAACAAGCUCCGAGAGCACUGAGACUUAAGGCUAUUACCUCCACCGCAGAGGGGCCUGAACUCAUACAACCUCGCCGUAGCUAAGGCUCUGCCCAUCCUUUCGUACCCUACACAUCUACUGUCAGGCUUAUACCCACGAGAGUUGGCGCCCACCAUGGGGCAGGCGUCUAAGCGACUUCCGGCGAGUUUGCGACUACAUCAUUUCAUCAUGUCUUCCGGUGGAGAUUCGAGCAUGGCUCACGAGAUCUUCUUCGGCGCUCUCUCCUUCAUCGUCGACGAUUCGGCAUGGCUUCGGGACGCCCCUCUCGACGUCGAGGCGCUUCCCCGCCGCGGGGCUACUCACUUUCGUGCCAGCGCCCGCGGCAUUCUUCUUCUCCAGCAGUCGGCUCCGGUGUCGACCUGCACCGUCGUCACGUGCCGCAACAAGCGGUCCCGCCGUCCGCGGUUCAAGCGUUGGGUGCAACACGCCCAGGUGCGCCAGAACGCGUCUUCACAAGUGGAGGUUCUAGAGUCGGUUGUGGUUGCCCCGCUGUCCCAGCGCUCGGACUCGGUUCCGACUGAGUUUCCUUCCGAGUACGCGGGUCGCGGGCCUGCAGCAGAAUUACACAUGGCCAACUCCCAUGAAGAUCCCCAUCAAGCUGGCCGGAACGAGCACGAGAUCGGCGAAACGUUCGGCGCGCGUCGUCCACCUCGCCGUUCUGCCAAUCGGCACACUCGGCGGAGCAACGUGGAGUUGUUCCGCACACCCCUUCUCAACUUGGCUGCGGCUGCCAAGAUAGCCGAUUCCCUUCAGCCGACUGAUUCAGAUACUGGUAGGSAUCAAGAUCUAUGGAGAUAGAUCGAGACACCUCAUAGGUAUUUCGCAAAUUACAUACCUUGACAAGAUAGAAGUUCAAUAUGGAAAACUCAAARRAAGGGUUCUUGCCAGUUUUGUAAGGUAUGAGAUUGAGUAAGACNNNNNNNNNNNNNNNNNNNNNNNNNNNNNNNNNNNNNNNNNNNNNNNNNNNNNNNNNNNNNNNNNNNNNNNNNNNNNNNNNNNNNNNNNNNNNNNNNNNNCCUUUGCCGAUAGCAGAGACAGAACAAUUGUAGCUUUAGGUCGGGCAUAGAUAGCUCUUUGCCAAAGGUACGAAAGUGAUACCCGUUGAUGUUAGUGCAUUUGAUAGCACGUAUUAGAUCCAGCCAGGUGUGUUGAUGCAGUUUUUGUUUGAUUUGUAGUAUGUGUUGCUUGGCCCCCAUGAGUAGGAAUGAUCAAAUCAAUCGUUUUUCCACAUCCGGGCCCGAGCGCUGGAACUUGUGAUAUGUGGGUCAUUGGUCGCAAAUUGCUAGCAACAAGCCAUGCUCGAGAUGUGUUGUUUUCCCAAGCAUGGACAUAACUACUCUCUCCCUCUUCUCACCGGUCUCUCCCCCACUCUCCAAUCUCACACCAUCUGUGGCGAGCGUGAAAUAUGGGCAUUGAGCAAUGGCGACGUUAACCGGUUUUACCACCUCAGUAGCACGCACUUGGCAAUGGCGGUAAGCCCUCUCUCCUUGUACUCAAAACCUCCACUUGUGAAGACGCGUUCUGGCGCACCUGGGCGUGUUGCACCCAACGCUUGAACCGCGGACGGCGGACCGCUUGUUGCGGCACGUGACGACGGUGCAGGUCGACACCGGAGCCGACUGCUGGAGAAGAAGAAUGCCGGCGGGCGCUGGCACGAAAGUGAGUANNNNNNNNNNNNNNNNNNNNNNNNNNNNNNNNNNNNNNNNNNNNNNNNNNNNNNNNNNNNNNNNNNNNNNNNNNNNNNNNNNNNNNNNNNNNNNNNNNNNGAAUGGCGGACCAUUUCAUUGUAUAUCUUCACCAACCUAAAAGAAGUGCGGCCGUACAUCGAGUAAGGUCUCGGUAAUUUAUUGUUCCGCAACUUCUAAUUACUUUGAACUACUCUUAUUCCCGGAUAUUUGAUAUAGUCGAUACGUCUCCGAAUUCUCGGAUGGAGCGGUCAUCAAAAAGGNUUCCGUCGAAGAGUAUGAGCUUUCUCGCAAAGCAUGGAGGCGACUAUCCCAGUUUCAUCUCUUGCUUCAAACAAAGGGUAAUUAAUUACCAUUUAAGGGCCCAUUUGAUUUAUUGGUCUAAUUUGCGGCUAAUGCAUCCAUUAUCCGGAUGACUCUAAGUCACAGACCGGGUUACAUAUAUGUUUUGAAUGGUGGGCAGUGAGAUGGUGCAGCAGCAAGCAAGAAGUCGUGGCCGCAUCUACAUGUGAAGCGGAGUACAUAGCUGCUUCAGAACACUACAAGAAAUAUGUCCAUUUAUGACAAAAAUAUAACGACCAGGGUUUAUUGGUCAUAGAUCAGUGACCAAAUAAUACAWMRMWSKCGGGGACUUAGCUGCGAUCAAGAAUCGCCUAAGUAAUAACUUUCUCCGAGUGUGCACUAAACGUAGCACUCGGGAACCGAGCCGCCAUCAAGAAUCGCCUCAGUACAAAUUUCCUCCGAGCGUGCACUACUCGUCACACUUGAAGACCUAACUGCGAUCAAGAAUCGCUUUAAUGGGAAAGCUUCCUGCGACUGUAUCCUACAGAUACACUCGGGGACUCAGCAGACCCUCAUUGAGGCUCAUGUAGAUGUCAAGACCACUGACAAUUACAUGAGUAGAAGACCCUCAUUGAGGCUCAUGUGGAUGUCAAGACCACUGACAAUUACAUGAGUAGUAGACCCUCAUUGAGGCUCAUGUGGAUGUCAAGACCACUGAUAAUUACAUGAGUACCAACUCGCUUCGAGUGAGGCCUGUCCGACUCACUCAACGACUUACCCACGAUCAUGAAUCGCCUAAGUACUCUAUUGCCUUUGAGUGUACNNNNNNNNNNNNNNNNNNNNNNNNNNNNNNNNNNNNNNNNNNNNNNNNNNNNNNNNNNNNNNNNNNNNNNNNNNNNNNNNNNNNNNNNNNNNNNNNNNNNCUCAAUGAGGGUCUUCUACUCAUGUAAUUGUCAGUGGUCUUGACAUCUACAUGAGCCUCAAUGAGGGUCUGCUGAGUCCCCGAGUGUAUCUGUAGGAUACAGUCGCAGGAAGCUUUUCCCAUUAAAGCGAUUCUUGAUCGCAGUUAGGUCUUCAAGUGUGACGAGUAGUGCACGCUCGGAGGAAAUUUGUACUGAGGCGAUUCUUGAUGGCGGCUCGGUUCCCGAGUGCUACGUUUAGUGCACACUCGGAGAAAGUUAUUACUUAGGCGAUUCUUGAUCGCAGCUAAGUCCCCGAGUGCGAAGUUUAGUGCACACUCGGGGAAAUUUAAUACUUAGGAAAUUCGUGAUCGCAGCUAAGUCCCCGAGUGCAACGUUUAGUGCACACUCGGAGAAAGUUAGUACUUAGGCGAUUCGUGAUCGCAGCUAAGUUCCCGAGUGCGACGUUUAGUGCACACCCGGAGUAAGUUAGUACUUAGACGAUUCGUGAUCGCAGCUAAGUCCCCGAGUGCUAGAAAACCGAUCUAGAGAAAGAAUUAUGAUCUAGAGGAGAGGGCAACACGUGGCAAAGUUGUGUCUCAAAAAGCCCUAAACCUCUAAUAUGUAUUGGAGGAGGGAAGAAGCAGCCUUGGCGCGCCAAGGAAGACCUCCUUUGGGUCGGCCGAAGUGGGGAAAGGAGGAGUCCUUCUCCAAUCCCACUUGGAUUAUGACUCCUUCCUUGUUUUCCCACCUCUUUUGGAUUUUCCACUUUUUCCUCAUGGGAUUUCUUUGGAUGACUUUUUAGUCUAUUAUACCUUAUUGCGCAUCCAAUAGACCCACGUGGACCCCUUGGGGGUGGUGGUCCCACCCAGUGGGCCCCCAGAACCNNNNNNNNNNNNNNNNNNNNNNNNNNNNNNNNNNNNNNNNNNNNNNNNNNNNNNNNNNNNNNNNNNNNNNNNNNNNNNNNNNNNNNNNNNNNNNNNNNNNUUACACACUGGCUAAAGUGACGGUUCAAUAACCUCAUCAAGUUCCACUACCCUCCCACUCAAUUCUUUUGAGAGAAACUUUUCCUCGAGGAAGGACCUAUUUCUAGAAACACUUUGCUUCCGGAUCAGAGAUAGGAGAUGUACCCAACUGUUUGGGAUAUCCUAUGAAGAUGCAUUUAUCUGCUUUGGGUUUGAGCUUAUCAGACUGAAAUUUUUUCACAUAAGCGUCGUAGCCCCAGACUUUCAAGAAACGGCAGCUUAUGUUUCUCCAAACCAUAGCUCAUACGGUGUCAUCUCCAGGGAAUUACGUGGUGCCCUAUUUCUAUACGGACAGACAAAGGGAAUUGUAUACGGGAUUGAUUGAAUCCUUGACAUCGUGGUUCAUCCGAUGAGAUCAUCGUGGAGCAAGUGGGAGCCACCAUGGGUAUCCAGACCCCGCUGAUGGUUAUUGGCCAGAGAGGUGUCUUGGUCAUGUCUACAUGUUCCCCGAACCCGUAGGGUCUACACACUUAAGGUUCGAUGACGCUAGGGUUAUAGGGAAUUGUUAUAAGAGGUUAUCGCUAGNNNNNNNNNNNNNNNNNNNNNNNNNNNNNNNNNNNNNNNNNNNNNNNNNNNNNNNNNNNNNNNNNNNNNNNNNNNNNNNNNNNNNNNNNNNNNNNNNNNNGGAUCCUGUACAACGGCACAUUAACACUGCACAUCGUUGGUAGGGUACGCAGCGCAAUGGAAAUCGUCGCCUCAAGCUGAGCUAUCUGGUGUGGCUGCAAGAAGCACUCUGUGGUACCUGUUGUUGUUGGCCAACUUGUUGUGGUUGAGGUUGUUGGAAAGAACAUUGWCCUGGAUSUCCAUAUUGGCUCCUACAUAUUCUACGAAGAUCUCUAUCGGUUGAACCUCUAUGUCAAGGAUUCAUAUAAUCCUGUAUACUAUUCCCGUUGUCCUUCGAUAUGUUACUUGCUCGAGAUUCGAUCGCCGGUAUCUCUAUACCUAGUUGAAUCUCGUUGCCGGCAAGUCUCUUUACUUGUUCCGUAAUACAAGAUCCCGUAACUAACUCCUUAGUCACAUUGCUUGCAAGGCUUGUUGUGAUGUUGUAUUACCGAGUGGGCCCCGAGAUACCUCUCCGUCACACGGAGUGACAAAUCCCAGUCUUGAUCCAUGCCAACCCUACAGACACCUUUGGAAAUACCUGUAGAGCACCUUUAUAGUCACCCAGUUACGUUGCGAUGUUGCUUUNNNNNNNNNNNNNNNNNNNNNNNNNNNNNNNNNNNNNNNNNNNNNNNNNNNNNNNNNNNNNNNNNNNNNNNNNNNNNNNNNNNNNNNNNNNNNNNNNNNNGGCGUCGGGGUCGUGGGCGGGGGUCAGGGUCCUUUUCUUUCUUCUUCUCCUCUCUCCUCUUUUUCUUCUUCUUCUUGUAUAUCCCUUGUGACCUCACUCGGCCUCCAUAACUCUAACUUUCUAUUAACCCUCGUUACUAGAAAUGGAAACUAUCUAGAAUCUAGUGUUUUUUUUAAGAUUUUUGCUUUCCUCCUUGAAAGAAGAGACCACCAUUGCAAAAGCACAAAGAAGCAACCGAUGCAUAUAUCUGAGGAUAAGUUUCAUUUUUUAUAUGUGCCACCGGAAUUUUCUAUUUUCCAAAUGUUGCAUCCAUGACAAGGAGGGGCCGGGCCCACCUGUCAUCGACACGGCGAGUGGCAUGUAUGUAUCAUGUGGCAGCAGAUAAUUAAAUUAAUGGACAACACAUCAUCUUGGAUUAAUCACUUUUGCUUUGAUAUGAUUUAAUUAAGGUUAGUGGGAAGAAACAAAAAGGCCUAGCUAGGAGACUGAAUCAUCUCUUGUUCUGAUCAGAAAAUGUACAUCAACCUCAGAUCCAAAUGGACUCCCAUGGUUCAUGGAUUCAUCGUCUAAAGCUAUCUAGAGUCAGGUACAAGGAAAGUUCAUCGUCAGAUGCACUGAAAUGAAAAAAAGAAAGAAAAAAAAUUGAACUCACCAGGGAAGUUGCCGUGGGAGGGUGUGGCCGCGGGGAGGGGGUGGACGCGGGAGGGGUGGUGGCCGGCCGGGACGGUUGUGGCCGCGGGGAGGGGGUGGCCGGCGAGGGAGGCGUGCUAGNNNNNNNNNNNNNNNNNNNNNNNNNNNNNNNNNNNNNNNNNNNNNNNNNNNNNNNNNNNNNNNNNNNNNNNNNNNNNNNNNNNNNNNNNNNNNNNNNNNNCCGGAAGCAAGGGAAUGGUACGGCGACGGGGUCGCCCACAUGACGCCGGAGGAGUUGGCGAGGAUGCUGCUCCAUGAUGGGUGCUACCUGUUGGGUUGGUUGGGGAACUAUCCAGACGCCCCUCAAACAUCCUGCCACGACCACAACACGGUCUUUCGUGACAUCCUUUACCUCAUCGAGAACCAGAUGCCUUUCUUCGUUCUUGAGAGGAUUCACGCCCCUUGGGUGCGCAGGAGGAGGCGAGAGGAGUGGAUCAAUCAAAGGCAAGAGAUCCGGCGAGCGUAACGAGAAAACCCUCGCCACUGAGGUUUAAGUAAGGUUCCGACUGCGUCACUGGCAGGUGGCCCCGAAACCCUAUCCCCCGACCAACCGCGGCGAUAUCAGUGGAGAAGAUGAAGGUGCAAGAAUCGAGGCGUCAAGCGCUACUCGAGCGCGAUGUCGGCAUCCCCACUGAGCGCGCGGUAACCGAAAUUUAAGGAUCCCGGAAAAUCCGCCGCUGUCAGUUGACUGGUCACGUCAGGAAWNNNNNNNNNNNNNNNNNNNNNNNNNNNNNNNNNNNNNNNNNNNNNNNNNNNNNNNNNNNNNNNNNNNNNNNNNNNNNNNNNNNNNNNNNNNNNNNNNNNNCCAUCACGCUGCCGGAGAACUCAUCUACUUCCCCGCCAUCUUGCUGGAUCAAGAAGGCGGAGAUUGUCAUCGAGUUGUACGUGUGCUGAACGCGGAGGUGCCGUCCGUUUGACGCAAGAUCAGAAUGGAUCGUGGGACGACGGUGAUUUGAAUCACGAAGCUGUACCACUACAUCAACCACGUUUCUUAACGCUUCCCGCUUAGCGAUCUACAAGGGUAUGUGGAUCCGAUCUCCCUCUCGUAGAUGAACAUCAACCUGAUAGGUCUUCGUGUGCGUACGAAAUUUUUUGUUUCCCAUACAAUGUUUCCUAACAGGUACGUACCGCUCGAUUGCCUUUUACAAUAGCAAAAUUAAAUGACAAAAAAAAUAUUUCUUCUUCUUGUAACCCUAAACUAAUUUUUCCUCUUCUUCUAUUUCUCCUCUUCUUCUACUUCUUCUUCUACUUCAACUUCUCCUCUUCUUCUACUACUUCUCCUCUCCUCUUCUUCUAUUUUCCUCUUCUUCUCCUCUCCNNNNNNNNNNNNNNNNNNNNNNNNNNNNNNNNNNNNNNNNNNNNNNNNNNNNNNNNNNNNNNNNNNNNNNNNNNNNNNNNNNNNNNNNNNNNNNNNNNNNUUCUUAUAUGCAUGAUUUGAUAUCCUUGUAAGUCUCUCCGAGUCUUGGGUUUUGUUUGGCCAACUAGAUCUAUGAUUUUGCAAUGGGAGAAGUGCUUAGUUUAGGUUCAUACCGUGUGGUGACUUUCCCAGUGACAGAAGGGGCAGCAAGGCACGCAUCAUGUUGUUGCCAUCAAGGGUAACAAGAUGGGCUUUUAUCGUAGAUAUGAGAUUGUCCAUCUACAUCAUGUCAUCUUGCUUAAGGCGUUACUCUGUUCUCAUGAACUUAAUACACUAGAUGCAUGCUGGAUAGCGGUCGACGUGUGGAGUAAUAGUAGUAGAUGCAGAAAGUAUCGGUCUACUUGUCUCGGACGUGAUGCCUAUAUGUAUGAUCAUUGCCUUAGAUAUUGUCAUGACUUUGCGCGUGUCGUGGGUAUAAGCCUGACAGUAGAUGUGUAGGGUACGAAAGGAUGGACAGAGCCUUAGCUACGGCGAGGUUGUAUGAGUUCAGGCCCCUCUGCGGUGGAGGUAAUAGCCCUACGUCUCAGUGCUCUCGGAGCUUGUUGUCGAGUGGAAUAUGGAAUACAAUGAGUUGCUAACCCCUGCACCAGUGGGGGAGGGUGGCUUAUAUAGAGUGCGCUGCCCUCCACAACGGUUCGGUACACAGGGGUGGAGUAGUGGCGAAUAAAUGCGUACGUUACAGGUAACGUACGUCUUAAAUGCUAAUAAAGGCACAUGGAAAUGUAUGACCGUUUCCCUCGAGGGGGGUUACGAUGCACAGAGUGGAAUCCAGUUGGUUAGUUUGAUAAACUCCGAAUGGUAAUCUCCGACUGGAUGGUCGAGGAUCUGUUACCGACUGGAUGAAGGGAACWCCUUAGUUCAGUCGGAACUGACUAAGGGCCUUGUCCCUUAUGAGGGGUAGUCCUUGGGUUGGACCUAYAGGGCAGGCCUAUGACCCUACCCUAGGACUAUGACCCCAUCAGCGCGGUUCUAUCAAUUUGCUCGACAGUAAUUUGUUCACCCACCGUAAUAUUUGCUAUUUUGAGAGAAGCCUCUAGUGAACACUAUGGCCCCCGGGUCUACUUCACAUCAUAUUCAAGACACUUACAGAAGCUGAGAGAGAGCAAAAGAAGCGGCAGAAGGAUGAGGAGAAUGACAAGUUCAACCAGUUGCUUGCCAGGAUUNNNNNNNNNNNNNNNNNNNNNNNNNNNNNNNNNNNNNNNNNNNNNNNNNNNNNNNNNNNNNNNNNNNNNNNNNNNNNNNNNNNNNNNNNNNNNNNNNNNNUGGGCCUUAGGACCACCAGCGCCUAGGGUUUCCCCCUCUCCCCACCUCCUGCGCCUUGGGCUGAGUGUGGGAGGCGCACCAGCCCACCUAGGGGGCUGGUCCCCUCUCGCACUUGGCCCAUCUAGCCUCCCGGGGUCGUUGCCCCCUUCCGGUGGACCCCCCGGGGGCCACCUCCGGUGGUCCCGGUGCGUUACCGGUGACGCCCGAAACACUUCCGGUGUCCGAAACCAUCCGUCCUAUAUAUCAAUCUUUGCCUCCGGACCAUUCCGGAGCUCCUCGUGGCGUUUGGGAUCUCAUCCGGGACUCCGAACAACUUUCGAUAACCUCGUAUAACAAUUCCCUAUAGCCCUAGCAUCAUCGAACCUUAAGUGUGUAGACCCUACGGGUUCGGGGAACAUGUAGAGAUGACCAAGACUAGCMUCUGUGGCCAAUAACCAUCAGCGGGGUCUGGAUACCCAUGGUGGCUCCCACUUGCUCCACGAUGAUCUCAUCGGAUGAACCACGAUGUCAAGGAUUCAAUCAAUCCCGUAUACAAUUCCCUUUGUCUGUCGGUAUAGAACUUGCGCGAGAUUCGAUCGUCUGUAUACCUAUACCUUGUUCAAUCUCGUUACCGGUAAGUCUCUUUACUCGUUCCGUAGCACGUCAUCGCGUGACUAACUCAUUUAGUCACAUUGAGCUCAUGAUGAUGUUCUACCGAGUGGGCCCAGAGAUACCUCUCCGCCACACGGAGUGGCAAAUCCCGAUCUCGAUUCGUACCAACCCAACAGACACUUUCAGAGGUACCCGUAGUGCACCUUUAUAGUCACCCAGUUACGUUGUGACGUUUGAUACACCCAAAGCACUCCUACGGUAUCCGGGAGUUGCACAAUCUCACGGUCGAAGGAAAAGACACUUGACAUUAGAAAAGCUUUAGCAUACGAACAAUACGAUCUAGUGCUACGCUUAAGAUUGGGUCUUGUCCAUCACAUCAUUCUCCCAAUGAUGUGAUCCCGUUAUCAAUGACAUCUAAUGCCUAUGACGAGGAAACCAUGAUCAUCUAUUUACUAACGAGCUAGCCAACUAGAGGCUUGCUAGGGACAUAUUGUNNNNNNNNNNNNNNNNNNNNNNNNNNNNNNNNNNNNNNNNNNNNNNNNNNNNNNNNNNNNNNNNNNNNNNNNNNNNNNNNNNNNNNNNNNNNNNNNNNNNGGUGCCCCACCCCUCCCCCCUGCCCUGGCCGCCGCACCUCCCAUCUGGGGGGCUGCCGCACCACCUAGGGUGGGAACCCUAGGGGUGGCACCCCCCUCCCCUCCUCCUAUAUAUAGUGGGAGUUUCGGUGCUCUUUUACACACAGUUUUCUCUCUCCCACGACGCAGUCGUGCUCUUCUUUCUCCUCCUCUCUGCCGGUGCUUGGCGAAGCCCUGCCGGGAGACCUCGUCUCUCCAUCGACACCACGCCGUCGUGCUGCCGGAGAUCUUCCCCAACCUCUCCCUCCUCCUUGCUGGAUCAAGGUGCGGGAGACGUCACCGGGCUGCACGUGUGUUGAACGCCGAGGUGCCGUAGUUCGGCACUAGAUCGGAAUCACACCGCAAUCUGAAUCGCCGCGAGUACGACUCCAUCAACCGCCUUCUAGUAACGCUUCCGCUUAGCGAUCUUCAAAUGUAUGAAGACGCACUCACCCCUCUCUCGUUGCUGGUCUCUCCAUAGGAAGAUCUGAAUAUGCGUMGGMWAMRCUUUGAAUUUAUGCUACGUUACCCAACAGUGGCAUCCGAGCCNNNNNNNNNNNNNNNNNNNNNNNNNNNNNNNNNNNNNNNNNNNNNNNNNNNNNNNNNNNNNNNNNNNNNNNNNNNNNNNNNNNNNNNNNNNNNNNNNNNNUAGGGCGAAUUCUGCUGCCAACCGUUACCACCCUCAUAAUCCUGCUGCUAAGAGAUUUCUUUUCAACUCCUCCAACAAAACUGCGAGUUUGAAAAUAGAUUUUCCUAACUGAACGUGUAGAUUUUCCAUGUCGGACCCACAUAUCAGCCGCUGGUACACCUAGCAUGCAUGCACAUAACUGGUUGUACUAUUCUAUUACUUAGAUCAAGUCAAUGGAACUUACGAAUUAUUUAGAACUUCGAUUCGCUUCUGCGUGCUAUAUAGAUCAUACUAAGCCUGUUUCUCCAUGGAUCCAUCGUCUGAAGCAGCUAAUCUCACAAAUUCGUGGCCUCUUACCAUUGUUGCAGGGUGGACGUGACUGGACGCAGUGGUAAGCCCCAAGCUCCUUCGUGUGUGUCCUAGAUUACUAGCACAUUAACUUGUCAUUUAUUGGGUAAUUGUAGUAUUUCGUUCAAAUUUUUUUGGAGCUAUAUACCUUCCAAAUGCAAUAAUACAUACAUUUUUUUCACUCUGUUUUCUACAAGGGGCGGGUAUGGAUAAGGUUGAACUGGCUAACGUUGCAAAGCCGGCUGAUGAGCCCACUCUAGGAGCAGCUUCGUCCUCAAUAUCAGCUGCUCGAGGAAUGAAAGGUAUGGAUCCAGUUAGAGGAUAGUAUGUAGCUCGAACCAAUAUAUAUCCGUUCGUACUCGUACCUAUCUUUGGAUUUUUCUCCUGGGAGCUUCUUGAUUAGCAAGUUGAACCACCGACCUUUUAGAGUUUUAGUUCACAAUGGAACAAAGGUGAACAAGCUUGCUGCUAUGCUAACAAUGCUUGGAUAUUAGCUUCCUUCAUUUAAUCUAGUUUCCUUCCUUUGCUCAGUAGGCGAUCGAAAAAUCGAUCUGUUUCUUGCUGUCCUGUUGCUAUGAGCUUCUGCCUUCUUGUUGGUUUCACCUAGUGCAGCCGCCAUUAUUGAAUCCACUGGGAGCUUCUUGCUACUUAUUUUGCGCAGUUGUUAUUUUUAUGAGGACGGUCUACUGCUGUUGUGUGCGUCACACUAGAUAGAACUGUCUCAAGCAUUUUAUUUUUGUUUUUCUUACUGACUUUUGGUAAUGUAUUCAUACUAUGCGCCUCCACAUAGUAUAGGGGUCAAAAAUGUACUUUUCCAUCAUCUAAAGAAUUUACAACUUUGAUUUGCGAUAGCUUGACUAAGAGUACAGUUCCUGUAAGAAAAUCUUCGUAAAAAUGGUUUUACGGGGUAUCCGUAUAGUGGAAGUUGACAGCAGGUGAAGUGUUUUUUAGUUCCCCUAAAACUUCCCCCAAAAGUGGUUUUUGGCGAUGGCAUGACGACGACGGCAAACUCUAGCAGCGGGCGGGCGGCACGAGCGUACUCCGUUGACGGUUAGGUGACGUGAAACUUUUUUGGGAAACGCCAUCUUCGCAUAGACUGAGGCAAUGUUUUGGAGAAAUUACAGGAUCUGCAAAAAUAAUUGCACGUUUCAGAAAACUAUUCAAGAACUUUUUUCAAUCCAACUUCACCUAAACAAUGGUUAUUUUACGAAAUAUGGGAACUGUUAGAGAUGCUGUUAAGACGGACCUAGAAAUAUCUAUAUUUGUGGAGAAAAGUGAGCACUCAACUAGCACCACAUGAUAUAAAUUGUGAAUUUACACCUUACUAUUUGGGAAUAAUUAAGUUGUCUACGCUAGUACUAAAUCAAAAUUUAGUUGGCAUUGAAGGUGGCACGGUGAUUCAAAUGCUAAACAAAGAAGGGUAGCGAUUUAUUCUUCGUUUCUACCAGAUGCUACAUCUUAAGCACCUUGGGAGCGUAAAUAAUUGUGAUCAUAUACAUGUAAAAUGACAGCAAGCCCACUGUUGUUGGUUUAAAUAAUGUCGGCUGCAUGUCGGCGUUCCGUGCCACCAGUAAGGUGGCUUCAUGGUCUGACGUACCGGCCCCAUGACAGACUGUCAAUGCUCGACAUGCUCGACGGUGAUGUGGUGCACAUCACCAUCCGUGGAGGACUCACGAACCAAGGCGCAGAGAAUGAAUGACUUGAAAGUAGGAUUAUAACUACGAUGGUUAACGAGCAAAGGGCAUGCAGCUACGUCAGCAAUGGAAGCCACCUUCUUGCAAGACAACUCAUUCGGUAGCAUUUGUUAGCAUGUAUUUUGUUAGAUGAAACACAUGUUGUGUGGUAACCUCCGAGUGAUGAGGUUACCAGCACACUGAGAACCAGGAGAUAGUAAAAACCAUAACUUAACUCAAGAAAAGUCGUAAAAAAACAAUUCAAUGAUUAAUUGGAACAACCCAUGCGGAGAGAACUUCCUACAUAUCCAUGGGAAAGGCCUCAUCAUGCUUCUCACACUUGGACACCACCUCGACGUUAUCGUCCUUGAAGACGAUCACAUUUAGCAUGUCGGGUGUCACUAGCUUCAAGGAGACUAGGUAUAUGUGAUCCAGAUUUGGUGACGAGCGGUGAAGGAGGCCCAACCCUGAUUGAGGGUGAGCCUAUCGUUGAUCCACCAGACCAUCACCCUCGAGGCAGCACUAGUGUUUGUCUUCAUCCUGAAUUACUUUAGGACAUCGGUGAAGUGAUUGGUGGGCUCCAGUGCCUUCGACAAACAGUCCAGCUUUGGUGCAAGCAUGGCAUUGUAGAAGUGGGUUGGCCCGGCCCUCAUGGAGAAGCUCGUAGUUUUUUACCGCGUUUGGGCAUUGCCGAGCUAUACCACCGCCUUUCCCUUCUUGUCGGAUGUAACCACCUCUUUGCCAUUGGAGUUCCCUGAACUACCCUGGUUGAUCUACAUUAUGAACAACAUGACUGAAGGUAAAUGAAGGGAUAAAUGCAACACACAUCAGGGACGGAGCCAACAUUCAUGCAUAGUGGGGGCAAGUUUGUUCAUGGAAGGGGUAAAGUUCAUAUAAAGUGAAACUUUGUUACUACAACAACUAUAAUCAUAGUAGAAGAAUCAAUUUGUUAGGGGGUCUAGCCCCCCUCGCCACCCCUAUAUUCCUCCUUGCACACAUAUGAGCACGAUCUAUGAAGAAUGCAUAAUUUAUUAAACCCCACCCACCACAUCAUUCAACUACCUUUUCCAAUCGUUUGUAUAUCUUUGUCUUCUACCAUCUCCUGUUAUAUAUAUUUGUCUCUUAGUCUUCUAACGUCUACUAUUCCAUAAGUCUGUAUCACUAUCUCUUUGUCUCACCACCUCUCCAUGCACGAACCCCAUCCAUGAACGCACUCCACUGCCACUUCAAACCAUCUAUAUAAUAUAUGGCUCUCUUUGUAUACUACCGUCGCCUCUCUAUUUCGUCUUUAUCUCACCACCUCUCCAUCGCCAUGAACCUCAUCCAUAAUCCCUUCCACGGGCAUUGGAUUUACCCCCUCCUCCAUCGUACUCGAUCCUGUUGAAACCACUUAAAUCCAUCAGAUUUCCUGAAUCUAGUAUCAAAUCUAGCCGGAGAGACAGAUUAAAUACCUAAUGUGCAAAUCGAGUUCGGGCAUGGUAUAAGAAAGGAAUCGUAGGCAACUAAAUUAGUUGAGUACAAGGAGAGAGGGCUUACCGCCAUUGCCAAGUGCGUGCUACUGAGGUGGUAAAACCGGUUAACGUCGCCAUUGCUCAAUGCCCAUAUUUCACGCUCGCCACAGAUGGUGUGAGAUUGGAGAGUGGGGGAGAGACCGGUGAGAAGAGGGAGAGAGUAGUUAUGUCCAUGCUUGGGAAAACAACACAUCUCGAGCAUGGCUUGUUGCUAGCAAUUUGCGACCAAUGCCCACAUAUCACAAGUUCCAGCGCUCGGGCCCGGAUGUGGAAAAACGAUUGAUUUGAUCAUUCCUACUCAUGGGGGCCAAGCAACACAUACUACAAAUCAAACAAAAACUGCAUCAACACACCUGGCUGGAUCUAAUACGUGCUAUCAAAUGCACUGUCGAUGUCUCCUACAUGACGGAACCUGCAGCUUUAAUGGUAUCCAAGCGGAGAUGCCAAUCCUGGGAUCUGUCAUGUCCCUGCACCAACGUAAGGCAGCGUAGGCAUGUCGAAGCCGAUUGAUAGAUAACUUGUGGUACAGUUCCCUUCGUACCAUCCUAGAUAUAUAACAGCAUCUACAGUCAGACUUCUCAAAUCCGUCUCAAACCUCCGGAGACGGGCCAUCCGGUCAAUGAUCCGUACAAAAAAAUCUACCUAACCGGAGUUCUCAAACUGCAGACAAAUGCCAGGAUUGAACGGCAUCCCUCAUAUCCAACCCAAAUCUAGGGUGGAUAUGAGGCAGUUUGGGCGCGCUCGGGGCCGUCCGCCCGGUCCACCGCUGGCACACUCUGAUCCCACAAAUCCCCCCUAAGCAAAUCCUAGGCUCACUUCACUCCGCUCCCCCACACUCGUGUUUCCCCAAUCCGUCCCAACCCGAGCGACGAUGACCAUGUCCAGCACCGGCAGUAAUUCCGAUGUUAGCUUCGGAAACAAGGACGAGUUGGCACUCCAUAUCGCGCUGGAUCACUCGCGGGUCGAUACAUGCAACAUGUCCGGUUCAGGUGCAAUGUCACCCAUCACCGAUCGCCACAACACUGACUCCGAAGCUGCUCCUUCACGGCUUGCGUGUGAAUCUGCGAGGGCGGACCAAUCGACACCACCCACUCAACGACCUGCUUCAUCUCCCCGCCGAUGUUCCGUGUACGCAGCGGUGGGUUCUAGGGAGAUGGAGGCACACGUCACCCACCACGGGAGGCAGACAGCAAGGGAGAUGGGCCUCGCAUCUGAUGUUGGUGUGUAGUCCGGCUGCCGCCACCAUAUGAUGCCGCUGCCAAUGAUGAGGAGCGUCUCCUUCAGUGGGUGUAUCGUCGGUCACUUACCACGGCGGAGACGGACGCCCGACGGCUGCGGAGGAUCAAUGUCAAGCAGCUCUAGCUCGACAUUGAGUAUUUUGAGCCGGAGGGCAUCGCUUGUCACUUGCAGGGCUCCAUCAUCAUCUGCGAUUUCUCCAACCAUGAUAGGUCCGACUCUGUCGGCUCCGACAUGGACCCACGUCCUUCCAGAGACGCCUACAACAGCGGCAGCAACCGGAAAAGCAAAGGGUCGGCUAGAAAGUGUUGAUGCUCCGCCCUUUCAUAUCUUGCUAGUAGUAUCUACUCCCUCCGUUCCUAAAUAUAAGACCUUUUAGAGAUUGCACUAUGAAAUACAUACAAAUGUACAUAGACAUAUUUUAGAGUGUGGAUUCAUUCAUUUUGCUUCGUAUGUAGUCUUGUAGUGAAAUAUCUAAAAGAUCUUAUAUUUAGGAAUGGAGGGAGUACAUCCUAGUAUUAGUUAGCAUUUGACGGAGAAUAUAAACUGUAUGAGCUAUGACCAAUCUUUUUUUGAUGUUUAUAUGUAAAUUUAUGCCCGUUUGCUAUUGGUUUAGAGUACGUUUCCUGUUGAUUUUUCUCGUCUGGUGAUCUACCUACUACGUUGCAUGAUCUUGUAUGAAUACAGGAUUUUAGAUAUGAGACGCGUUCGGGCGUAUAAGAUCUCAAAUUUGACAAAUCUGGCUGUAGAUGUUCUAAGUGCUCCCCGUACUGUUCAGCAUGUCCAAAAUUAAAUAACGUGACCAAGAGAGUCUAAAAGUCUAGGAAAUACCAACCUCUGUUCCGAAUUAGGCAAUACUCCCUCCAUUCAGGUUAAUUAUUGGAGGAACGAAUGUAGCAAGAUUUAUUUUAAUUCGAGAUACAUCUAUUUUAUUCAUUUCCGUGGCAAGUAAUUGGGGAGGGGAUGAGUAGUUAACUAGUCCGGUGAUCUACUUCUCCAUCGAGGUUACAUUCUGCUGGCCCUCACAACGCGCCAAGGUUUUUCAUGUGUAUAUGAAUAUGCUUACGGCUUUUAUUUAUAAUUUUCUUUUAUUAUCAAUGUAUGAGCAGACUGCAUUUACGCUAUCGGUCAGGAGCAGAAAGCCUUGGACAGACUCAUCAUGGAGGUCGGCAAUGACUCUGGAGACAAGAACGUUCGCCUGGAUGGACUUCAGAUAUCCAUGACAUGCAUUGCUAAAAUUGCUAAGGUGAGCUUCCUUUAUUAUUGUAUAUAUGUCUUUCUAUGUCGCCGUACGUGACCAGCAUUGCAUACUAAUACUAGCAUUAUUUCAUCGUAAGCACGGAUAAUGUAGUAGCAAGACAAAUAGAGAUAUUUCGGACCAAUGUAGGAAAUCCAGUGUGAUGUUUCGAAUAUUCUGGAACCCCCUCAUUUUAAUAAACCCGCUAACGAAACUCUAUGACCUUGCUUGAACAUGAUCUGUAUCCUUUACCAAUAAGGAAGCAAACACUUCAGUUUCUGCCCACUGAUCCAGAGCAUGUAUCACUGUAUCCACUUCAGUUUCUAUAAUGGGAUCAAUCCGUUGGCUGUAGAGAAUCGUUCCUGCCUGACUCACAUAUGUGCAGAGUCGCCCAGUGGUUGUGUGACAGACUUGAUCCCUUUUUUUAAAAACUUAUGAGAUUCUGUUUGGUGUGCAGGGCACUACGACAUACGAUCUGAAGAUAACCAGGAGCAUGGUCGGUGGGCUAUCACUGGAAUGGCAUCCUAAUAAAAAGCAGGUAAACCCCCCCCACCCCACAGAAAAAAACUUUCUCUCAUAUUUGCUUGCCAGCCAGCAGGAUUUCAUAUGGUGGUUUAUUCCAGGGACCAAUCAACCUUGACAAAGCAGCAGGAGAAACCACACCGGCUGCUACUCCUCAAAAAACAGUUGCUAAAGCCCUAUCUGAUGUUAUGCAUAUGUUAAGAGGAAAAUGACAGAAGAUGGAGUCCAAGAACCCAAAGAAAGCAAAAAAGGACAAAAAGAGCAGGCGUAAAAACUUUCGAACUUUGUGUAUGCCCCCUUUACAUUCCUCCUAAUAAGGAGUGCAUGAUGGCCAACUCCAUUUUUAAAUUAAAUUUGUAAUUCAACACAAAGGGGAUGUAAAAUGAUGCUUCCUGCGACUUUCAUUUAUUCAGUACACUAUCAUGGUUUGAUUGUUAUUUUUACAAUGGAUUAAGUUUUGUUUAUUACUAUUAUUACCACUAAUGCUAGGGUAAACUAGAUCUUCUCCUGCCAUUAAUCAAACUUUUCAUAUUCGAUCAAGUCUUCUAUUAUAUACUAAAAGGAAAAUAUGUAUCAAAAUAUAGAUGAAUAAUCUAGAAAAUCCCACGUUAAACAUAAACGUCUCACCUUCAAUUUUGUACACAAAAAACCCACAGCCGUUAGAUUAACUUAAAAGUUCAAUAAAUUAUCCACCAAUGUCAUUGCCAUUACAUUAAAACACGUCCUCCUCAAUUUCAAGUAACCGGUUAAAAUCUGAUCUCCCGAUGUGAACGUUGCUGCCGUUAUGAUCUCAUCUCCCGAUGCCCUAUCAUGGCCUCCGCGUCCGCCGGACAGCCAAGGAUGGCCGUGAUAGUGUUGGUACUAGACAGAACAAAUUGAGCCGACGUGCCUAGGUAAAUACCAUUUGAGCUUCCAUAUUGUCUACAUGAGGUUCUAGACAAUUCUUCACUGCAAGGCAAAAAAAGGCAAUCGAGCGGUACGUACCUGUUAGGAAACAUUGUAUGGGAAACAAAAAAUUUCGUACGCACACGAAGACCUAUCAGGUUGAUGUUCAUCUACGAGAGGGAGAUCGGAUCCACAUACCCUUGUAGAUCGCUAAGCGGGAAGCGUUAAGAAACGUGGUUGAUGUAGUGGUACAGCUUCGUGAUUCAAAUCACCGUCGUCCCACGAUCCAUUCUGAUCUUGCGUCAAACGGACGGCACCUCCGCGUUCAGCACACGUACAACUCGAUGACAAUCUCCGCCUUCUUGAUCCAGCAAGAUGGCGGGGAAGUAGAUGAGUUCUCCGGCAGCGUGAUGGCGCGCCGGUGAUGGUGAUGAUCUAUUCCUGGAGGACUCCGCCCGAGCUCCGCAAAAAACCGAUCUAGAGGAAAAACUAUGAUCUAGAGGAGAGGACAACACGUGGCAAUGUUGUGUCUCAAAAGCCCUAAACCUCUAGUAUAUAUAGGAGGAGGGGAGGGGCAGCCUUGGCGCGCAAAGGAAGACCUCCUUGGGUCGGCCGAAGUGGGGAAGGGAGGAGUCCUUCUUCAAUCCCACUUGGAUUAGGACUCCUUCCUUAUUUUCCCACCUCUUUUGGAUUUUCAACUUUUUCCUCAUGCGCUUUCCUUGGAUGACUUUGUCAGCCCAUUAUACCUUAUUGCGCAUCCAAUAAACCCACGUGGACCCCUUGGGGCAUGGUGGGCCCACCCAAUGGGCCCCCGGAAGCCAUUCGUCACUGCUGGUACACUGUCGGCAAUGCCCGAAAACCUUUCGGAAUCCAAACACCAACUUCUAUAUAUCAAUCUUCGUUUCCGGACCAUUCCGAAACUCCUCGUGACUUCCGAGAUCUCAUCCGGAGCUCCGAACAAAACUUCGGUCACCAACACAUAUAAUCAACUAUACCAAAACAUCAUCUAACCUUAAGUGUGCAGACCCCGCUGGUUCGAAAACUAUGCAGACAUGACCCGAAACACUCUCUGGUCAAUAACCAACAGCGGGACCUGGAUGUCCAUAUUGGCUCCUACAUAUUCUACGAAGAUCUCUAUCGGUUGAACCUCUAUGUCAAGGAUUCAUAUAAUCCUGUAUACUAUUCCCGUUGUCCUUCGAUAUGUUACUUGCUCGAGAUUCGAUCGCCGGUAUCUCUAUACCUAGUUGAAUCUCGUUGCCGGCAAGUCUCUUUACUUGUUCCGUAAUACAAGAUCCCGUAACUAACUCCUUAGUCACAUUGCUUGCAAGGCUUGUUGUGAUGUUGUAUUACCGAGUGGGCCCCGAGAUACCUCUCCGUCACACGGAGUGACAAAUCCCAGUCUUGAUCCAUGCCAACCCUACAGACACCUUUGGAAAUACCUGUAGAGCACCUUUAUAGUCACCCAGUUACGUUGCGAUGUUUGAUAACCCACAAGGAAUUCCUCCGGUGUCCGGGAGUUGCAUGAUCUCAUGGUCAUAGGAACAGAUACAUUGACGUUUAUAGUUUGGGUCUUGUCCAUUACAUCAUUCUCCCAAUGACGUGAUCCCGUUAUCAAAUGACAACACUUGCCUAUGGCCAGGAAACCUUGACCAUCUUUGAUCAACGAGCUAGUCAACUAGACGCUCACUAGGGACAGUGUUUUGUCUAUGUAUCCACACAUGUAUUUUUGUUUCCAAUCAAUAUAAUUAUAGCAUGGAUAAUAAACGAUUAUUAUGAACAAGGAAAUAUAAUAAUAACCAAUUUAUCAUUGCCUCUAGGGCAUAUUUCCAACAGUCUCUCACUUGCACUAGAGUCAAUAAUCCAGUUCACAUCACUAUGUGAUUUUAACGAAUCCAACACCCAUACAGUUCUGGGGUUUGAUCACGUCUUGCUUGUGAGAGAGGUUUUAGUCAACGAGUCUGAACCUUUCAGAUCUGUGUGUGCUUUACAAAUCUCUAUGUUAUCCUGUAGAUGCUGCUACUACGUGCUAUUUAGAAAUAUUCCAAAUGACUACUCUACUAUACGAAUCCAGUUUACUACUCAGAGUUAUUCCGAUUAAUGUCAAAGCUUGCAUCGAUGUAACCCUUUACGACGAACUCUUUAAUCACCUUCAUAAUCGAGAAAAAAAAAUCCUUAGUCCACUAGUUACCAAGGAUAACUUUGACCAAUAUUUAGUGAUUCAAUCGUGGAUCACUUUUUGUAUCGCUUGACAGGCUCAUGGCAAGGCACACAUCAGGUGCGGUACAAGCUUGGCAUACUUUAGAGCCUAUGGCUAAGGCAUAGGGGGUGACCUUCGCCCUUUCUCUUUCUUCUGCCAUGGUCGGGCUUUUGAGUCUUACUCAAAUUCACACCUUACAACACAACCAAGAACUCCUUCUUUGCUGAUCUAUUUUGAACUUCUUCAAAAACUUGUCAAGGCAUGCAUUUCAUUGAAACUUCUAUUAAGCGUUUUGAUAUAUCUCUAUAGAUCUUGACGCUCAAUGUUCAAGUAGCUUUAUCUAGGUUUUUUCUUUGAAAAACUCCUUUCAAACAACCCUUUAUGCUUUACAGAAAUUCUACAUUACUUCCGAUCAACAAUAUGUCAACCACAUAUACUUAUCAGAAAUUCUGUAGUGUUUCCACCCACUUCUUUGGAAAUACAAGUUUCUCAUAAACCUUGUGUAAACCCAAAAGCUUUGAUCAUCUCAUCAAAGCGUAUAUUCCAACUCCGAGAUGCUUGCACCAGUCCAUAGAAGGAUCGCUGGAGCUUGCAUACUUGUUAGCAUCCUUAGUAUCGAAAAAACCUUCUGGUUGUAUCACAUACAACCUUUUAUGAAGGAAACCGUCGAGGAAACAACGUUUUGACAUCCUAUGUGCAAUAUUUCAUAAAUAAUGGAGCAACUGCUAACAUAAUUCCAACAGACUUUUAGUAUCGCUACGAGUGAAAAAGUCUCAUCAUAGUCAACUCUUUGAACUUGUCGGAAACAUCUUUGCGAUAAGUCGAGCUUUUCUUAAUGGUGACUUUUCACCAUCAUCGUCUGUCUUCCUCUUAAAGAUCCAUCUUUACUUAAUAGUCUUACGACCAUCAAGUAGUUUUUCCAAAGUCUACCCUUUGUUUUCAUACAUGGAUCCUCUUUCGGAUUUCAUGUCUCCAGCCAUUUGCCGGAUUCCGGGCCCACCAUUGCUUCUCCAUAGCUCGUAGGUUCAUUGUUGUUCAACAACAUGACCUCCAAGACAGGGUUACCGUACCACUCUGUUGCAGUACGCAACCUUGUCGACCUACGAGGUUUGUAGUAACUUGAUCCGAAGAUUAAUAAUCACUAUCAUCAGUUUCCACUUCAAAUGGUGUAGGCGCCACAGGAACAACUUCUUGCGCCUUGUUACACACUGGCUAAAGUGACGGUUCAAUAACCUCAUCAAGUUCCACUACCCUCCCACUCAAUUCUUUUGAGAGAAACUUUUCCUCGAGGAAGGACCUAUUUCUAGAAACACUUUGCUUCCGGAUCAGAGAUAGGAGAUGUACCCAACUGUUUGGGAUAUCCUAUGAAGAUGCAUUUAUCUGCUUUGGGUUUGAGCUUAUCAGACUGAAAUUUUUUCACAUAAGCGUCGUAGCCCCAGACUUUCAAGAAACGGCAGCUUAUGUUUCUCCAAACCAUAGCUCAUACGGUGUCAUCUCCAGGGAAUUACGUGGUGCCCUAUUUAAAAUGAAUGCGGUUUUCUCUAAUGCCUAGCCCAAAACGAUAGUGGUAUUUCGAUAAGAGACAUCAUAGUACGCGCUAUAUCCAAUAGGGCGCGGCUAUAACGUUCGGACACACCAUCACACUAUGGUGUUCUAGGUGGCAUGAAUUGCGAAACAAUUUCCAUAUUGUCUUAACUGCGUACCAAAACUUGCAACUCAGUUAUUCAUCUCUAUGAUCAUAUCAUAGACAGUUUAUCCUCUUGUCACAACGAUCUUCACUCUGAAACAACUUUGAAUUUUUUAAUAUUUCAGACUUGUGAUUCAUCAGGUAAAUACUCUUGUAUCUACUCAAAUCGGCAGUGAAGUAAGAACACGACGAUAUCCACUGCGUGCCUCACCACUAAUUGGACUGUACGCAUCAAAAAUGUAUUACUUCCGACAAGUUACUUUCUUGUUUCAUCUCACUCGAAAACGAGGCCUUCAGUCAUCUUGCCUAUGUGCUAUGAUUUGCAUGUCUCAAGUGAUUCAAAAUCAAGUGAGUCCAAAUGAUCCAUCUGCAUGGAGAUUCUUCAUGCGUUUAUACCAAUAGGUAUGGUUUGCAUGCCUCAAACAUUUCAAAAAUGAGUGAGUACAAAGAUCCAUCAGCAUGGAGCUUCUUCAUGCAUUUUACACCAACAUGACUCAAGUGGCAGUGCCACAAGUAAGUGGUACUAUCAUUACUACUUUGGAUCUUUUGGCAUCAAUAUUAUGAACAUGUGUAUCACUACGAUCGAGAUUAAAUAAACCAUUGAAUGUAAUUAUUCAAGCAAAUAGAAUAACCAUUAUUCUCAUUAAAUGAAUAAUCGUAUUGCAAUAAACAUGAUCCAAUCAUGUUCAUGCUCAACAUAAACACCAAAUAACAAUUAUUUAGGUUUAACACUAAUCCCGAUGGUAGAGGGAGCGUGCGAUGUUUGAUCACAUCAACCUUAGAAUUACUCCAACCACACAUCGUCACCUCACCCUUGCUAGUAUCCUUUUAAUCCGUAGCUAUAAUAUCGAGUUAUUAACACUUAGCAACUGAACCAGUAUCUAAUACCCUGGUGCUACUAGGAAUACUAGUAAGGUACACAUCAAUAUCAGGUAUAUCCAAUAUAUUUUAGUCAACUUUGCCAACCUUCUCAUCUACCAAGUAUCUAGGGUAGUUCCGCCUCAGUGACCGUUCCCCUCAUAACAGAAGCACAUAGUCUCGGGUUUGGGUUCAACCUUGGGUUUCUUCAUUAGAGCGGCAAUUGGUUUGCCAUUUCAUGAAGUAUCCCUUCUAUCCCUUGCCCUUCUUGAAACUAGUGGUUUUACUAACCAUCAACAAUUGAUGCUCCUUCUUGAUUUCUAGUUUCAUAGUGUCAAACAUUGCGAAUCGCUCAAGGAUCAUCAUAUCUAUCCUUGAUAUGUUAUAGUUCAUCACGAAGCUCUAGUAUCUUGGUGGCAGUGACUUUGGAGAACCAUCAUUAUCUUAUUUGGAAGAUUAACUCCCACUUGAUUCAAGCGACUGUUGUACUCAGACAAUCUGAGCACAUGCUCAACGAUUGAGCUUUUCUCCUCUACUUUGUAGACAAAGAAUCUUGUCGGAGGUCUCAUACCUCCCAACAAGGGCACGAGCAUGAAAUCUCAAUUUCAUCCCUUAAAACAUCUCAUAUGUUCUGUAACGUUCAAAACCGUCUUCGGCGCCUUACUUCUAAGCCGUUAAGUAUUACGCACUGAACUAUUACCUAGUCAUCAAAAACGUGUAUGUCAGAUGUUCGCAACAUCCACAGACGAUGCUCGAGGUGCAGCAUGAUACGUCUCAAACGUAUCUAUAAUGUUGAUGGUUUCACGCUAUUAUCUUGUCAACUUUGGAUGUUUUGUUUACCAUUUAUAUCUUUUUUGGGACUAACUUAUUAACUCAGUGCCAAGUGCAAGUUCCUGUUUUUUCUGUGUUUUUGACUCUUUUCAGAUCUGAUUUUGGAACGGAGUCCAAACGGAAUAAAAUCCCCGAAAUGAAUUUUUCCAGAACGAAAGAAGAUCGGGAGGCUUAAGGGCCAAGCAAGUGGGCCCACAGGGGGCCCACAAGCCCUGUUGCCGCGACCAGGGGGAGGUCGCGGCAACCAAGCUUGUGGCCCCCCUGGCGCUCCCCUGCCCUAGGUAUUUGGCCUAUAAAUUCCCUAAAAAUCCAGAAAAAUCAGGGCAUCCACGAAAACACUUUUCCGCCGCCACAAGCUUCCGUUUCCGCGAGAUCUCAUCUGGAGACCCUUCCCGGUGCCAUGCCGGAGGGGACUUUGGAGUUGGAGGGCUUCGUCAUCAACAUCAUCGCCCCUCCAAUGACUCGUGAGUAGUUCACUUCAGACCUACGAGUCCGUAGUUAGUAGCUAGAUGGCUUCUUCUCUCUCUUGGAUCUUCAAUAGAAAGUUCUCCAUGAUCUUCAUGGAGAUCCAUCCGAUGUAAUCCUCUUUGGCGGUGUGUUUGUCGAGAUCCGAUGAAUUAUGGAUUUGUGAUCAGAUUAUCUAUGAUAUAUACUUGAGUCUUUGCUGAUUUCUUAUAUGCAUGAUUUGAUAUCCUUGUAAGUCUCUCCGAGUCUUGGGUUUUGUUUGGCCAACUAGAUCUAUGAUUUUUGCAAUGGGAGAAGUGCUUAGUUUUAGGUUCAUACCGUGUGGUGACCUUUCCCAGUGACAGAAGGGGCAGCAAGGCACGCAUCAUGUUGUUGCCAUCAAGGGUAACAAGAUGGGCUUUUAUCGUAGAUAUGAGAUUGUCCAUCUACAUCAUGUCAUCUUGCUUAAGGCGUUACUCUGUUCUCAUGAACUUAAUACACUAGAUGCAUGCUGGAUAGCGGUCGACGUGUGGAGUAAUAGUAGUAGAUGCAGAAAGUAUCGGUCUACUUGUUUUGGACGUGAUGCCUAUAGAUAUAAUCAUUGCCAUAGAUAACGUCACGACUUUGCGUGGUUCUAUCAAUUGCUCGACGGUAAUUCGUUCACCCACCGUCUACUUGCUUUCAUCAGAGAAGCAAGCUAUUCACACCUAUAGUUUGCACUUUCGCUUUUACUUUGAUUUGUUUCUUUGUUGCUUUCAGUUCUCACUUGGCAAACAAUCUAUAAGGGAUUGACAACCCCUUCAUAGCGUUGAGUGCAAGCUCUUUGUGUUUGUGAAGGUACUUGUGAUAUUCCUUCACUGGAUCGAUACCUUGGUUCUCAAAACUGAGGGAAAUACUUACCGUCCUUGUGCUACAUCAGCCUUUCCGCCUCGAGGGAACACCAACGCAAGGCUCCAAGGCCAUGGGGGAAUCCUUUGCAUAUUUGCCAAGGAAGUCCCUAAAGGCGUAGCCGUAGCAGAAGGAUUCCUGGUGCCGUCGCUGAGGAGUAUCAAGACAAGAAUAGUCUCCCGUCAGCACGCUUGUUUCUGGCGCAGUUAGAAGGUCUUUUGUUGCAGUAGCAGAAGUAUUUCUGGUGCCAUUGCCGGGGAAGGAGAGAACUCAUCCAAGUAGGUGUCACAAAAUCAUCUCUCGUUUUCCUCUCCCCCACUUCACCAUUUUGUCAUUUUCGUUUGCCUUUUUCCUUCACCCUUUUCUCUCGUUUUCUUUCUGUUCGCUUGUGUGCCAUGUGCCUUCAAUAUGCUUGCAUCUUCGCUUGCUGAAAAUCUAGUGAUAUGGAUCCUCAUCCACUUGCUAAUCUCUUUAAGAGAUUCAAUUAUGUUGAUCCAAUUGCUAGUGAGUUGAGUGCACUUGACUAUCUUUAUGGAGUUUUGCUUGAGAUGCGUGAAUCUGAAAAUUGUGGGGAAGAAAUUUAUGAAGUGAUUCACGAGGGCUCCUUGGAUGAAAAGCAUGAUUGCAAUGGUUUCACUAUAAAUUCUAUUAGUGACAAUCAUGCUAAAAAUAUGCAAAACCCUAAGCUUGGGGAUGCUAGUUUUGCUUUGUCCACUACUUGUUGCAAUGAUCAUGAGUGGGGUGAUGAUUUUUCUUAUGAUCUUGAAAAUUUGUUUAAGCCUGAUGAUGAAUAUGAUAUUUGUAAUAUUAUUGAAAGUGGGUUUGGAAAAGUCAUGAGUUUAGUUGAUGAUAAUCCCACUAUUUUUGAAGAGCGUCAACUUUGCAUGCAUGUGGAUCAUGAAAAGAAUAUCCUAUGUGAUAGUUACAUUGUUGAAUUCGAAUAUGGGAGAGGAAAAUAUGGUGGUAGAAACUUUCGUAUCACUAAAUCACCUCUCGUUAUGUUGAGAUUGCUAUUGUCUCUUUCUUCUUCCUUGCAUAUGGUAACUAUUGGUUGUCUUGACAAUCUGUUUUCCUAUAAAAUGCCUAUGCAUAGAAAGUAUGUUAGACUUAGAUGUGAUUUUCACAUGCUCUAUGAUGCUCUCGUUGUGCUUCAAUUCUUGUCUUUUGUGUGAGCAUCAUUGAAUUAUCAAUGCCUAGCUAAGGGCGUUAAACAAUAGCGCUUGUUGGGAGGCAACCCAACGAAUCUAUCCUUUUUCUUUCUGUUUUGUGUUUUCCUCACUUUCAUAAUUCUGUUAUGAUUGUGUUUUUUGUGUUUCUUUUUGCGUUUGUGCCAAGCAAAAACCGUUAUGAUUAGUCUUGGGGAUGAUCGUUUGGUCAUGCUGGAAAAGACAGAAACUUUCUGAUCACGAAAAGAAUUUUCAUUUUUUUCUGUAAGAGCUUUUGAGUUGAUUCUCUUUUCUGCAGAUUUUACGCAAAUUCUUCAGACUGUCGUAAUGUUUUAGAAUUUUUGAAGUAACAUAAGUAUACGAAGUUUACAGAUUGCUACAGACUGGUCUGCUGUUAACAGAUUCUGUUUUUGUUGUGUUGGUUGCUUAUUUUGAUGAAACUAUUGAUAGUAUCGGGGGGUAUUAGCCAUGGAAGAUUGAAAAUACAGUAAGCCAACAUCAACAUAGGUAGAAUUUAAGUUUGCUACAGUACCUAAGGAAGUGGUGGUUUGCUUUCUUAUACUAAUGUUAUCACGAGUUUCUGUUUAAGUUUCGUGUUGUGAAGUUUUCAAGUUUUGGGUGAAGUUCUUAUGGACAAAAAGAUAAAGAGUGGCAAGAGCUCAAGCUUGGGGAUGCCCAAGGCACCCCAAGAUGAUUCAAGGAUGUCGUAAAAGCCUAAGCUUGGGGAUGCCCCGGGAAGGCAUCCCCUCUUUCGUCUUUAAUCCAUCGGUAACGUUACUUGGGGCUAUAUUUUUAUUCACCAAAUGUUAUGUGUUUUGCUUGGAGCGUCUUGUAUCAUAGGAGUCUUUUAUUUUUGUUGUGUCACAAUCAUCCUUGCUGCACACCUAGAGAGAGAGACAUGCACUCACCGUGAUUUUGUCGAGCUUCACUUAUAUCCUUUGGUUAGACAAUUCAGCUCAUAUGUGCUUCACUUAUAUCUUUUGAGCUAGUUGCUUUUGCUCUUUGUGCUUCACUUAUAUCUUUUAGAGCACGGCGGUGCUUGGCUUGGUAGUUGAUCUAUGCUAUGAAAGUAGUCUCAAAAGGGGUAGUUAUCCAAAGGGAUAUGAAAACUUCCACCUUCAUGUGCAUUGAAUAGUUAGAGAAGUUUGAUUCAUCUCAACUAGUUUUGAGUUGUGGUUAUGGUAAUAUUGAAGUUAUAUUAGUAAGGUAUUGUGGAUCUAGAAAUACUUGUAUUGAAGUUAGUGAUUCCCAUAGCAUGCACGUAUGAUGAACCGCUAUGUGAUGAAGUCUGAGCAUGAUUAGUCUAUUGAUUGUCAUCCUUUGUGUGGCGGUCGGGAUCGCGCUAUGGUUUAUACCUACCAACCCUUCCCCUAGGAAUAUGCGUUGAAUGCUUUGUUUCGAUUACUACUAGAACUUUUGCAACAAGUAUAUGAGUUCUUCAUGACUAAUGUUGAGUCCAUGGUUUAGAUGCACUUUCACCUUCCACCAUCACUAUCUUCUUUAGUGCCGUGCAACUUUCGCCGGUGCACAAAACCCACCAUUAGCCUCCCUCAAAACAGUCACCAUACCUAUCUACUAUGGCUUUUUCAAAGUCAUUCCGAGAUAUAUUGCCAUGCAACUACCACCAUGACAUGUGCCACCACUUCUACAUUGCCAUUGCAUGAUCGUAAGAUAGCUAGCAUGAUGUUUACAUUAAUGUCCAUGCCAUGCUAGAUCAUUGUCACAGUACACUACCGAAGGCAUUCCAUAUAGAGUCAUCAUUGCUCUAAGUUUUUGAGUUGUAAGUGUGAUGAUCAUCAUUGAUGGAGCAUUGUCCCUUGAGAGGAAAUAAAAGAGGCCAAAGAUGCCCACCAAAAUAAUUAAAAAAAGAAAAAAAAAGAGGCCAAAGAGCCCAUCCAAAAAAAAGAGAGAGAAAAAGAGAGAAGGGACAAUGCUACCACCUAUCCACACUUGUGCAUAUUAAGCACCAUGAUCUUCAUGAUUGAGAGUCUCUCGUUUUGUCACCACCAUAUAGUUAGUGGGAAAUUUUCAUUAUAUAACUUGGCUUGUAUAUUCCAAUGAUAGGCUUUUUUGCCUUAGGUCUUCGUGAGCAAGCAAGUUGGAUGCACACCCACUAGUUUUCUUUAACAGCUUUCACAUACUCUUAGCUCUAGUGCAUCAUUUGUAUGGCAAUCCCUACUCAUUCACAUUGAUAUCUAUUAAUGAGCAUCUCCACAGCUCAUUGAUAUGCCUAGUUAAUGUGACCAUCUUCUCCAUGUUUGUCUUGCAACCUCCACCACACUCCACGCCACUUAUAGUGCUAAAACCAUGGCUCACGCUCAUGUAUUGCGUGAGAGUUAAAAAGGUUUGAGAAAGUAAAGGUGUGAAAACAAUUACUUGGCCAAUACCGGGGUUGUGCAUGAUUUAAAUUCGUUGUGCAAUGAUGAUAGAGCAUAGCCAGACUAUAUGAUUUUUUAGGGAUAACUUUCUUUUGGCCUUGUUAUUUUGAAAGUUCAUGAUUACCUUGCUAGUUUUCUUGAAUUAUUAUUGUCUCCACGUCAAUAGCAAACUAUUGUUUUGAAUCUAAUGGAUCUGAACAUUCACGUCACAUCAGAGGAGUUACAAAGGACAUCUAUGCUAGGUAGCCACUAGUGGAAAACGGGCCUUUGGCCUGGACCCUUUAGUCCCGGCCUGCCUCUGGGCCGGGACUAAAGGCCCGGCCACGUCGCCCCAAUUCUCAAUGCCUCCCUCGAGGCUUUAGUCCCGGCCCGUAAGUAGCCUUCAGUCCCGGUUCGUGUCCCAAACCGGGACUAAAGGGCUACGCGGUGGGCAGCCCGCAUGUGCGCCACCUUUAGUCCUGGUUUGUGUCUCAAACCGGGACUAAAGUCCUCUGCCUAUAUAUAGCACAGCCCCCCUCUCCCCUCUUCCUUGCAUUUUUCUUGGAUGGAGGAUUGUGGGUGGGUGCUUGAUUUCCACUUUUUUGGAUGCACUACAGGCGUUUGUUGAAAUGUGUGUUAGAGCGAUGCCAUUUCAGUUCACCGAACACAACUAUGAUAUGAGAUGCCUGAGCCAUGCUUAAACGUCUUUCUCUUUAUUUCUACUUAUUCUAAAAGGUUAGCAAUUAUAUUUCCUCGUUUAGACCGUGCGGUACUAAUUUUUAGGAUCGUGAUUGUAUUUGAUAUAUUAUCGUAUAACACAGAUGAGCCAUCCAUGGAUGUACGGUGAUCGACGCACAGCCGCUUACAGAGAAGGCGUGCAUUCUUUUCGAGAUGCAGCCGAUGCAAACAAGCAUGGUGGUGGCUAUAUGUUUUGUCCAUGUGUUGAAUGUCAGAAUGAGAAAGAUUACACUUCCUCAAGAGUCAUUCAGAGCCACCUGCUUCGGUCCGGUUUUAUGUCGGGCUAUAAUGUUUGGACCAAGCACGGAAAAAGAGGGGUUAUGAUGGAAGACGACGAUGAAGAAGAAGAGAACGAUGAUUACAACUACCGAUCUAUGUUCCCUGAGUAUGCUGAUACCGCAAUGGAAGACAAUGAAGAAGAAGAUCAGGAUGAAGAACGGGAACCAGAUGAGCACGCUGAUGAUCUUGGCUGGGUCAUUUCUGAUGCACGGCGAUGUUGCGACACAGAAAAGGAGAGGUUGCAGUUCGAGCAAAUGUUACAGGACCAUAACAAAUUGUUGUACCCAACUUGUGAAGAUGGCCAGAAGAAGCUGGGUAGCACACUGGAAUUGCUGAAGUGGAAGGUAGAGACCGGUGUGACUGACUCGUCAUUCGAAAAGUUGCUGGUACUGAUGAAGAAGAUGCUUCCAAGAAAAAACGAAUUGCCGGCCAGCACGUACGAAGCAAAGAAGCUUGUCUUCCCUCUAGGAUUAGACGUGCAGAAGAUACAUGCAUGCCCUAAUGACUGCAUCCUCUACCGCGGUGAGAAGUAUGAGAAUAUGGAUAAAUGCCUGGUAUGCACUGCAUUGCGGUAUAAGAUCAGAAAAGAUGACCCUGGUGAUAUUGAGGGCGAGCCACCCAGGAAAAGGGUUCCUGCCAAGGUGAUGUGGUAUGCUCCUAUAAUACCACGGUUCAAACGUCUGUUCAGAAAUAAAGAUCAUGCGAAGUUGUUGCGAUGGCACAUGGAAGAUCGUAUGAAAGACGAUAAGUUGAGGCACACCGCUGAUGGUCGGCAGUGGAGAAAAAUCGAGAGAGAGUUCCCGAGAUUUGCAGCUGACGCAAGGAACUUAUGGUUAGGUCUGAGUACAGAUGGCAUGAAUCCUUUUGGGGAGCAGAGUUGCAGUCACAGCACCUGGCCCGUUACUCUAUGUAUCUACAACCUUCCUCCUUGGUUGUGCAUGAAGCGGAAGUUCAUUAUGAUGCCAGUGCUUAUACAAGGUCCAAAGCAACCCGGCAACGAUAUUGAUGUGUACCUAAGGCCAUUAGUUGAUGAACUUUUACAGCUCUGGGCCGAACCAGGUGUACGUGUGUGGGACGAGCACAAACAAGAGGAAUUUGACCUUCGAGCGUUGCUUUUCGUAACCAUCAAUGAUUGGCCUGCUCUUAGUAACAUUUCAGGACAGUCAAACAAGGGAUACAAUGCAUGCACGCACUGUUUGGAUCAGACAGAAAGUAUAUAUCUCGACAACUGUAGGAAGAAUGUGUAUCCGUACAAUCGUCGUUUUCUUCCGCCCAAGCAUCCCUUAAAGAAAAAAGGCAAGCAUUUCAAUGGCAAGGCAGAACCCCGGGGGAAGCCUGUCAUCCGUACUGGCGCUGAAGUAUUUGAUAUGGUCAAAGAUUUAAAAGUAAUCUUUGGAAAGGGUCCUGGUAGCCAACCUGUUUCUAACGGCCCUGAUAAGCGCGUACCCAUGUGGAAGAAAAAAUCUAUAUUUUGGGAGCUACCCUACUGGGAAGUCCAUGAGGUUCUCUCGGCAAUCAACGUGAUGCACCUGAGGAAGAAUCUCUGUGUGAAUAUACUAGGCUUCCUGGGCUUGUAUGGGAAGUCAAAAGAUACAUCGGAAGCAUGGGAGGACCAGGAACGUCAUAAAGGAAGAGAUUGCAUGCAUCCAGGGCAGUUUCAAGGGCAUGCCAGCUACGCUCUUACUAAGGAAGAGAAGGAAAUCUUCUUUGAAGUCCUUCUCAGUAUCAAGGUCCCGACUGGCUUCUCGUCGAAUAUAAAGGGAAUCGUAAAUAUGAAAGACAAAAAAUUCCAAAACCUAAAGUCUGAUGACUGCCACGUGCUUAUGACGCAAUUGCUUCCGGUUGCAUUGAGGGGAAUUCUACCGGAAAAUGUUCGUCUGGCAAUUGUGAAGGUAUGUGCAUUCCUCAAUGCAAUUUCUCAGAAGGUAAUCGAUCGAGAAAGUCUAUUAGGGUUACAGAUUGAUGUGGUCCAAUGUCUGGCCAGCUUUGAGUUGUUGUUCCCGCCAUCCUUCUUCAAUAUAAUGACACACCUCCUAGUUCACCUAGUCGAAGAGAUUAGAAUUCUCGGUCCUGUGUUUCUACACAAUAUGUUCCCCUUCGAGAGGUUCAUGGGAGUCUUAAAGAAAUAUGUUCGUAACCGUGCUAGGCCAGAAGGAAGCAUCUCCAAGGGCUAUGGAACAGAGGAGGUCAUUGAGUUUUGUGUGGACUUUCUUCCUUACCUUAAGCCGAUUGGUGUUCCUGAAUCUCGGUAUGAGGAUAGGCUGACAGGAAAAGGCACACUAGGAAGGAAAGCAAAAGUAUGUAUGGACGGGCAUUCUUUCUCUCAAGCACAGUACACAGUUCUACACAAUUCCACCGUGGUGGCUCCAUAUAUCGUGAGACACAAGAAUAUUCUACGCUCCGAAAACCCGGGGAAGGCUAACUCUUGGAUUAAAGGGUAACAUGAGAAGACUUUCGGCAGUUGGUUGCAGACACAUCUCAUGAAUGACGACACCGUUGGAGAUGAGCUGUACUGUUUGGCCAGGCCACCAUCUUCGACUAUAUGUACUUUCCAAGGGUAUGAGAUAAAUGGGAAUACAUUUUACACGGUUGCCCAAGAUAAAAAGAGCACCAACCAAAAUAGUGGUGUCCGCUUUGAUGCAACAGACGAGAAUGGGCACUGUUUGGAAACAUAUUACGGGUACAUAGAGGAGAUAUGGGAACUUGACUAUGGACCUACUUUUAAGAUCCCUUUAUUUCGGUGCAAAUGGGUGAAGCUGACAGGAGGCGGGGUAGUUGUAGACCAAAAGUACGACAUGACAACAGUGGAUCUCUACAAUCUUGCGUACAUGGACGAACCAUUUGUCCUAGCCAAUGAUGUCGCUCAGGUUUUCUAUGUGAAGGACAUGUCUACAUUAACGAGAAAAGGAAAUCAGCAAACGAAAAUAUCGUCCGAUGAGCCAAAACGCCACAUAGUUCUUUCAGGGAAAAUAAACAUCGUGGGAGUAGAUGACAAGACAGACAUGUCAGAAGAUUAUAAUAAGUUUCAUGAAAUUCCGCCCUUCAAAGUGAAAACUGACCCAAGCAUCCUACUGAAUGAUGAAGAUUCUCCAUGGCUACGACCCAGAAGAAAACAGAAAUAAUAGAUAGGAAUAUUGGUGCAAUAAUGUAAUAAUGUAUUAAACCUUUUAUGUAAUGCAUGUAUGGAAUGUACUAAAUUUCAAACACUUUCCAUUUUCAUAGUAUCCAUGUAAGAGAUGAGUUCUCGUUCGAAACCCUGAUACUUCGAGAGAGAUUGUCCGUUUUGUACACGAAGUGCAUCCAUUUUUUGUCGUAGCCCUCUCAACUUUUUAACACAUGCUAUGUGGGUGAAAUGAUGAUAACAUGCCAACUUUCAACAUNNNNNNNNNNNNNNNNNNNNNNNNNNNNNNNNNNNNNNNNNNNNNNNNNNNNNNNNNNNNNNNNNNNNNNNNNNNNNNNNNNNNNNNNNNNNNNNNNNNNNNNNNNNNNNNNNNNNNNNNNNNNNNNNNNNNNNNNNNNNNNNNNNNNNNNNNNNNNNNNNNNNNNNNNNNNNNNNNNNNNNNNNNNNNNNNNNNNNNNNNNNNNNNNNNNNNNNNNNNNNNNNNNNNNNNNNNNNNNNNNNNNNNNNNNNNNNNNNNNNNNNNNNNNNNNNNNNNNNNNNNNNNNNNNNNNNNNNNNNNNNNNNNNNNNNNNNNNNNNNNNNNNNNNNNNNNNNNNNNNNNNNNNNNNNNNNNNNNNNNNNNNNNNNNNNNNNNNNNNNNNNNNNNNNNNNNNNNNNNNNNNNNNNNNNNNNNNNNNNNNNNNNNNNNNNNNNNNNNNNNNNNNAUGAAGUCAGAAAUUGUUCAGAUUUUGUGAUGUGCCUUUGAAUGGUGCAUUUUGCACACACAAAAAGUAUGGAGUUCAAAUAAGUUCAAAAAAAUGAAAUCCCUUUGUAAGAGAUGAGUUCUCGUUCGAAACCCUGAUACUUCGAGAGAGAUUGUCCGUUUUGUACACGAAGUGCAUCCAGUUUUUGUCGUAGCCCUCUCAACUUNNNNNNNNNNNNNNNNNNNNNNNNNNNNNNNNNNNNNNNNNNNNNNNNNNNNNNNNNNNNNNNNNNNNNNNNNNNNNNNNNNNNNNNNNNNNNNNNNNNNNNNNNNNNNNNNNNNNNNNNNNNNNNNNNNNNNNNNNNNNNNNNNNNNNNNNNNNNNNNNNNNNNNNNNNNNNNNNNNNNNNNNNNNNNNNNNNNNNNNNNNNNNNNNNNNNNNNNNNNNNNNNNNNNNNNNNNNNNNNNNNNNNNNNNNNNNNNNNNNNNNNNNNNNNNNNNNNNNNNNNNNNNNNNNNNNNNNNNNNNNNNNNNNNNNNNNNNNNNNNNNNNNNNNNNNNNNNNNNNNNNNNNNNNNNNNNNNNNNNNNNNNNNNNNNNNNNNNNNNNNNNNNNNNNNNNNNNNNNNNNNNNNNNNNNNNNNNNNNNNNNNNNNNNNNNNNNNNNNNNNNNNNNNNNNNNNNNNNNNNNNNNNNNNNNNNNNNNNNNNNNNNNNNNNNNNNNNNNNNNNNNNNNNNNNNNNNNNNNACCAAGAACGCUCCGCCGACGAUUCCUAAGCCACAGAGCACCCCAAAGCGCAAACGGUCGCCCCUCCCAAUGGUACGUCAUGCUAAUCUUCCUAUCGGACCUUAUAAUCGUACCCCCGAGGAAAACGCCAGGAUAGCAAAGGAACAUCAUGAUGCGCAGAUGAAAAAGAAGGAACCCGAGCCCCGCCCGGAAUACACCUAGAAGCAAAUAGCAUUUGCAAAAUAAUUCACGACCCUUCCAUCACAGUAUGACUUACACCAUAAGCCUGAUGACUAUACACGCACAUUGUAGAAGGAAGUGAAAAAGAGCAGAUCACGUGCAAGCCCUCCACAUGACGUCGGCCAGCACAACACGAGUCCAUCUCGAUCACCGCCGUCGGACUUGGGUCGUCCGUCUCCACCGCCGCCCGCUCCGGAUACUAAGCGGGAGCGUGCCACCAAGAACGCUCCGCCGACGAUUCCUAAGCCACAGAGCACCCCAAAGCACAAACGGUCGCCCCUCCCAAAGGUACAUCAUGCUAAUAUUCCUAUCAGACCUUAUGACUUACACCAUAAGCUUGAUGACUAUACACGCACAUUGCAGAAGGAAGUGAAAGAGAGCAGAUCACGUGCAAGUGCAAGUGGGAGCAAAUCAAGUUCAACUACAAGCAAGAAAAAAUCAGACGUUCCUCAGCUUGGACAACAUGCCAAACAGUCGAUCCCACCCCUCAAGGUGUUAACCGAGAAUGUUCCCCCUCCGGUGCAGGGGCUAGCUUUAGAAUGAGCAAAGGAGUUGGCGGCUGCAUGUGGUGUCUCGGUUGAAGAAUUGCUGUCUUCCCAAGACGACAAGAUACCCAAGGCUGUGGUAGCCCCUAAGCCACAGUUUGUGAUGGGUGAGCCUUUGGUCAGCAAAGAUGAUCUCCCAACAAAUAUGCGUUACUUGCAUCAAUGGUACUUAAGUGAAUCAAAGAAUGGGAGAACGAUGAUCGUGCUGAGUGUCCCAUAGGAGUACUACGGCCGCCCCGAACAAAUCCAUAUCGACUUUGAUGAACUCUUCCAGAUGUACAAUGGCGACGCCCUCGACAAAUCGCUUAUGAGUUGCUAUUGUCUGUAAGUUUUUCAAUUCGUUGUCUACAUAUAACUUGUUUAGUUAUUUCAAUUCAUUGUCUAUAUAUAACUUGUACUCUAUUAUGCAGAAUGAAAAUUCUGGAUUGUAAAAGUAAGAGCAUCCUAAAUAUUGGGUUUAUUGACCCAGAUAAAAUACAUAUAGCGACGCUAACUAAUUAUCCCAAGGAGACGGAGGAAAACCUUCUAAGGUUUCCAACAGAUCAAAAUUUCUAUGACCACAUACUGUUUCCAUACAACUUCAGGUGAGGGUCUUUACUCUGUUGUGUCCAUUCACUUAUAAGUGUAAUUGAUAAGUUACUGACACAUAUAUAUAUACAUGUGCAGCUUUCAUUGGAUUCUGUUGGAUAUUCAAAUUGAUAAGGGAAGAGUUGAUGCCUUCAACCCAUUAUCGAGACCCUUGGAAUAGUUCCAAAGCCUGCAGGACAUGCUCCAAGGGUAAUUUCAAUCAUUCUUGCGCUCUAUCGGUCCUUUCGAUGAUUUUCUGAUAUAUCAAUUAAUGAAAAACUUAGCAAAUCAUUAUCCUUGUCGGGCAGGGUUUGGAAGCGGUUCAAGUGCGUGACUCCCGGUAUCGAGCAUGAGAAGUUGACCUUUAGAGCGGCUCAGGUAAGUAGUAGUAUGAUAUACUUCUAUUUUCAAUACAUUUAUGAUGCUAGAUUAUUAUUUUAAUUAUAUAUAUUCUAUUCUCGUAAAGUGCGACCAGCAGCCACGGCGAACGCAUCUAUGCGGAUACUAUGUUUGCGAGACCAUUCGCACGUUUACCUCUGAGCACAAGGAUCACAGAUUCGACGUAAGCAAUGAACAUUCACACCUCUAUUUUUACCCGUCAUUCUUUGUUAUCAUGAUUGAUAUUCAUAUUCAUCUCCUCUUGUUAUAUAGCACAUGGCCAUGACGACGAAGGUCCUACCAGAGCAACGCACGAUUACUGUUACAGAGGAGCUUGCGACCUUUCUGAGGACGGAAGCUAUAGAUGACAAAGGACGCUUUAGUGUAGCUAGGGGCCAUUAGUGAUGUUCGUCCAUGUAAUCAAAUAGACGGUCUCUAGUCCCGAUAAUUCAGAUCUCCAUAUAAUUGUAUAUAUAUGCUCGCUUGUAAGAUAACUUAACCUUAUGUAUAUGCAUAAUUAUUUCUAUUUAAAUUAUAUGAAAACUAAUUCCCGAACACCAAACGAGGCAUCACGUUAAUCUCCCGAACACCUAAACCCUAAAACCCUAAAACCCAAAAAUAAUUUCAUUAAAAAAAAACACGAACAUAAGCAAAAUCUGAAAAUCUUUAGUCCCGGCCCGUGUAACGAACCGGGACUAAAGGUCUUGCCCCUGGGGCGCUACGAGGCGCCCACGUGGAGCACCUUUAGUCCCGGCUUGUAAGAGGGCCGGGACGAAAGGUUAGGCCUUUAAUCCCGCCCCUUUAGUCCCGGUUGGUGAACUGGGCCUAAAGCCCCUUACGGGCCGGGGCUAAAGGCACCGUCCCCACUAGUGAGCAUGAAAGCGUCAAAAAUUCAUUCUUUAUCACUUCCCUACUCGAGGAUGAGAAGGAGUUAAGCUUGGGGAUGCUUGAUACGUCUCAAACGUAUCUAUAAUUUUUGAUGGUUUCACGCUGUUAUCUUGUCAUCUUUGGAUGUUUUGUUCACCUUUUAUAUCUUUUUUGGUACUAACUUAUUAACUCAGUGCCAAGUGCCAAUUCCUAUUUUUUCUGUGUUUUUGACUCUUUUCAGAUCUGAUUUUGGAACGGAGUCCAAACGGAAUAAAAUCCCCGAAAUGAAUUUUUCCAGAACGGAAGAAGAUCGGGAGGCUUGAGGGCCAAGCAAGUGGACCCACAGGGGGCCCACAAGCCCUAUUGCCGCGGCCAGGGGGAGGCCGCGGCAACCAAGCUUGUGGCCCCCCUGGCGCUCCCCUGUCCUAGGUCUUUGGCCUAUAAAUUCCCUAAAAAUCCAGAAAAAUCAAGGCAUCCACGAAAACACUUUUCCGCCGCCGCAAGCUUCCUUUUCCGCCAGAUCUCAUCUGGAGACCCUUCCAGGUGCCCUGCUAGAGGGGACUUUGGAGUUGGAGGGCUUCUUCAUCAACAUCAUCGCCCCUACAAUGACUCGUGAGUAGUUCACUUCAGACCUACGGGUCCAUAGUUAGUAGCUAGAUGGCUUCUUCUCUCUCUUGGAUAUUCAAUACAAAGUUCUCCAUGAUCUUCACAGAGAUCUAUCCGAUGUAAUCCUCUUUGGCGGUGUGUUUGUCGAGGUCCGAUGAAUUGUGGAUUUGUGAUCAGAUUAUCUAUGAUAUAUAUUUGAGUCUUUGCUGAUUUCUUAUAUGCAUGAUUUGAUAUCCUUGUAAGUCUCUCCGAGUCUUGGAUUUUGUUUGGCCAACUAGAUCUAUGAUUCUUGCAAUGAGAGAAGUGUUUGGUUUUGGGUUCAUACCGUGUGGUGACCUUUCCCAGUGACAGAAGGGGCAGCAAGGCACGCAUCGUGUUUUUUCCAUCAAGGGUAACAAGAUGGGCUUUUAUCGUAGAUAUGAGAUUGUCCAUCUACAUCAUGUUAUCUUGCAUAAGGCGUUACUCUGUUCUCAUGAACUUAAUAUACUAGAUGCAUGCUGGAUAGCGGUCGACGUGUGGAGUAAUAGUAGUAGAUGCAGAAAGUAUCGGUCUACUUGUUUUGGAUGUGAUGCAUAUAGAUAUAAUCAUUGCCAUAGAUAACGUCACGACUUUGCGCGGUUCUAUCAAUUGCUCGACAGUAAUUCGUUCACCCACCGUCUACUUGCUUUCAUGAGAGAAGCCACUAGUGAACACUACGGCCCCCGGGUCUAUUCACACCUAUCGUUUCCACUUUUGCUUUUACUUUGCUUUGUUUCUUUGUUUCUUUCAGUUCUCACUUGGCAAACAAUCUAUAAGGGAUUGACAACCCCUUCAUAGCGUUGGGUGCAAGCUCUUUGUGUUUGUGUAGGUACUUGUGAUAUUCCUUCACUCGAUCGAUACCUUGGUUCUCAAAACUGAGGGAAAUACUUACCUCCGCCGUGCUACAUCACCCUUUCCGCUUCGAGGGAACACCAACGCAAGGAUCCAAGGCCAUGGGGGAAUCCUUUGCAUAUUUGCCAAGGAAGUCCCUAAAGGCGUAGCCGUAGCAGAAGGAUUCCUGGUGCUGUUGCUGAGGAGUAUCAAGACAAGAAUAGUCUCCCGUCAGCACGCUUGUUUCUGGCACCGUUGGAAGAUCUUUUGUUGAAGUAGCACAGCACACCGAGCGGUGCAUUAAGGACAUAGGCCUUCUGCGCAGCAAUGAGGACAAUCCUCAGUUCACGGACUCAGUCCGCAAAAUUGUUACUAUCAUCUUUCAACUAAAUUUUGUCUAGGAACAUAUAAAAAACAGUAGAGCUACCACACAAGCUACAACAUAAUUCGCAAAGACCUUUUGACUAUCUUUGUGACAAUUAGUUCAAUCAAUCAUAUUAAUUAAGAACUCCCACUCAAAUAGACAUUCCUCUAGUCAUUCGAGUUGCGCAUGAUCAAAAUUGACUAACUUAAAUACGAUCAUCACGUGAGUUGAAUGUUGUUUCAGCGGUAAACAUCUCUAUGCUAAUCAUAUCAACUAUACGAUUCAUGCUCGACCUUUCGGUCUCUUGUAUUCCGAGGCCAUGUCUGCACAUGCUAGGCUCGUCAAGUUUAACCCGAGUGUUCUGCGUGUGCAACUGUUUUGCACCUGUCGUAUGUGAACAUUGAGUCUAUCACACCGGAUCAUCACGUGGUGUCUCGAAACGAUGAACUGUCGCAACGGUGCACAGUCGGGGAGAACACAAUUUUAUCUUGAAAUUUUAGUGAGGGAUCACCUUAUAAUGCUACCGUCGUUCUAAGCAAGAUAAGGUGCAUAAAACGAUUAACAUCACAUGCAAUUCAUAAGUGACAUGAUAUGGCCAUGAUCCUGUGCUUGUUGAUCUCCAUCACCAAAGCACCGGCGUGAUAUUCAUCUUCACCAGCGCCACACCAUGAUCUCCAUCAUCGUGCCGCCAUCGAGGUUGUCGUGCUAUCUAUGCUAUUACUACUAAAGCUAGACCUAGCAAUAUAGUAAACGCAUAUACAAACACAAACGUUAGUUUAAAGACAACCCUAUGGCUCCUACCGGUUGCCGUAUCAUCGGCGUGCAAGUCGAUAUUUAACUAUUACAACAUGAUCAUCUCAUACAUCCAAUAUAUCACAUCAUGUCUUUGGCCAUGUCACAUCACAUGCAUACCCUGCAAAAACAAGUUAGGCGUCCUCUAAUUUGUUGUUGCAUGAUUUACGUGGCUGCUAUGGGUAUCUAGUAUGAUCGCAUUUUACUUACGCAAAACCACAACGGUGAUGUGCAAAUUGCUAUUUAACCUCUCUCCAAGGACCGCCUCAGUCAAAUCCAAUUCAACUAAAGUUGAAGAAACAUACACGCGCCAUUCAUCUUUAUGCAACAAGUUGCAUGUUAGUCGAUGAAACCGGUCUCUCGUAAGCGUACGACUAAGGUUGGUGCUGGCCGCUUCAAUCCAACAAUACCGCCGAAUCGAGAAAAUACUAAGGAGGGCAGCAAAUCGAACAUCAACGCCCACAAAACUUUUGUGUUCUACUCGAGAUUACAUCUACGCAUGAACCUAGCUCAUGAUGCCACUGUUGGGAAACGUUGCAUGGAAACAAAAAAUUUCCUACGCACACGAAGACCUAUCAUGGUGAUGUUCAUCUACGAGAGGGAGAUCGGAUCCACAUACCCUUGUAGAUCGCUAAGCGGGAAGCGUUAAGAAAUGCGGUUGAUGUAGUUUUACAGCUUUGUGAUUCAAAUCACCGUCGUCCCACGAGCCAUUCCGAUCUAGCGCCGAACGGACAGCACAUCCGCGUUCAGCAUACGUACAACUCGAUGAUGAUCUCCGCCUUCUUGAUCCAGGAAGAGGUACGGGGAAGUAGAUGAGUUCUCCGGCAGAGUGACGACGCGCCGGUGAUGGUGAUGAUCUAUUCCUGCAGGGCUCCGCCCGAGCUCCGUAGAAAACCGAUCUAGAGAAAGAAUUAUGAUCUAGAGGAGAGGGCAACACGUGGCAAAGUUGUGUCUCAAAAGCCCUAAACCUCUAAUAUGUAUUGGAGGAGGGAAGAAGCAGCCUUGGCGCGCCAAGGAAGACCUCCUUUGGGUCGGCCGAAGUGGGGAAAGGAGGAGUCCUUCUCCAAUCCCACUUGGAUUAUGACUCCUUCCUUGUUUUCCCACCUCUUUUGGAUUUUCCACUUUUUCCUCAUGGGAUUUCUUUGGAUGACUUUUUAGUCUAUUAUACCUUAUUGCGCAUCCAAUAGACCCACGUGGACCCCUUGGGGGUGGUGGUCCCACCCAGUGGGCCCCCAGAACCCAUUCGUCACUCCCGGUACACUGUCGGCAAUGCCCGAAAAUCUUCCGGCAUCCAAACACCAACUUCCUAUAUAUCAAUCUUCAUUUCCGGACCAUUCUGGAACUCCUCGUGACGUCCGGUAUCUCAUCCGGGACUCCGAACAAAACUUCGGUCACCAACACAUAUAACUCAACUAUACCGAAACAUCAUCUAACCUUAAGUGUGCAGACCCUCCGGGUUCGAGAACUAUGCAGACAUGACCUGAGACACUCUCUUGGUCAAUAACCAACAGCGGGACCUAGAUGUCCAUAUUGGCUCCUACAUAUUCUACGAAGAUCUCUAUCGGUUGAACCUCUAUGUCAAGGAUUCAUAUAAUCCCGUAUACUAUUCCCUUUGUCCUUCGGUAUGUUACUUGCCCGAGAUUCGAUCGUCGGUAUCUCUAUACCUAGUUCAAUCUCAUUGUCGGCAAGUCCGUUUACUUGUUCCGUAAUACAAGAUCCCAUAACUAACUCCUUAGUCACAUUGCUUGCAAGGCUUGUUGUGAUGUUGUAUUACCGCGUGGGCCCCGAGAUACCUCUCCGUCACACGGAGUGACAAAUCCCAGUCUUGAUCCGUGCCAACCCAACAAACACCUUUGGAAAUACCUGUAGAGCACCUUUAUAGUCACCCAGUUACGUUGCGACGUUUGAUAACCCACAAGGUAUUCCUCCGGUGUCCGGGAGUUGCAUGAUAUCAUGGUCAUAGGAACAGAUACAUUGACAUGCAGAAAACAGUAGCAAUAAACUGACACGAUCAUAUGCUACGUUUAUAGUUUGGGUCUUGUCCAUUACAUCGUUCUCCCAAUGAUGUGAUCCCGUUAUCAAGUGACAACAGUUGCCUAUGGCCAGCAAACCUUGACCAUCUUUGAUCAACGAGCUAGUCAACUAGAGGCUCACCAGGGACAGUGUUUUGUCUAUGUAUCCACACAUGUAUUUGUGUUUCCAAUCAAUGCAAUUAUAGCAUGAAUAAUAAAUGAUUAUUAUGAACAAGGAAAUAUAAUAAUAACCAAUUUAUUAUUGUCUCUAGGGCAUAUUUUCAACAGUACCAUGAGCACUGCAUAUAACUAAGAUAUGUUUUGAUGCUUCCAUGCUAUAAAUGAUCUUGAAGAGAGUCAAAAGCCAAAAUAAAACAUGUGAACAUAAACUGUGAACCAAGAGGAAUAUAAUAUUGUGACUGACUCUGUGAAUAUGAAAAUAAAAUAGUCCUCACCAUUUGGAGAAAAUUAAUGUCAGAUACUUUCCAUCUUUAAUCACGACAUUUAUACAUUUGGUACCCAAUAGGUAAGAUGUAUAAAUGUAUCUUCUCUACAUUUUUCUUUUUUGCUUCUUAAUUUCAGGGUACAUGAUAAAUUGACCAAUUUACUCUAUCGCAUUUCACGUGCCGACUUAUACUCUCCACUACACUCUUCAGUACUGUUUAUUCCAGUUGGUAGAUAAUAGCCGCUCAUCAAAAGUUCUAGAGGUUAGUCCUCUGGCAUGCAAGGGGAGACACUCCAGCACGUUCACUACAGCGUGCAUCCAAAAUAUGGUUUUAUCAACAAUUUGGUCUACAAGCCCUCAAGUGACAUUUCUGUGCUAGAAUUAUUGAUAUUCCAAUUUUCAUUUGUGAAUGACAACUACUUUGCUCCUUUUUUAUAUUUCUCCCAAGGGCAUGAUCUCUGUAAAUCAAUUUUCUCAUAAACUAACCAUUGUUAUGAAAUUUUUGGCAAUUAGGUUUGUUACUGGUCGGACGUUGUUGGUUAACUUGGAUUAGUGGUCUGAUGUUGAAGCAGAACACAAAAUUAUGUUUUCACUUAUUGAACCGACAUGGCAAGGAUAUUAAUUCAGAAAACAAAAUUUACUUUUAUAAUAUUAUUUCAAGAGAAAUAAUUGCAAGAAAAAUGUGAACACGACCUUCUUGCUUUUCUUUGUCAUUCAUUACCUAAUCAUGUACAUGGUAUUAUGUCAUACUGAAUUUAACUAAAAUAUAGUAAUUAACUUCAUAGAAGAGAAAUAAUUUUCAUAUAGGAUUCGUUAUUAACAAUGAUAUUUUGCUUUCAAGAUCUAGGAUGGCCAAUAUAAAUAACUUUCUACAUAUUUAUUUCUUUCAUGGCUCGAGUUGUACACUAUUCGUCAAUAUGGAUGUUAACUCCAAUGGUUUAUCGAUAUAGGUGCGCUAUAACAUUGCAUAGCGUUUGUUCAGGCCGCCACAAAGAUUUUUUUUUUGAUAAGGAGGAAACGAGCCCCCGGCCUCUGCAUCAAUCGAUGCAUGCAGCCAUCUUAUUAAAGAUAGAAUAAACAGCGUGUGAUGUCCACGGAGCUCCACGCUCGACAGCUCGAGGUAGGAAAUAAAACGAAAAUGAAAUUGAAAAAAAACUGCCACAUCCGGCGUGCGUAAAAGUAGACUACGAUGCCUAUACACCUAGCCUAUUAUUAGCACGCCAUCCAAAUCGGUUGAAGAUAACCCGUGCGACCAUCUCCCAUCGGUUGCACCCAAUAUCCAUACGUCCCCUGGAGUCCACAUGACCGAGUAACGACCACGUACGGAUCCAAGAUGUUGCUCUGAAGAUAACCUGCAAAAAAUUAUUUAAGUUCUUGCCAUUAAAAGUUAUAUCAUUUCUGGUAUUCCAUAUAGCCCAAAACAAAGCACAUAACCCAAUCCCAAUAAGUUUAGAUAUUUUAACAUCAACUCCGUUGAGCCACGUUGUAAAUAUUGAGCUAAUACAUGUAGGUGGGACGAUAUUGAAAGCUAUUUGAAUAGUUCUCCAUAAUGGUUUUGCAAGCGGGCAUUGUAAGAAAAGGUGUCUUAUUGUUUCAUUUUGCUCACAAUAGCAACAAUUGGAUCUACCUCUCCAUCGACGUUUAAUUAAGUUAUCUUUGGUUAAUAUCACACCUUUGUGUAUAAACCACAUGAAAACAUUAAUCUUGAGCGGCACUUUGAUGUUCCAAAUUUUUAAUGAUCUGGAUAAUGUUCCUGUAUUAAUCAGAUCCAAGUACAUGGACUUUACUGAGAAUACCCCAUUCGCAGCUAAAAUCCACCGAACAUUAUCCGUGCGGUUUGAUAAUUGCACCUGCAUGAGUCUCCUAACCAGAUGCAACCAUGCAUCCCAGCGUGCUCCCACUAAAGCACGCCUGAACUGCAUAUUAAGAGGGACCGAUUGUAAUACCAUAGAUAUAUAAUCCUCUUUACGUUGUGCAAUAUUAUAUAACAGGGGGUAUUGAAGUGCAAGAGGUGUAUCCCCAAGCCAAGUAUCUUCCCAAAACCUUGUUGAGGUACCAUUACCAACUAUAAAUUUCACUUUCUGGAAAAAGGUCAUCUUUAUCUUCAUGAACCCUUUCCAAAAAGGUGAGUCAUUAGGUCUAGAUCUAACCUGAGCUAAAGUUUUAGAAUGAAGGUAUUAAUUCUUUAAUAUUUGAAUCCACAUUCCUUCAGAUUCCGUGGAUAGCCUAUAUAGCCAUUUGCUAAGCAAACAUAUGUUUUUCACUUCCAAAUUUUCAAUCCCCAAACCCCCCUGGUCUUUGGGUCGACAUAACAUAUCCCAAUGUGCCAAUCUAUAUUUCUUCUUAGCUUCAUCACUUUGCCAGAAGAAACGAGAUCGAUAGAAAUCUAGUCUUUUUCGCACCCCUACUGGUAUUUCAAAAAAAGACAAUAAAAACAUGGGUAGGCUUGUUAAUACUGAGUUGAUUAAUAUUAGCCUCCCUCCAUAUGACAUAAGUUUGCCCUUCCAGCAACUUAAUUUUUUUUCAAAUCUAUCUUCAAUACAUUUCCAUUUUUUAUUUGUCAGUCUUCUAUGAUGGAUAGAGAUCCCGAGGUAAUUAAAUGGUAGUGAACCUAGUUCACAUCCAAAUAACUGCCUAUAAGCGUGUUGCUCCUCUUUUGCCUUCCCAAAACAUAAGAGUUCGCUUUUAUGGAAAUUAAUUUUCAGUCCCGAUAGUUGUUCAAAUAAGCACAAUAAUAAUUUCAUAUUCCUCGCUUUAGCCAUAUCAUGUUCCAUAAAAAGAAUUGUAUCAUCCGCAUAUUGUAAAAUAGAUACACCCCCAUCUACGAGAUGCGGAACCAGUCCUCCAACUUGGCCCUUAUCUUUGGCUCGAUUAAUGAGUAUUGUCAACAUGUCUGCAACUAUGUUGAACAACACUGGAGACAUUGAGUCACCCUGCCUUAAUCCUUUAUGUGUUUGAAAAUAAUGACCUAUGUCAUCGUUAACUCUAAUUCCUACACUUCCUUUCUGAAUGAAAGUAUCAACCUGAUCUCUCCAUCUUUGGUUGAAUCCUUUCAUACGUAAAGCCUGUUGAAGAAAUGGCCAUUUUACUUUAUCGUAAGCUUUCUCGAAAUCUACUUUGAAAAUAAUCCCAUCCAAUUUCUUUGUAUGGAUUUCGUGUACCGUUUCAUGAAGGACCACAACACCCUCUAAGAUAUGUCUCCCUGGCAUAAACGCAGUCUGCGUCGGUUGGACAACUGAGUGAGCUAUCUUCGUUAAUCUAUCUGUACCAACCUUUGUAAAAAUAUAGCAUACUGUUGCCACGGAGAAAAAAAAUAGGGUUAUCCAACAAUUGUUCAAAUUUAGAAAUGUGUGUCGGAGAUAACAUCACAUAUGAUUUUCAUUCGUAUAACAACAAUCUGAUUCUCUCUAAUGCCUCCUUAACAACUAUUCCCGCAAGAAGAACCCUCCCCCAGAAUCUACAUUCUAUUCACCGUGUCUGGGUCAUCUGUUCAAGAUCUGUAUUUCUGCAGAUUAUAUAGUUUUUAUCGAUCAAUAAGUACCCUUUUAUGAUUUCUUCUAUGAUUAGGCAAUUCUUAGGGGGCUAGUUUUAAAUUCUGCUUUUCCCUUAUUUGUUUAGUAGUCUUAUAUUCACUCACGCUUGCUCUAGCAUUGUGCCGGCUCAAAAAUCAGUUAUGUCUCCUUACUACCAUUGGGUUUUGAAAAUUAGAAUAUCUCUGAUUUUUCGACUCAAAUAGACUCAAUCAAUUGCCUAUACGUUACAUCUUUCGCAAAAAAAGUACCACAAACUUGCCACGGAUUAUAUUACAUCAAGCACAACGGUAAUUAUAGUAUGAUAAACAACUAAUAUUGACGAUAAUGUGUUCCACCUAAAGUGAGAGUUUCUGAUGGACAGUGGCGGCAAACACAGUAACAAAAAAAAGAACAAUCAAAUAGGACUCUACAUGCAAUAUUUGUGGAUGUACGGAGGAAGAUGAAUUCCAUGAAGUAAUGGAUGCACUAAAAGUAGGAUCCUAAGAGAUGCAAUGAGGAAGCAAUCUGAAUUUCCACCUGAAUCUUGUUUCAGAAAUGUUUUCCGGGACUGGGUGCAGAUGCUUCUUAGCUCGUUUUCAGAGAAAAUGUGGGCGACAGUAGUACUGCUACUCUGAAGGAGUUCCGCUUGCGUCAUGUAUGUGUAUGAUGCUCUCGGAAUAUAAUUUUAUUGCUCUUGAUUUUCAAAAGGAAAAAGACAUGGCAAACUGAUAAUGAUGUCCGCGUACCUUGGGAUGCUAGCUGAAUUUCUUAUUGUUCAAAAAUCCGAGUGGUAGUGUAUAAGAAAACAUCAUCGGAUAUUGAAAAGAUUCACAAUCAUGAUAUCUAAAAGAAACAAUGAUAAGAAAACAUCAUCGGAUAUUGUCAUAACUAACAAAUCGCACGGCGCGACACUGUCACGUGCUUAAGAUCAUCAAGUCAGCUGAUAUGAUAGAAAAAAGAGAUGAAAGUAGUACAGUACGUCAACAGGUAGCUAGUGUUUGGGAAAAUGAUAGGCGAUGGGUGCAUAGAUGGAUUGCAGCAACUGACACACGGCGAGGAAGGCUGUAACACCGAAUACGACUUGUUGCAAUGUAGUGCUGCAAUACUUUUGGCGGAACGAUCCCUUGAAGUUGCGCGCCUUGCUGUCGCAUAAUUUUUCCAGGUUGUGCCAGAUGGGCUUGAGGUAGUUCUUGUUGUUGUCAUGGACGUCCAUGGCCACCCCGUUGCAGAGGUUGGCAAAGCCUUGGGCGGCAAUCUUGUCGCUGCCCUGCCAGUGUUGGAUGAUCUUUGCCUCGACCAGCAGCCGGACGUCCUCCACCGUACACGCCACCUGCGACAUGAAGAUGCAGUAGGCUGUGACGGGCCUCUUGGGCAUUUGCUCCUCCAGAGCCAUCAGGUUACGAAGGAGCGUCCACGUCCCGCUGCCGACAUGCAGGCAGGGGAUGUCCAGCGUGCCUCCUUGAAGGUGCACGUCGAGGAUGCAAGUCACAUUAGCCGCGAAGUCCCGGCACCUGAACUGCACGUUGGCGUGCAUGCAGUACUCCGUUGCCCGACGCCACCGACCCGUGUACGGAUCUGUUCUGCCCAUGUCACGCUGCGGGUCAGCAGAUGGUGGUGGGCUGAAGUAUGUGCGGACUCGGUGCAGCAGCUGGCAUCGACGCUUUGGAGGAUCUGCAAUUUCACCAUUGCCAUUGCCAUUGCCAUUGGUUGGAGUUGGAUGGAAGUAUGUGUGCACUAGGUGUAGCAGGUGGGAUGGGUGCUCCGGCAGCCUCGGCUUCUCUGGGCUGAUGUACAGCUGAGCAUGCAGCAGCCUCUGGAUAUAUCUUGCCAUGUACGGGAGUAGACCACUGCUUUUGGCGCGACCGUUGAUGCCCUCUAAAAGAAUGAAAGGCACCUGGUUCUCAACGAGGUAAAGGAUGUCGCGAAACACCGUGUUGUGGUUGUUGCAGGUUUGAGGGGCGUCCGGAUAGCUCCUCAACCAAGCAAUCAGGUAGCACCCAUCAUGCAGCAGCAUCCUCGCGAACUCUUCCGGCGUCAUGUGGUCGACCCCGUCGCCAUACCAUUUCCUUGCUUCGGGCUCCAAAUCCUCCACUAGACCAUUAAGGCCACCUCCGUUGUUGCAUUUCUGGGAGCGACACUGCAUGAAGCCGACAUAGCGCAGCUUUUCUUUUUCAAUCCAUGAAGAUGAACAAUUGCGAUGGUAAGGGCCGAUCGGCACGUUCUGCGGCUUGUAGCUGUCUUCGUCGGCGCUACGGAGUUGCUCGCGAACUUUCCCGUUGGACCUGCGCAACGACGACUCAUCUUCGGCCAGCACCGCUUUCCCUGCCUCCAAGUCGGAGUCAAGAUUAAAGGCUCCUGCACCAACAUGCCAGAAUUAUAUUAAUCAUCAUCUCAAUACUUCUGUUUUUGUUUCUGUACACAUGAUGAGAUAAUCAAACUCUCUUUUUGCAAUGCAAGUCUUUGCAUUUUACAAUGCAAAUAGCCUCUAAUUUGUAUCCGUCCACAAAUGUUGCCAAUAUAUAUGGUCACUGACUUGAUGUAACACCAAAUUCUUUUAGUAAGCUAAUCCAGGUGGCAAUGUCUGUCUUAUUAUGGUCGCUUUGACUAUGUACAAAUGAUUGUGUUUUUAAUGGCAAAACCUCUUCUCAUAUGCAGAUUAUUUACCAUUGAACGCAAUAGCAUCGUAUGCGGUUUACGAUGCACCGAACGGAGUACCGAUCAUUGUUUUAGGCAUUGUGUAUGCGAUCGAUUGGAAUAUGUGGUACCCAAGAUGGGUGGUAGCAUAAUCUCCAGAUUGGUCCAACUCCUUCGUCAACAUAAUCAUAGUAUCGUUCUCAUAUGGCUUUACUAUUGCCAACUUUUCAUUUUUAUAUUCUGUAUCUACGCAAAGGACGUGUAUCGUUCAGUAUGCUUUUUAUCCAUUUUAUAAAAAAAAUCCCUUCACUACAAAAAAACAACUAAAUGUUUAUUGGCAAAAAGGUUUGAAACUUUUCCAGUAUGAUUAGAAUGGUAGUAUUAAUAUUUAAAAAUGUUUUCAAAAUUUGCUAUUCUCUUCAAUGUUUGCAAAUUUUGCUCAAAGAAUAGGCUAACCAUUUAUUUUUCUUGCUAUUUUUAAUAUGUUUAGAAAAAAGGAUUGAUGAUUUACCAGAAUGAUCACCAUGGUACUGUUGAUAUUACAGAUCUGGUUGAAAAUUUCCGGACACUUACAUUUUAGACAAAACAUUGACCAAAAAGGGGGAUGAAUAUGUAGUUUGCGUAUAAUUUAAAAAAAAAUUAGCAAAAAUAUUGAAACUUUCUCAUAAUGGUGAGCAUGGUAGUGUUUAUUUUGUAGAAUGUUUUUUAUAUUUUUUCUGGCAAUUUAUCUUUUUGCUCAAUUUUUACUAAGUGUAUAGUGGCAGCUGACUGGGCAGUUAACUUGUCAAAACCACCCCAAUUCAUGAGAAACUAGUUUGAGGAGAGGGCAUGAUUGAAAUUAGACUGGUUUUGACAGUUAAUGGUUGUAGUUUAGAUGGUUUCAAAGUACAAGGUUGAUUCUUAAACACUAGUGGUCACUUGUCUCAUAGGACAUUAAUUAAACAGCUUGAGCUAUGUAGGAACGACUAGACAAGUAUAUGAAAUACAUUUUUGUUGAAAAUAUAUGAAAUUACCAUUGUCUGAUGGAGUUAAUACAUAGAUUUUUGACACAAGAAAGGUAUUCAUUUUGAACAAAAAUAUAUAUUAUUUUGCAAGUAAACCAUAUGAAGAUUCAAAGUCAUGGGACAAUGUAAAAUAUCUAGUUGUAUGUGGAAUUGAACAAACUAUAUGGAUAGUAGUAGACCUAAAUGUGGCAGAAGAAUAGAAAAUGUAUGUUGUGAGGUGCAUAGAGGUAGCAUAGUUUUUUUUGCCGCAUUUUCGACGAAUAUCAUUGUGUUAUGAAACUUUGCAACCAAUAAAAAAAAUGGCAAUGGGUGACAUAUGAAAAAAUGAUUUCUCAAAAUUGUUUUCAAUUGUGUUUUGAUUUUAUUCUUCACCCGAACUCGCAUGAGCUUGGGAUCGGAACAGCACUUAAGCACAUCUACAUUCAAUCAGGAACCACAUGUUAACUUUAUCGAGAGGCACUGCUUCUUGGUGAACAUGUUGGCUAUAUUUUCCCUCUACUUCUCAUCAACAUACCCAAACUGAUUACAAUCCUUAAAUCGACUCAUGCUUCUUGGUCAGUCCCAAAAAUAGAUCGUAUCUGAGCCCUGUGACCACCCCACCCCCGCCGUUGACUCGGGCGGUGGAGCGCGCCCCCUCCCCUACCGUCCUUCAGGCCCUCUCAGAUCAGCAGCGCCGGCCUAGGGGCAAAGCCCCUCACGGUGGCUAACAAUGGCCCCCUUUUCUCCGAUGCCCUGCGAUGGUGGAUGCGAGGCGGCCUAUCUAGGAGGCAGCAUCAGGCAGGUGCAGGGCUCUGCGGCAUGAUGGGGGCAACGACACGGUGGCCCUCCGAUCGGAUGUGGCGUUCAUCCCCUCCGUAAGAGGUGGUCGGCCUGAGGCUGGGUGGUCGGACCUCGAGAUUCAUCAUCCAGUCUCGGAUGUGAGUCGGGGAGACAUAGUUGCCGUUGAAAACCAAGCCGACAUGGCAGCGUUCUGCAUUGUUACCUUGAUGAAAGCAUCGUCGUGUAACUAUUGUCGACCCACUUGUUCUGCUCUUAGGAAAACCCUAGGAUCCGGUCUUCCAGAUCGGACGAUGGUGGCACUAUGGUGUCGUUUCUCUAUUGGGAGCGUCGUUUGUGGAGCAGCACUAGAAGACAGAGGCAGUAGGUGGAACGACAGUCAUGUCUGGCCGACAGGUGCUACUAUGUGUCAUACCUGUUCUGCUGGUGCUACGCACGAGAGAUUUUCCGAAGUCUUCGUGUUGGGAUAGAAGAACGUAGGAUGGUGGGGCCAUUGGACGCUGUGUUUGCGUCUACGGAUGGCAGAACUAGCUAGGACAAUCAGAUGUCUCUCAUGAGGAUGGGUCAACGGUUCGAUGAUGAUGGUGGCUUGUAAAACGUGUGCAUAUGGUCUAUGCUUCAUGUCAGCUACACCGGUUGUUGGUUCCGAUACGUUAUAUGGAUGGCUCGUCCACAACACCGGUUGUUGGUUCCGAUACGUUAUAUGGAUGGCUCGUCCACAACACCGGUUUUAGAUAUGAGGAGUAAGAGCACUCUAUAUUAUUGAGUUUGUAGGAGUGAGUAAUGACUUCGCGUGGCUCAAUUAAUAAGUGAGUAUUCUAGUAAGACCUUUGUUUAAUAAUUAAUAAGUGAGUGUAUGCAUCGAUUGAUACAAAGGUUAGGCUUUUUUAAUCUCCUUUUCCAAAAAACAUGCAACAAUAACCAGCCGCCACACUUCGCCGCUAAUUAGCCGCACUAACUUCAUGCACCAACCCACUAUGUACACUCCCCUCCCCUCUCCUAAAAAACCCCACUAUCUACACCAUGGUUCAAUAUAUCGGAUAUCAGGUUCAUAUCGGUUUGGCUUCGACAUAUCAGAUAUUAGGUGAUAUAUCGGACGAUAUAUAGAUAUAUCGAAGGAAACAUAUCUGGAUAUUUUCCAUUAUUCUUACUGAAAACAUGUGUUUUAGUUUUAACAAAACGCAUGAUGUCAACGCUUUUUAGCACAACAAUUUUAGAUUCCUAGUUAAGAAAGAUUCACAAAAUCAUUGAUAUAAAAAAACAAUACUUCUAUAUGCGUAUGUAUUAAACAUCAUGCAUGAGUUUGCUAGGAUAAAGCUGUAAAUUCAUAAUCUUAUUUUCACUACUUUCUAAUAGAUAAUUUUGAUCAUCUGUGUAUUAGUCUAUAUCAGUGGACAUAUCGAGCGAGAUAUCGGCCAUAUCGGUCGAUAUUUCGGUGCAUAUCGGACGAUAUGUGAAAAUUAUAUUUACAAAAUGAUAUGUAAUGUUUGUACCGGUAUAGCUACAGAACUGAUAUAUUGGCCUAUAUAUCAUUCAUAUCGGCCUAGAUUUAAAAGCUUGAUCUACACGCGCACAUCCAUGUUUAGCACUUGUGCAAUCUCUACUCAACGGCCACAUGACCCAGCCAAAACAACAUGAAUGUAGCUAAGAAACUAAUGCAUGCACUAAACUGACUCACCAAUUCUUUCAUCUAGCACUAGCACAUCCCACGUUUGUUUCGGCACUUGCAGCCCUGAUUUAGCCCACCGUCGGUGUCUCACUUUGCUCGCCCCAUAGCUUGCCUCUGCUCAAACUCCCCGGCUUCAUAAACAUCACACGCACACCUUGCCAUACUACAACAGGCUACACCUAAACAUCAAACUACUUGCAAAACUAAACUUAAAACUCAUGCAACUAUAUAUAUAUGUUGAGAUUAGUUCUAGCACGGAGAAGCACACACAUGUUCAGCGGGAUGUAGGUUGCCCUAAAAGCUAUCAUGGUCUCUAGUCGCAUCGCAGAAGAUCCGAGAAACAGAGGAGCACAACAGGGAGGGGGGAGCCGAUAUGUGUGCGCGAGCAUGGACGGCUGGGCUAGCUGAUGAUUCUUCACCUCCACCACAUGGUAGUAAGAACUUACAUAUGGGACCCAUAUAUUAGUUGAUCUCUUAUCGGCUGUGUGAAAUAGCUGGUUUCAACUCACUAUGUGGUAAAGUGAAGAGAAACUAAAAUCAAAUUAUUUGCUUAUGUGAGAGAUGUACCCUUGUUAUUGUUUAGUUUGUGCAAUUAAUUCUCUCUGCUCUAUUUUAUUUUGCAGAUCUUGAAAUUAAUUCCCGAAAUCUGCAUGAAACAUCUUUGUUUUGUGAAUUACAAUUGCAGGACCACAGGCUUAGGUUUUAAGGUCAUAGAUCACAAGUUAUUCAAAAAACAAUUGUAAUGGGUGUUCGCAACAUUUGCCCCAAGCGACCAACUAAAAAUGGACAGGCCAUGCCUUCUUCGAAAGUUGCACGCCGCAUUGUUUUUCACUUAUUAGAUCCUUCAUCUACAGGAACUAACAAAAGAAAAGAAAAGGAAUCAAGUAGAUAUGUUGAUAUUUUCCUGGUAAUUAGAAGUUAGCAAAACAUCCAUAGAUCUGGUUCCUUGAGGGCUCCUUCGAUUCAUAGGAUUUUGAAUAGCUGGAAUAGGAAAAAUACAGAAUUGUAGUGGCAUGUCCUCUAGUAUCUUAUGGCAUUUGGAAACAACAAGAAUUUGGAUGGAAGAGUGUUUCAGAACACAAGAAAACACACAAAUGGAUUAUAAAAAAGCUUGUGCAGAUGGAAAAUUUUAUUCAAAUAGACUGCAAAGCAAUCCUAUGGAAUUUUUCCUAAGGAUUUCCAUCCUAUGCAUCAAACAAGCUAUGUAGGAACAAAAUAUGGAUCUAAAUCCUGCAAAAAUCCUAGCUAUAGAACUCCUUUGAGUCAAAGGAGACCUGAAUAGAAACAAACAGUCCAGUUUUGAGUUUGUAAUAUUCUAAAAACAUGAAAAUUACACAUACAAGACAACAAAGAAGACAUGAUACUUCGAGAUUGCACAUUUCGGGAAGACUAAUUAGAACAUUCAUUCAGAUAGGGGAGAGAGAGUAAAUGUAAAUGCACAUAUAAUUACUUCUUACAUACCGGACGACACUGUGCUCGUGGAGCACUCCGAAGCCAGCAAAGGAUGGUAGCUAUCCGGACGUCCUUGUGAUAUGAAGAGGUGUUAGAUAGUUUGGCACGCUAUACCACCAUACAGUUUGCAGUUUAAAACAUGUAAAUUUCACCUACAAGGCGAGAAAGAAGACUUGAUAGCAUGCUUUGAAACCAUGCAUUUAGGGAAUAGUAAAUAACACAUUUCUUCGGAUGGUAAAAAGCUAGCAAAAUGCAUAUAUAUUUACUUCUUAUACGUACCUGACGACAUUGCUCUCGUGAGGCACUCCAAAGCCAACAAAGGAGGGUAGCUCCCGGGACGUCCUAGCUAGCUUUGUGAUAUGAACAGGUCGUUUGGCACGCGAUACCCACACAUAUGUAGGGUUCGAUAAGGCCUUCUCUCUCGCUCUCGGUGUCUUCUCUGUCACACAGCAUUCCUCGGUGGGCCCAAAGGCGACGAUUAAUUAACAUGCAGCCGCCGGUGCAAAAGAGGAGGAUUACGACAAGAAUAACAUGCUACAUUCCACUAUAAAGCAAGCACGCCUCUGGGCAACCGCACGUUAUCUCGUGCUAAAAGCCGAUCCAGCACAAAGGAUAGAUUCCUUGCUUCAAUCAACCGACGGACCGACCCACGUCGCCGGUGACAAAAAUAAAUGGAGAAGCCUACGCUAUUGCCUAUGUAUAGAUCAAGUGACUUUAGUAUGUGUUUUUCGAGAAGCCUACGCCAAAAAUAAAUGGUUGUAAGUACGUUCCAUUCGUAUGCAUUGCCUCCCCAAGGAACAAAUGUCUUGUGUAUGUGUGUGGUAUGAAAUUUGUGUCUCGUUAUAGUAAUUCAUAAUUAGUUCCAUUGUUUAAUUUGGUGUUGUGAAUAUAUAUAUGGUCAUCUUGUGCAAUUUAAAUUUUAGAUAAUAACCGAGUUAUUUCCGGUCAAGGGAAAAAUAAACUCACAAAAACAUGAGCCAGGUGACCAUGAUCCGCUUGCAGCAAAUCUGACUUAUUGCUCCAUAUUGGAAUAUGUCUUUUCGCAUGCUGUUUAUCCAUUUACACUAAAGAACAACAUUGUUGAAUCCAAAUGUAGCUAAAUCAUAGGAAUGUAAAAUUGCAUAUUUAUCGAUAUGGGUUUGGAUUGCUAUACUUCAUUGUGAUUUAGAAAGUGUAAUUUCAUUGACAUAUGGUUGUAAUUUGUCUACCAAAUAACCCGUGUAAGCUGGUAAUCUGAAGGAAAAUUACAAGUUCUCUCUUAAUGCUGCCGUUGCAUCUUCGUCUGAGAUAAGCUACUCCAGUUCUAAAUAGGCAUCCAUCCUAUUCCUGCUCGAGUAUCAAGUGCACGAUAUGUUGCUCUCACCCACAUCAUCAUUUCUUGCACGCACCUUCUUUCAGCUGUAAUAUUUAUUUGGAUCAUUCAAUUGUGAAGUGCCAUGUUUUCUACUUAUACUCUGCAGACACAAUGUUAUUGUUUUGUUUUCAAUCUCAGUAUGCUAUCUGUCUGAAUUUUGUAUAGCUAGCAUAGUGCCCAAUAUCAUGAGCUAAUUCUAAUAUUAUUUAUAGAGCUUUCAUAAUAUCAUUAUGAUGAUGAAGCACGUCAAGUAUUUUCCACUACUAAUUGCGUUAGCUUCACCUCAGAACAUGGAAAGAGGGAGUAGAGUUAUCAAUAAUGAUUAGCUAUAAGGUACCGUAGAUAUCGAUAUUUCCAGAGCAUCGUUUCCAAUUGUGUGUUAUCUCGUUGUGUUUAUGAGUAGAUAUAACAUCUCCGGUAAUACUUAUUCUCACACUUGCUGAUAUGAACUAAUUGGCAAUAUUCAUAGAAAUUAUGCUUUUAUGUUUUGUACGACUCGAUACAAAUCGGGUAUCCACGGUAAACAUUGUGGCUUGCUUUUGCAUUGGUACAAAUUUUGCCUUUAUGGUUUCUGUGAAAAUGUGGUUAUCCUGGGAAGUAUCUAUACAUUGCUCUUGAUAUAUCUUUGUAGUGUUUGUGAUCUAUACUGAACAAAUUUAUUCUGACCGGUUAUUCCAAUUUAUUCUGAAUGUUAUAAAUACUUUGUUAUAUUGACGUGUUAGACGUUGGGUCACCAUCAUGAGCCAGCCAACGCGAGCCAAGGCGCGCUUCCGAUUUUAGCAUUACCUACUUGACUAAAAUGUUAGGACCGGUAUCCUCGCGUUUCAUUCUGGCCGAUGGGCAACGUGUUAAAAUAUUUUUAAUGGUCAUGCCCUACAGUUUAUGUUUUUAAAAUAUUCAUAGAAUUUAGGCGUGUUAAAAUAUUCGUAGAAUUUAUGCUUUUAUGUUUUGUACUACUCGAUACAAAUCAGUUGUCCUCGGUAAACAUUGUGGCUUGCUUUUGGAACAAAUAUUUCCUUUAUGGUUUUUGUGAAAUUGUGGUUAUCCUGGGCAACAACUACAGUUUGCUUUUGGUAUAUUUUUAAUGUGCAUGCCCUAUAUUAAACUCAGUUAUAUUGGGCAGUAACUACACAUUGCUAUUGAUAUAUCUUUGUAUUAUUUGUGAUGUAUACUGAACACAUUUAUUCUGACCGGUUAUACCAAUUUAUUUUGAAUGUUCUAAAUAGUUUGUUAUAUUGACGUCUUAGACGCUGGGUCACCAUGAUGAGCCAGCCAAUGCUAGCCAAGACGCGAUCCUGAUCUAGUAUGUAGGGAUACACCCAUCUGUUGGGGCAUUCCUCGGGACAGCCGCUGGGGCAUGAAAAUAGUAGGAUCAAUUAACAUGCAGCCGCCGGGGCAAAAGACCAGGAUUACGACAAAAUUAACAUGCUACAUUCUGAAAAGCACGCAGGCCUCUGCACAAGCGCACGUUAUCUCGUGCCGAAAGCCGAUCGAGCACAAAGGAUAGAUUCCUUGCUUCAACCGACCGACCGGCGUCGCUAGUGACAAAUGCCUAAAUGCCUUGUGCAAAAGUACAAACAUUAGUUUUCUCUAAAGUAGUACGGUACUAUUAUAUGCACCACAAGCCGCGACGACCAGCAAGUCUUCGUCGCCAGCCAGGUUAGAGCAUAAAGCAACGGCUUAUUCAACUAGAACAGAGGAAGUGCUAGUAGAGGCGCCGUUAAUUUCAAAAAAAAAACUUUAUUAAUUACUCCCUCCGUCAUGGUUUACAAGGCUUGUUCGAAAAUUGUCAAAAAUUGUUACCUAGCUGGUCAUUGAUUGGCUGUGAACCAAACGUUUUCGCUAUAAAUCCCAUAUAUAUGUGGUCUUGCUCACUGUUAGAUAAUGAUGUUGAAACUACACCUAACAAUGGCAGCAGUGUUAGAUAGCUUACAAUAAUUAAUAGAAAAUUAUCAUAGAACAAUUGUUCUACGUUUUGUGCUUCAAAAUAAAAAUGGCAACAAAGCCAUCUAACCAUUUCGAGAAGUCGCAUCAGCCCCUGCCUAAUCUAUAUAUAUCUUUUUCUAUACUAAUUAUAGACUCUCUAGAAAUUCACGCAUUAAUCCUGGAAAUAAAAAUAAUUAGAAACCUUUGAUUUCGUGCAUCCAAAUUACAACGGCUCAGAUCAAAUCUUUAAUUGGUUAAAUAAUAAAAAUAGAUAUCAUACAUUUGCGGACCAGAACUAGGAGAAAGGAAAAUAUAAGCAGUUGAUUAAUUGAUUUUCUAUAUCCGACUUUUGAGAAAAGAAAAUUGAUAAUAGAGAUGUCUUUAUUAUGAUUAUAAUUCUUUCAUGGCGUAUACAUGAAGUGACGAGGAGAUAAAAUAAUAUUUAAAAUAUAUUAGAUAACCCACACAUGCAAAAAAUAUAUUAUAUUUAGUAAGUACAAUAUGCUCACCAGGUUUAAAUGCCUCACAUUCAAUUGAGCCCUUCAAUUUGGAAUUGGCUCACCAGAUUUUGAUCGGAUCAACAAUUUCUCUCAUUCAACGCUUUUAGUUAACUAUGCCCCCUCAAUAGCCAAAGCAAGUACUCGCAGCGAUGUCCGAGAGGAUGGUUAUGGUUGGAGCCAGGAAUUUGGAAACACGUGCACGCAACGUGAGCUUGAGAAGAGAAGCGAGGAGGGCUGGCGGCAACAUGCAUAGGCGGUUGCAUGAUGUGCGUGAUGGAGACCGGUAUUCGACCCGAGUCUUGGAGAAAGGAAGAGAUAAGGAUCUGUACCAUUCCACACGGUGCCUGACUAAUCGGGAAGACGACUACACAUCGAACGAACUCCUCAGAGAGCCUGCUAAAACUGGAACCGACGUAAAAAUGAUGACGUGUCGAUCCAAGCAAAAAACAAUAAGAACAACAAUCAAACCUAUAGGGCACAUGAUUAUAAUGCAUUCAAGAUCACAACCCAUGUAAAUACGAAAGCCAUACAAAGAAUCGCACGCGACAAUGACCCGAAUCACACGCGGCGUUUUUACAGCAGCCGUAUUUUCUUUAAAAAAAACAGGAAAAAUAGUCCCUUACAGGCCUAGUAUUUCUUGUUGGUUGUUGAUCCAUGUAACCUCUGGACGGUUCGUGACUUUGCUAAUUCAAAGCCGGUCGCUUGUUGAACUUUUUAUCUAAAGAAAAGGAAUACAUAAAGUAAAUCUGGUACUGCAUCUGCUAACAAGGUGUGGAAACUAAACUGACACUAAUGUUUUGGGUUUUGCCUAGAGCCGAUAACUACAUAACAAGUUUGCGUGACUACACAAGCAAGGAGGACGAAAACUAGUAGGAAUGCCAAGGCGAUCGUCAAGCGUUGUGAGCGUUGGCCCCAAAAGUUGUGCGCACGGCGCUUGUGGCGCUUCUCCAGGUCAUGCCAAAUGGGUUUGAGAUAGUUCCUGUCGAUGUUAUGGACGUCCAUGACCACCCCAUUGCAGAGGUUGGCAAAUCCUUGGGCGGCAAUGUCGUCGCUGCCCUCGAAGUGUUGGAGGAUCUUUGCAUCAACCAGGAGCCGGACGUCCUCCACCGUACACGCAACCUGCGACAUGAAGAUGCAGUAGGCCGUGACGGGCCUCUUGGGCAUCUGCUCCUCCAGUGCCAUCAGGUUACUUAGGAGGGUCCAUGUGUCCCUACAGACUUGCAGGCGAGGGAUCCACAGCGUGCCUCCUUCAAGGCGCACGUCAAGGAUCGAAGUCACUUCGUCCGCGAAGUCCCGUGGCAUGAACUUCACGUUUGCACACAAGCGGUAGUCCGUCGCCCGGCGCCACCGACCUGUGUGCCUCGGCGGUUCCGGAUCAGUAGACGGCAGCAAAUUGGCUUGACGGAAGUAUGCGUGCACUAGGUGCAGGAGGUGGCAUGGCUGCUCCAUCAGCUUCUGCUUCCCUGCGCUGAUGUACAGCUGAGCCUGCAGCAGAUUCUGGAUAUAUGUUGCCAUGUAGCGGAGUAGACAACGGGAACCUCCUGUGGCGCGGGCGUGAAUCCUCUCAAGAACGAAGAAAGGCAUCUGGUUCUCGAUGAGGUAAAGGAUGUCACGAAAGACCGUGUUGUGGUCGUGGCAGGAUGUUUGAGGGGCGUCUGGAUAGUUCCCCAACCAACCCAACAGGUAGCACCCAUCAUGGAGCAGCAUCCUCGCCAACUCCUCCGGCGUCAUGUGGGCGACCCCGUCGCCGUACCAUUCCCUUGCUUCCGGCUCCAAUUCCUCCACUAGACCAUUAAGGCCACCUCCCUUAUAUCUCUCGGAGAGACUCUGCAUGAAGCCGACAUACCGCAGCUUUUCUUUUACAAUCCACGGAGACGGAUGAGUGCGAUGGUAAGGGCCGAUCGGCACGCUGUGCGGCGUGUAGCUGUCUUCAUCGGCGCUACGGAGUUGCUGACGGACCUUGGGAGCAUUGUGGAUGGAAACAAUAGUGUUCCUCCCAAUUUGUUUGGCCAGCAGUUUUUUCCCUGCCUCCAAGUCGGAGUCAAGAUUCCAGACUCUUGUAUCUGCAUGAUAUAAUUAAUUAUCACAAAGAAUACAAUAUAUGCUAGGAAAAUGCAAUGUAUAUAUAUUAAUGUUGGUUACUCCUUUAAGGUUUUGAUGGUGUAGAAGUUCCCAAAAUUCAUGACAAAAAUGGCGUAACACUUUGACUAUAAUCUAAGAUCAACCAGCAGAGUGAUUGCAAAGAUAUUAUUUUAUGUGCCCUCAAGAAAAAAAUAUAGUUGAUGAACUGUUCAAAAAAAGUGACAGCCAUUUUAGAUCCCGCCAAAUAUAGUUGAUGACCUGUUCAAAAUAUAGUUGAAAAAAUAUGGAGUGAUUUGAAAUAUUGAGUUCAUGUGCUCUCAGCAAAAGUGACAGCCAUUUUAGAUCCCUGCGAAAUAUAUAUGAACUCAACUAUUUGUUGUUUUUUCCAGUGUGCAUAAAGUCUUAUUUUUACAAUCACUCUGUAAUCUUAUAUCAUCGUUGGCGUGAUGUUCUCGUAUUGGUUUCAGUUUUCUUAGAGCUUUGGACCGUUAAAACAUUGAAAAGGUGAUAUGGUAACUAUUGGUAGCUAUAUAUCGUGCCUCUAUCAAAAAAUUCGUCCCUGAUAUGGUAGCCUAUAUCAUGCAUGGGCCGAGUGACUGUCUUCUAGAAUGCAUGCUUGUUCAGUGUCGGCGGUGUUCGUAAGGUUUGAUACGCUAACUCCACUUGUCAAUUGUCUGGUGUACUAGUAUCAUAGUGCCAUCUAAUUUUUUCAGUUCUAGAAUUUGAAUAUGAAAUUAUGCAUAUGAUAAUCAUUAGAUUUUCUUGAUCCAUGUGCUAAGAUACUGUAUCUUAUCAUGAUACUACUAUCACAUCUCUUAUGCAACAUCAUUUUUGCCUCCGUAAAAUGCAUGAUACUAAGGUGAAGCAUUGUGACAGGCCUAAAACAAACCAAAUUGCGGUACGACAACGUAUAGCCAGAGGAGUACAUGCAUGGUUUGGAAUUUUUUUCAUAAAUUUCUCUAGGAUCGUCUAUCGUUACUGCUACGGCGGUGGUACCAACAUGAGGGACAGUUGGCAUGAAUUUUCUGAGUUUUUUUAAUAUUGACCCCUUCAUUUACAAAAGGUGGCUUUUUGUUAUUAGGCAAAAUUAAAAAGCUGAACCAAGUGUACACAGUAGACACAUGUUUAAAUAUUGUAUUCUCAUAAUGUUGUGUUAGUGUUCUUCUAAAACCAGCAUGAUAUCCCUUACAAACGUGAGUGCAUCGUAUUUUAGUGUAUAAAAUAUGUUAAGUAUUUUAUUUUCUUAUGAUACAGAUACUUUUCCUCAUAUUUACCCCUUUUUACUGCAAAAUAACUAUUAUUUCAUGUAUGAACAUAUAUGACUAUGUUGAUAAUAAAUAACAAAAAGGAAUUACAGAUAUUGUUUAUGAAAUCUAAUGCUGUAGAUUAAGUUUUUGUCAGCGAUCUGUCUACAAGGUUAGUAGUUGAUUCGGUGAACACGUGUGCCGACCAAACUUAGUUGUAAUCCACGUGCUUGCUGCACUAAUUGGCGCCGUAUGCUCCCUAGUGUUUGUCUGAAACCCUAGGGACUACAAUUAUUGGGAUCUGGUGGAUAUAAUCUGCUGAAGUUAUGAUCUGUGUAGGAACAACUAUGAAGAUAUAAGGAUUUCCACAAGAAGAUGUCGUUCGUUUGAUGAGAAAUAAAAAGGAAAAUCAGAUGGGAUACGUUUAGGUAUGAUAAUAUAGAUCUAGUGGGUAUGGUAUUUUUAGGUAUUGUUAUACAAACCUAAUGGUUCUUAUAUGUACUAAUAAAGAGAUGGUCAACCAGAUCCAGAAUCUCUAAAAAAUAGAUCUAGGACCAUAUGUUUUGCUUUUUGUGAGAAUUUCUAGCAUGCAUAUAUCUCUAUAUUUUCUGUAUUGUGGUUUUAAUAUAUACUCCCUCAGUUCCUAAAUAUAAGUCUUUUAAGAUAGUUUACUAGAAGUCUACAUACGGAGAAAAAUUAGUGAAUAUACACUCUAAAGUAUGUCUAUAUACAUCCAUAUGUAGUUCACUAAUGAAACCUCUUCAAAGACUUAUAUUUAGGAACGGAGGGAGUAAUAGAUAAAGAUAGAUAGACAGUUAACGUGUCAUUCGUCCUGCUUUCUGUUUUUUUAUGACAAUAUGACGACUGAGGUGUACAGUACAUUUCAAUGGACAAGCCACGCUUUCAGAAUGUGCACACAGUCUGUCUUGGUUGCAACCGGAACCCAAUCGGACGCCACCAUGCUGCCAGUCUUCAAUCUGAUUGACGGCGAUGAUAUGUCCCUACCAGCCUGCUUACACGAUUGGGAGGCACUGCCCACCAUUACAGCACUGGAAAAGGAGAUGACGGUACCACUCGUGUCCACGGUAGGAGGAGGAUGAGGAACUAAGUUAGAAGAACGGUAACUAAACUGCCACAUGGCUCUUAUGUGGGUAGUAAAAAGACCUAGCCAUUUCAGCCGGCAGCCCCUUUCAAGGAUGAAAUGUAGACUUUCGUUAAAGUGGGUGGGCAAACAUAGAUCUUUAAUUUGUGAGAGUAGACAGAUGAAUAUGCUUACAGAGCUUCGCCGUGGUGCCUCAAUGAUGAAAUGUAGACUUUAGUUAAAGUGGGUGGGCAAACAUAGGCCUUUAAUUUGUGACAGUAGACGGAUGAAUAUAUGCUUACAGAGGUUUGCCGUGGUUCCUCAAGGAUGAAACAUAGACUUUUGUUAAAGUGGAUGAGCAAACAUAGACCUUUAAUUUGUGAGAGUACAUGGAUGAAUAUGCUUACAGAGCUUUGCCGUGCGUGGCGCCUCAAGGAUGAAAUGUAGACUUUAGCUAAAGUGGGUGGGCAAACAUAGACCUUUAAUUUGUGAGAGUAGAUGGAUGAAUAUGCUUACAGAGCUUUGCCGUGUUGCCAGGAGACUCGCCGGUUUCACCCACUUUCCCUUGUUGAGAAGGUUGAGACGAGUCGACUUGGAUGGUGACGAUUUUGGUGGAUAAAUCAUCUCUGCUAGUCUCAGCCUUCCAUGCUUCCAUUUCAGUACCUGCAUGGCAGCAUAAAUUGAAAAAUGAGUUCAAAGGGUAGACUUUUGAGAAAUAUAAAGAUCAGUGUACUGUAGAAAAGGAAACAAAAUGAAGGGAACUGUUACUUUGCGCCAUGACACUGGAGGCUCGAUCCAAAGCAAAAGCUGUGUGAUCUAUCGUUUGUAAUACUUGUGAUGCAUGUUAUGACGGGCUAUAUAUAGCUAGGAUCAGCUUCACUCCUUGCUUGUACCAGUCGCGUGAAAUUUGUCGUUCCUUCUCAAAAUACUCUGCAGAACAUACAAAAUACUCCUUGCUCGACUGUGCUGCUCACAUGAGUGUCGGUAGAACAAGACGCGCGCCUUACGGUUGCCGCACGUUAGACGAUGCUGCCAUCAAAUGAGCUCAACUCCUCGAUAAGAUUGCCGUGCAUCGGGUCUCGUUCGACUCUCCUAGGACUCAUCAGUUAAACUGUGCACGCCGGCCAACGUCUACGCUCGUUCGUCACAGCUCUCGAGUCAUCGGGAGUAGUUACUAAGGAAAAGAUUCCCUUGAGACUCGGUCUUCCAAGGUCAUGCUGCCGAGACUAUACUUAUAGUAGAGAACUAAUCUAUUUCUCUUCAACUACAAGUACUUAGGUACAGAGGAAAUAUAAUAAAAGUAACAUAAGUCGUAACAUGACACGUAUCUGAAAAUAUAGAUAACAAGCCAAAUAAUUAACAAGAAAAGAUAAGUUUAUUGUAACACAAUAUUUUACCUUAAUAUCACAAAUACUAAAACAAAAUGACUCUAUAACGUAAUCUGAAAUAAAUAUAUUACAUGACACUACACAUAGGCUAUUAUCCAUAAUAGAGGUAGUAACAUAGACUAAUAAUAUAUAUGCAUAUUAUUGGUCUAAGCUACUCCCCACUAUGACCAGCCCUAUGCUCUUAGUAUAUGCACGGAGCCAUGUGAUCGUGUCGGGGAGUUGUUGAUUGCACAGUUAGUAACACAGGCUCUCUUAGUCCCGAACUAGUACAAGUAGAGCUUCAUUUCUUGGUUACUGGAGAUUAUUCCUAGGUUGUCAAUUUUGCAAAUAUAAUAUGGAGUAUAUACCAUACAAAUUAUAUCUUCAAAAAAUAAAACAUUUGAAGUUAUUGAUAGUAUAAUUUUUGCAAAAAAAUUAACUGUCAAACAAUAUCUUCUUUGCAACAGAUCUGUACGCUUUGGAUGCCAUCAUACUUGAAUCGAACGGUGGUUACACGCCCCACUAAAUCCUUAUUUUCCCUACAAUCCCCGCGUGUCUCGCUCGAUCUUGUGAUCUCAGCACACAUAUAAUGAUUGGUGCUAGUUUUUUGGGCCGCCGUCUGCCGAUUCCUCUCCAAGGCGCUCUAUUUUCCUCUCACUUGUUGAUCGNNNNNNNNNNNNNNNNNNNNNNNNNNNNNNNNNNNNNNNNNNNNNNNNNNNNNNNNNNNNNNNNNNNNNNNNNNNNNNNNNNNNNNNNNNNNNNNNNNNNNNNNNNNNNNNNNNNNNNNNNNNNNNNNNNNNNNNNNNNNNNNNNNNNNNNNNNNNNNNNNNNNNNNNNNNNNNNNNNNNNNNNNNNNNNNNNNNNNNNNNNNNNNNNNNNNNNNNNNNNNNNNNNNNNNNNNNNNNNNNNNNNNNNNNNNNNNNNNNNNNNNNNNNNNNNNNNNNNNNNNNNNNNNNNNNNNNNNNNNNNNNNNNNNNNNNNNNNNNNNNNNCAUACAAAUUAUAUCUUCAAAAAAUUAAACAUUUGAAGUUUUUGAUAGUAUAUUUUUUUGACAAAAUUAACUGUCAGUCAAUAUCUUUUCUGCAACAGAUCUGUACGCUUCGGAUGCCGUUAGACUUGAAUCGAACGUUGGUUACACGCCCCUCUAAAUCCCGAUUUCCCUACAAUCCCUGCAUGUCUCGCUCAAUCUCAUGAUCUCGGCACACAUGUAAUGAUUGCUGCUAGUUUUUUGGGCUGCCGUCUGCUGGUUCCUCUCCCAAGCGCUCUAUUUUCCUCUCACUUGUUGAUCGCCCGUCCAAGGGAAACUCCUUCAGGUCAAGUGCUAGGAAAACAAAGCUCCUUCAUCCUUUGGUGUGUUGGAUCAAAUUACAACACUAACCAACUCGCCCAACCUUAGUUAUGGUCUAGCAAAAAUAGAAAUAAUGCAGUAGAACCUUCUUUACUUCCGCAUCAGCAAAAAAAAACCAAAACAAGCGUAUAAAUGGUUAGCAACAAACAAACGUAUUAAAAUAUUCAUAUAUACUACAUACUUAAUUUGCUGCCAGACCAAACAAAGGUAUAAACGGUUAGCAACAAACCCGAUGAUAUUAUAUGGAGCAUCAUUUUAAUCGGAAAGCAAAAUCCGUCAUGAGAUCAGCCAGCCAUACACCAGUGCCAAGAUAAACAUGGUGGUUGGUUUAAAAUUAACCAAAUGGUUAAACCGAGGCACUGGCAGCCAAUUUGGACAAUGUGCACUUCACUUACAGAAUGUCCACUUGCAGGUAGGAAAACCGUAUCUGUCGGUACAUCCAAGAAUAUUGCAAGUGUAUUUGAUAUAUUAUGUAUUUAUGUCAGUACAUCCAGUCCGGAUUUUCAAAAGUUGCUGUGUGACAUUGGCAAAUGGUACGAAAUUUCUUUCCAAAUACUACAAAAUGUUGCAGGACUGCAAAUUAAACAACUAACUCCAGUGACUAGACGUGGGACAGCACACUGUGCAACAACAAAAUGUUAUCACCUCGAUUAGCUGCCCCGUAGGAAGGACCACGACAUUUGUUUUUUGUGAAUUGGUUGAAUCUUGAGUGCAUCACAUACAUAACUCCAGUGACUAGACGUGGGACAGCGCACUGUGCAACAAGCCAAUAACAAAAUAUUAUCACCUCGAUUACCUGCCAUGUAGGAAAGAUCACGACAUUUGUUUUUGUGAAUGGUUGAAUCUUGAAUGCAUCACAUGCUUCCCACUGAGGAGAGAAGGCCCGGCAGCAAGUGGUUACUUUCCUCUCUUUCUUUAACGACACCUCUCAUUAAUUAGGAUUGAGUACAGGAUCGAUCUUAGAAAUGUCCAUGAUAAUUAUGUUUUGUUCAUACGGACAUAUGUAAUACUACUUGAUGAUAUUAUUGAUAUGCAUGACAAAUCUCAGCUCGACCGUAUACCAUUAUUUGAUAACUAGUGGUUUGGACUCCACCUGGUCCAUGUUGUGUACAUGAGCAUUUCUAGGAGGCUUAACAGAUAAAUGCUAUUCAUAUCCAUCAGCAAGUCACAUACGAGUUGAUGUUCAUUACGAAUUGAUAUUUGGAUUUUUGCUUCACCAGGAUGUACGUAAAUGCUAAAGCUAUUGGUAUUCUACUGUACAGAUCUAAACCUGGUAGAGAAUCAAACAACAAAAAUUAUAAGUUGUUAUUGAAAUAUUUUGAGGACAACCCAUCACAGCUAAUUAUAAGUAGAGAUCUAAACCUGGUACAGAUCAACUUGAACUGAUUGCAAAGAUAAUGAGGACAACCCAUCACAGCUGGACUUGACUGUCACAUUUUGUGUUUCCCUCCAAUGUCUGUGCAUGGUAACUUGGGUUAUUGCUUUGUACUGCUAUUUUCGUACUAGCUAUAUUGGUUUACAGAGUAUUAUUGAAAUAUUGCUACUCCCUCUGUUCACGAAUAUAAGCUGUUUUGGAUAUUUCAAUAUUGAGUACAGACAGACUGAAAUAAGUAUACAAACACCCUAAAAUGUGUGUGUCUACAUAUGGUUUAUAAAGAGCUUAGAACAUCUUAUAUUUGUUACCAGAAGUGGUAUUAUAGUUGUUCCACAGGAUGGUAGUGGGCCAUUUGUUUUAUGAAAACAUAACAACUCUAAUUCUAGUCUUUAAGGACACCCUAAUCCAAGGACAACUUGCCUUUAUCUUUCGGAUGAUAUCCCAGAAUUCUAGCUCGACUGCUCAUGGGAACAAAUGGUAGAAUCAUUGACGUUCCCAUUUGGUAGGUGGCACCCGAUGAAGAAUUUCAAGGAAAUCAUGUCAAGAGUCUAUGGGUACCACAAACCCUAUACAACUAGGAACAACAUGCUUUUUUGCUUUGGCUCUUGUAAAGGAAUAACAUAAAAGAGGAGGGCAUGCACCAUAGUAUAGAAUGGCCCGUAUAGAUGACCAAAAUUACUCAUGGAAGUUAUAGAUACAGUGUGAGGCCAACUCAGCCGCACCUUUAUCACUUAUAUAAGAUGUGGAUUGUGUUGGAAAUAUGUCCUAGAGGCAACAAUAAAAUAAUAAUUAUUAUAUUUAUUUGUUCAAGAUAAUCUUUUAUUAUCCAUGCUAGAAUUGUAUUGAUUGAAUACAUGUGUGGAUAUAUAGACAACACACUGUCCCUAGUAAGCUUCUAAUGGACUAGCUUGUUGAUCAAAGAUGGUCCAGGUUUCCUGCCCAUAGACAAGAGUUAUCAUUUGAUAACGGGAUCACAUCAUAAGGAGACUGAUGUGAUGGACAAGACCCAAAUUAUGACCGUAGCAUAUGAUCGUGUCAGUUUAUUGCUAUUGUUUUCUGCAUGUCUGGUAUCUGUUCCUAUGAGCAUGAGAUCAUGCAACUCCCGGACACCGGAGGAAUACCUUCUGUGUAUCAAAUGUCAAAACGUAACUGCGUGACUAUAAAGGUGCUCUACAUGUAUCUCCCAGGGUGUCUGUUGGGUUGGCAUCAAUCGAAAUUGGGAUUUGUCACACCAUAUGACGGAGAGGUAUCUCUGGGCCCACUCAGUAAUACAACAUCACAAUGAGCUUGCAAGCAAUGUGACUAAGGAGUUAGUCACGGGACCUUGUAUUACGGAACGAGUAAAGAGACUUGCCGGUAACGAGAUUGAACAAGGUAUGUAGAUACCGACGAUGGAAUCUCGGGCAAGUAACAUACCGAUGGCCAAAGGGAACAACAUAUGGGAUUAACUAAAUCCUUGACAUUGAGGUUCAACCAAUAAAGAUCUUCAUAGAAUAUGUAGGAGCCAAUAUGGGCAUCUAGGUCCUGCUCUUUGUUAUUUAACGGAGAUUGUCUCGGUCAUGUAUGCAUAGUUCUCGAACCCGUAGGGUCUGCACCCUUAAGGUUUGAUGACGUUUCGAUAUAGUAGAAUUACGUAUGUUGGUGACCGAAAGUUUUUUGGAGUCCCGGAUGUGAUCCCAGACGUCACAAGGAGUUCCAAAGUGGUCCAGAGACGAAGAUUCAUAUGUAGAAAAGAGGUAUACAGGUUCCGAAAAUGUUUUGGGGACUGUCGGUAAAGCACCAGGAGUGACGAAUGGGUUUUGGGGGUUCACCGGGAGGGGCCACCCACCCGGGGGCCACAUAGGCCUAAGAAGUGGCGCACCAGCCCCUGGUGGGCUGGUCGGCUAGCCCCUAUGGGCCUAUGCACCCGAAUUGAUGAGCUGGGGAGGAAUCCGACUAGGAGGAGGAGUCCACCUAGCACCUCCACCGAACCCAAUUUGAGGAUGUUGGGGAUCGUAGUAAUUUCAAAAAAUUUCCUACGCCAUACAAGGAUCUAUAUAUGGAGAAACCAACAAUGAGAGAGAUUGUAGAGCAUAUUCAUAUCUUUGAAGAUCGCUAAGCGGAAGCGUUACUAUGAACGCGGUUGACGGAGUCGUACUCGCAGCGAUUCAGAUCGUGGUGGAUUCCGAUCUAUGUGUCGAAUCACGGCACCUCCGAGUUCAACACACAUACAGCCCAGUGAUGUCUCCUACUUCUUGAUCCAGCAAUGAGAGAGGAGAAGUUGAUGGAGAGCUCCGGCGGCAUGACGGCGUGGUGGCAGUGGAGCUAUGUGGUUCUCCGGCAAGGCUUUGCCAAGUGCUGCCGAGGACGAGCAGGAGGAGGAGUAGGGCUGCGCCGUGGGAGAUGAAUUGUGUUUCUCCAAAAGGACCAAACCCUCCACUAUCUAUAGGAGGAGGGAGAGGGAGGCUGCCUUGGACCCUCCUCCAAGGAGGAGGACCUUCAGCCGAAGCUAGGGAGGUGUCCACCUCCCAGAAGGGAGGUGGACUACCUUGGUAGGACUCUUCCUCCUUUUCCUUUUAAGCCCUUUGGCAUAUCUCCUCUAUCCCUAUGCGCAUAGGACUUUAGGGAAGGCCUUGGCCAUCCCAAUAAGGGCUGGUCCACCUCCUCUAACAGAUCAUGCACCCUUUUGGUCAGUACACCCCUCCCCGGGGUCCUCCGGCACCCUCCCGGCACUCCCGGUACGCUACCGAUGAGCCCAAAACUUUUCCGGUGACCAAAACAUGACUUCCUAUAUAUCAAUCUUUACCUCCGGACCAUUCCGGAGCUCCUCGCAAAAUCCGGGAUCUCAUACGGGACUGCGAAGUAUCUUCGGUAACCACAUACAAUUCUCUUUACAACUCUAGCAUCAUCGAACCUUAAGUGUGUAGACCCUACGGGUUCGGGAGACAUGCAGACAUGACCGAGACAUCUCUCCGGCCAAUAACCAACAAUGGGGUCUGGAUAUCCAUGUUGGUUCCCACAUGUUCCACGAUGAUCUCAUCGGAUGAACCACGAUGUCAAGGAUUCAAUCAAUCCCGUAUGCAAUUCCCUUUGUCUACCGCCGGUAUUCCUAUACCUUGUUCAAUCUCGUUACUGGCAAGUCUCUUUACUAGUUCCGUAACACAUCAUCCAGUGACUAACUCCUUAGUCACACUGAGCUCAAUAUGAUGAUGGAUUAGUGAGUGGGCCCAGAGAUACCUCUCCGUCACACGGAGUGACAAAUCCUUGUCUUGAUUUGUACAACCCAACAAACACUUUCGGAGAUACCUGUAGUGCACCUUUAUAAUCACCCAGUUACGUUGUGACGUUUGGUACACCCAAAGCACUCCUACGGUAUCCAGGAGUUGCACAAUCUCACGGUCUAAGGAAAUUACACUUGACAUUAGAAAAGCUUUAGUAGACGAACAACACGAUCUAGUGCUAUUCUUAAGAUUGGGUCUUGUCCAUCACAUCAUUCCCCAAUGAUGUGAUUUCGUUAUCAAUGGCAUCCAAUGUCCAUGAUCAUCUAUUUAUCAACGAGCUAGCCAACUAGAGGCUCACUAGGGACUCAUUGUGAUCUAUAUAUUCACACAUGUAGUACAGUUUCCGGUUAAUACAAUUAUAACAUGAAUAAUAGACAAUUAUCAUGAACUAGGAAAUAUAAUAAUAACCACUUUAUUAUUGCCUCUAGGGCAUAUUUCCAACAGUCUCCCACUUGCACUACAGUCAAUAAUAUAGUUACAUUGUGAUGAAUCGAACACCUAUAGAGUUUUGGUGCUGAUCAUGUGUUGCCCGUGGUAGAGGUUUAGUCAACGGGUCUGCGACAUUCAGAUUUGUAUGUACUUUACAAAUAUCUAUAUCUCCAUCCUGGAUGUAUCCACGUAUGGAGUUGAAGCGGCGCUUUAUGUGCUUGGUCUUUUUGUGAAACUUGGGCUCCUUGGCAAUAGCAAUAGCCCUAGUGUGGUCACAGAACAGAGUCGUCGGGCCUGACUGAUACGUCUCCAACAUAUCUAUAAUUUUUGAUGGUUUCAUGCUAUUAUCUUGUCAAACUUUGGAUGUUUUGUAGGCCCUUUAUAUCUUUUUUGGGACUAACUUAUUAACUCAGUGCCAUGUGCCAGUUCCUGUUUUUUCCGUGUUUUGACACUUUUCAGAGGAGGAUUUUAAACGGAGUUCAAACGGAAUAAAACUUCCGAAAAGAUUUUUUUCGGAACGGAAGAUACGCAGAAAGCUUGGGAACCAAGGCAGGGAGUCCCGAGGGAGGACACACGCCCUCAUGGCGCGGCCAGGGGGCCCGCGCCUCCCAGGCUUGUGGGCUCCCUGGGCCUCCCCUGCCCUAGCUCCUUCGCCUAUAAAUUCCCUAAAAUCCCACAAAAAAUUAGGAGAUCAACGAAAAUACUUUUCCGCCGCCGCAAGCUUCUGUCUCCGCAAGAUCCCAUCUAGGGCACGUUCUCGUGCCCUGCCGGAGGGGGGAUUUGGAUAUGGAGGGCUUCUUCAUCAACACCAUGACCUCUCCGAUGAUGCGUGAGUAGUUCAUCAUAGACCUACGGGUCCAUAGCUAGUAGCUAGAUGGCUUCUUCUCUCUCUUGGAUCUUCAAUAGAAAGUUCUCCAUGAUCUUCAUGGAGAUCUAUCCGAUGUAAUCUUCUUUUGCGGUGUGUUUGUCGAGAUCCGAUGAAUUGUGGAUUUAUGAUCAGAUUAUCUAUGAAUCUUAUUUGAGUUUCUUCUGAUCUCUUAUAUGCAUGAUUUCGUAUCCUUGUAAUUCUCUUCGAGUUGUGGGUUUUGUUUGGCCAACUUGAUCUAUGAUUCUUGCAAUGGGAGAAGUGCUUGGUUUUGGGUUCAUACCGUGCGGUGACCUCACCCAGUGACAGAAGGGGUAGCGAGGCAUGCAUCGUGUUGUUGCCAUCAAGGGUAAAAAGACGGGGCUUUCAUAAUUGGUUUGAGUUUAUCCCUCUACAUCAUGUCAUCUUGCUUAAGGUGUUACUCUAUUCAUCAUGAACUCAAUACACUAGAUGCAUGCUGGAUAGCGGUCGAUGUGUGGAGUAAUAGUAGUAGAUGCAGAAAGUAUCGGUCUACUUGUCUCGGACGUGAUGCCUAUAUGUAUGAUCAUUGCCUUAGAUAUUGUCAUGACUUUGCGCGUGUCGUGGGUAUAAGCCUGACAGUAGAUGUGUAGGGUACGAAAGGAUGGACAGAGCCUUAGCUACGGCGAGGUUGUAUGAGUUCAGGCCCCUCUGCGGUGGAGGUAAUAGCCCUACGUCUCAGUGCUCUCGGAGCUUGUUGUCGAGUGGAAUAUGGAAUACAAUGAGUUGCUAACCCCUGCACCAGUGGGGGAGGGUGGCUUAUAUAGAGUGCGCUGCCCUCCACAACGGUUCGGUACACAGGGGUGGAGUAGUGGCGAAUAAAUGCGUACGUUACAGGUAACGUACGUCUUAAAUGCUAAUAAAGGCACAUGGAAAUGUAUGACCGUUUCCCUCGAGGGGGGUUACGAUGCACAGAGUGGAAUCCAGUUGGUUAGUUUGAUAAACUCCGAAUGGUAAUCUCCGACUGGAUGGUCGAGGAUCUGUUACCGACUGGAUGAAGGGAACUCCUUAGUUCAGUCGGAACUGACUAAGGGCCUUGUCCCUUAUGAGGGGUAGUCCUUGGGUUGGACCUAUAGGGCAGGCCUAUGACCCUACCCUAGGACUAUGACCCCAUCAUUAGUCCCCGAAUGGAUUGGGGUUGGAACGACGGAGCGAUGCUUGAAGUUUGGAUCCGACUGGAACAGAUGUGGCUUUGGCGUUGCUUGCCUCGAUCCAUUUUAUCUUUUCUGACCAACGAUCCGAGUGGAAGUAUUUGUGGAACAAACUGUCGGAAACCGAGUGCUUCCAGGGUAUUUCCUGACGUGACCAGUCAACUGACAGCGGCGGAUUUUCCGGGAUCCUUAAAUUUCGGUUACCGCGCGCUCAGUGGGGAUGCCGACAUCGCGCUCGAGUAGCGCUUGACGCCUCGAUUCUUGCACCUUCAUCUUCUCCACUGAUAUCGCCGCGGUUGGUCGGGGGAUAGGGUUUCGGGGCCACCUGCCAGUGACGCAGUCGGAACCUUACUUAAACCUCAGUGGCGAGGGUUUUCUCGUUACGCUCGCCGGAUCUCUUGCCUUUGAUUGAUCCACUCCUCUCGCCUCCUCCUGCGCACCCAAGCUCCUUCCUUUUCCUUCUCCUCCACGGACCCGCAGCUUCCGCCAUGGCCAAGGGACAAACUAGCAAGCUGGAGGCGAAGAAGAAGAAGGGGAAGGCGGCGGCUCCUGCUCAGCGGCGGCAGCGAGCGUUACCGGCGGGGUGGAUCCAGAUGACGGAGGGGGAUUUGCUGGAGCUGGUGGAGCACGGGAUGGUCGUGCACAAGUCGUGGAGGUUGCCGACGGAGAAUGAGAUCGAGCCGGCGCCCCGGGAGGGGGAGUGCGUCCUGCUGCUCAGCCACGUAUAUCGAGGUUUCUCUCUACCCCCGCAUCCUUUCUUCAAAGGCAUAAUGAACCACUUCGGGGCACAACUUCACCACUUUCCCCCGAAUGCUAUAGCUCAUCUCUCUGCUUUCAUAGUCCUGUGUGAGUGCUUCAUCGGCUGUCCCCCCCCCCAUUGGGAGCUUUUCAAACAUAUUUUCUCUGCUAGAUCCCAAACCAUCAAACGACUUCACCAGUCGGAUGAUAAGACACACCUUCUCCAGCUCUCCGGAGGCUUAGGUUUCCAUAAGAAGAGUAGAAGUAGUUAUCCUGCUCUUCAGCUGAGUGAGUCGGUUAGGAACUAGCAGUCGGCAUGGUUUUACUGCCAGGACGUUGCCUGCCCGAAUGCCACGACAGGGUUGCCUCCUUUUAGCUUAGAUCGACCCGCUCCGCCCAAGCAGCUUGCGCUCACGAAGGCAGAGAAGAUCGACAUCCAGCCUCUGGUCGAUGCACUCGUAGAUGUCGUCAGAAGGGGAGUCACCGGCAUAGAUUGGCUGGAGGUUUUCCUCGGUCGGCGCAUCCAACCACUGCAGGCUCGCGACCACGCCAUGUGGCACUACACGGGGCCCGAAGACUCCACUCGGACCAACGUCUUGGGCGUGACUGAGUUGAAGGUGGCGUCGUGGGUGCUCCAGAUCAUAGGCGCCUGCGAGAACUCCAGAGGGUCCUGGCGAGUGAGGGCUUUCUGCACGGACAACCCUCCUCCGAACGAGGUGAGUACCACUUGUCGAGUGCACGUAACUGUCUUAGUUUUAUCGCUUUCUUGAAUCUCUGUCUGACGCUUGAUGUCGCCGACUGUAUUUUACGCAGAAGUGGACCAACUGGUUUUCCCCUGUCUCGAACGGGAACCCGGCCGAGGAGGAGGAGGAGGGCAGCCAGGAGGGCAGCGUGGAGAGCGUCGAGUACGUCUCCGACAGUGGGGAAACGGAGGAAGAGUCUAGUGAAGAGGAGGGGGAAAACGAAGAGCAGGACUCGCCACCUCCGCCGCCAGAGCAUCAAACCAAGCGCCGACAUGAACCUGCAGCUCUCUCGGCCCUUCCAGCAUCCUCGAGUGCUCCGCCAACGGCUCCCACGGUUCCUAGUGCCCCGUCAACUGUUCCCGGGGGUCCGAGUGCUCGGAGCACCAAGAGGACCAGGGACUCUGCUACUGAACUUGCGGGUCAGCCUUCCAAGGUGGCCAAACCGAGCGGAUCUAAACCUCGGAAGGCUUUGCCGCGGAUGAGGGUCACCGUUCCCAUCACCUCGACGUAAGUAUAUUGUUCUUCUAACUUCUUCUGAUUAUUCGAUUGGACUCCUGUUUAUGGGCCGAAUGAAUUUCACUCGACAGAGUUGCUACCUCUGCCACCUCUCCGGCACGCCAGGGGGAUGACCCCAUGGACACGGAGAACGUUGUCUCGUCCCAGCCAGGUACGUUGUAGCGAUUCCAAGAGUUUUACAUUAUCGCAUCACGAAUUCUGUCUUCGGUCUUGCCCCUUUCUUUUUCUGAGAUCUCACGCCAUCCGGUCUGGCAUGGGUGAUUUAUGUGGAUGAGCGUGACCAAGGGAGACCUGAGCAAGCUGCGGUGCGUGUCCUUGAGGCUGUUCCGCUAGUUACUGCUCUCGCCGCAGACAUGCCGCCGACUGAGGCGAUGCUGCCGACUGAAACGGCGCUGGUUGCUGCUGAACCGACUGGAGCUGGCAUCGCGAUGCCCAAGGAGCUUCCAACGAUGCCAGGCCCGUGAAAUGUCGAAUUCAACGUCCAACGCCUCCCGGAGGAUCAGGUGGGAGCGUCCAAGGGGGCCAUGGUGCAGGCGGAGCUGAUGGCGGGAGAAGCCAAGAAAGCGUACGCCUCCAUCGCAUCCCUGUACCAGCGAAGCUUGGAGCUGCGGGACGAUAUCCGAGUAAGUGGGCUAGUAAGUAUUUACUUUUCUCUUGUAACCCACUGGGUGUGCUCGGAUACCGUAUGAUUAUUGCAAUGGGUUCACUCUGAGUGAACCCAGUGGGUGUAGUCCCCGAGACUUCUGUCGAGUGCUUGCACCGGCAGUUGUCUUUAUGCAUAUUGUCUUUGACUUGGUAAGAUCCGUAAAUAACCUGGUCGAAUGCUAACAGUUGGGGCACUCGGAGUGCACGUACUGUAAGAGUCCCCGAGAGUAAUUUUACUCAGGUCGGGUAGUAUUAGCCUCGUAGGCGUAGGUGUUUUCAUGUAUCUCAAUAGGGCGGACCUGUUUGAGUUUCAUGCCAGUGGGGUUACUCUCAGUGAACCCACUGGGUGUAGUGCCCGAGACCGCUGUCCACUGCUUGCGUCGGCAGGGGUCUGAAGAACUUAGACUUUUUAUUGUUGGAUUUGUCUGAUCGUCUCUUGGUGCUGGCUGGAAGAAAACUUGUGAGAUGGGGACAGCAUACGAGACUCUUAGGGCUGAAAAGGUUCAGUUUGCCGGUGAGCUGGAUGCGGCACUGAUUGCAAUGGCUGGCAUGAAGGACGUUCUGGCGGAACGAGAGAAGUCAUUGGAGCAGGCCCGUGAAGCAAACAAGGCACUGACUGCUGAAGUUGAGAAGAUGAAAGCUCAUAGGUCUGAGCUGAUGGGGCAAAUGAAUGUGCUGAACAAGCGGUGUAUAGCGCAGGAAAAAUACGUCAGUGACUGGGUCCGGCAGAUGAUAACGCGUCUGGGUGGUAAGUCCUGUUCUCCCGAGUGCUUGUGGUAUGUGCAUUACACUCGGUGCUUAUUGUUUGUUUGUCCUGUGUUUGCAGAUUUUUGCAUGGACGCUGAAGCUGAAGCAGCUGACGUGGAGCGGUCGAUUCGCGAGAACAUUCCACUCGGCGAGGACGCCAAUCGAGAUCUGCUCCGAGCGCACAUUCGCGUGGGCAAAGUUGGUCCUUUCAUCGGUCGACUGAGAGAAGUCGUAGGCUGGAUCGACAAGGAGCUUUGGCCUGAAGAUGAGUCGCGGCAUGAGAUGGAAAGCUUGAUGACUCGACUGGAGGAGGUCCCAAACCGAGUGCAGUCAUGGAAGAAGUCUGCGGCUCGCUCUGGUGCAGACGUUGCCCUGUCCCUGGUCCGAGUGCAUUGCAAGGAGGUGCGCAAAGAGAAGCUGAAAGCGUUGAGGGUCGCCAACACGAAGAAACUUCGAUUCAAAGACUUCAUGGAAACCUUCCUUGAGAGUGCCACCCGCAUCGCCGAAGGGAUCGACUUGGACACAUUCGUGGAACCCUCCAGUCCUGGCGCCAAUCCGGACGACGCUUAAGAAAACUUUUACCUCGGUAUGCCGAGUGUUGGUUGUAAGAAACCUUGGCCACUUCUGUUGGCCGUCAAAUUCUUGGUUCGGUGCGGGUAAGCUUGAUCCGCACCGAGUGAACUAUCUUUAGGUGAACUUCUAAUUUGAAUCAAAUCGUUUGCUCUUCUGUUGCAAUUUUGGCUCGAGUUUUUGUUUGGCGUUUCUUGGUGAAGCCAAUGGCAAACAUGCGGAGCAUGUAAGUGUCAGUUGCCUUGACAUCUGCAUGAGCCUCUCUGAGGGUCUGCGGAUUCUCCGAGUGGAUCUGUAGGAUACAGUCGAAGGUAAUAGAAUACUUAGGCGACUCAUGAUCGCGGCUAUGUUGUCGAGUGCGACAGACAAGCCGCACUAGGAGCGACUUGGAAUUCAUGUAAUUGUCAGUGGUCUUGACAUCCACAUGAGCCUCAAUGAGGGUCUGCUAAGUCUCCGAGUGGAUCUGUAGGGUACACUCAAAGGCAAUAGAGUACUUAGGCGAUUCAUGAUCGUGGGUAAGUCGUUGAGUGAGUCGGACAGGCCUCACUCGAAGCGAGUUGGUACUCAUGUAAUUAUCAGUGGUCUUGACAUCCACAUGAGCCUCAAUGAGGGUCUACUACUCAUGUAAUUGUCAGUGGUCUUGACAUCCACAUGAGCCUCAAUGAGGGUCUUCUACUCAUGUAAUUGUCAGUGGUCUUGACAUCUACAUGAGCCUCAAUGAGGGUCUGCUGAGUCCCCGAGUGUAUCUGUAGGAUACAGUCGCAGGAAGCUUUCCCAUUAAAGCGAUUCUUGAUCGCAGUUAGGUCUUCAAGUGUGACGAGUAGUGCACGCUCGGAGGAAAUUUGUACUGAGGCGAUUCUUGAUGGCGGCUCGGUUCCCGAGUGCUACGUUUAGUGCACACUCGGAGAAAGUUAUUACUUAGGCGAUUCUUGAUCGCAGCUAAGUCCCCGAGUGCGAAGUUUAGUGCACACUCGGGGAAAUUUAAUACUUAGGAAAUUCGUGAUCGCAGCUAAGUCCCCGAGUGCAACGUUUAGUGCACACUCGGAGAAAGUUAGUACUUAGGCGAUUCGUGAUCCCAGCUAAGUCCUCGAGUGCGACGUUUAGUGCACACUCGGAGAAAGUUAGUACUUAGGCGAUUCGUGAUCGCAGCUAAGUCCUCGAGUGCGACGUUUAGUGCACACUCAGAGAAAGUUAGUACUUAGACGAUUCGUGAUCGCAGCUAAGUCCCCGAGUGCGACGUUUAGUGCACACUCGGAGAAAGUUAGUACUUAGGCGAUUCGUGAUCGCAGCUAAGUCCCCGAGUGCGACGUUUAGUGCACACCCGGAGAAAGUUAGUACUUAGGCGAUUCAUGAUCGCAGUUAAGUCCCCGAGUGCGACGUUUAGUGCACACUCGGAGAAAGUUAGUACUUAGGCAAUUCGUGAUCGCAGCUAAGUCCCCGAGUGCGAUGUUUAGUGCACACUCGGAGAAAGUUAGUACUUAGGCGAUUCUGGAUCGCAGCUAAGUUUUUUUUUGAGACCGGAGUCUGCCACCGCGGAAGAAUUUUGAAUCUGCAAAACCUCAAUCUGCUUUAUAUUAUUUCACCAAUACUUGUUAUUUACAUUGCUUCAGUCGUCGGUCACCUGUAGAAGCGCUUCAGGAGAUCUCCGUUCCAUGCUCGCGGCUCGUCUGUCUCCCUGUCGAUGUUGUAGAGUCUGUAUGCUCCGUUGUUCAGCACCUUGGAGAUGAUGAAGGGUCCUUCCCAAGCAAGAGCCAACUUGUGAGGUCUUUGCUGAUCCACUCGGAGCACCAGGUCGCCUGCUUGGAACGUACGACUCCUGACGUGUCGUGCGUGAAAACGCCGUAGAUCUUGUUGAUAAAUGGUUGAGCGAGUCAGUGCCAUCUCGCGCUCCUCCUCUAGAAGGUCCACUCCGUCUUGCCUUGCUUGUUCUGCUUCAGCUUCGGAGAAGAGUUCGACUCGUGGAGCAUUGUGGAGCAAGUCACUUGGAAGGACUGCUUCUGCUCCGUAAACGAGGAAGAACGGUGAUCGCCCUGUAGAUCUGUUCGGGGUUGUGCGGAGACCCCAAAGCACUGAAGGCAGCUCGGUGACCCAUGCGCCAGCGGCAUGUCCCACCUCUCGCAGGAGUCAGGGCUUCAAACCUUGCAGAAUAAGUCCAUUUGGCUCUCCUUGUCCGUUUGAUUGAGGAUGCGCCACGGAAGCAAAAUCCACUCGGAUACCUUGUCUUGCACAGAAACCUUUGAAUCUGUCCGAGUCAAAGUUUGUUCCAUUGUCUGUGAUUAUGCUGUGAGGUACCCCGAAUCGGGAGAUAAUAUCCCUGACAAACUUGAUGGCUGUUAGGGCGUCGAGCUUCUUGAUGGGCUUUGCUUCAAUUCAUUUUGUGAACUUGUCGACUGCCACCAACAGAUGUGUGUAUCCUCCUUGGCCUGUCCUGAAUGGACCGACUGUAUCUAAUCCCCAUACUGCAAACGGACACACAAGAGGGAUUGUCUUCAACGCAGAUGUUGGCUUGUGGGACUUGUUGGAGUAGAACUGACAGACUUCACAUCGGUCGACCAUAUCUUUAGCCAUUUCGUUUGCCUGCGGCCAGAAGAAACCAGCUCUGAAUGCUUUGGCGACGAUCGCUCUCGAAGAGGCGUGAUGACCACAGGUUCCCGAGUGAAUUUCUCCCAGGAUCAACUGUCCCUCCUCUGGGAGAUGCAUCGUUGAAGAACGCCUGAAACGCUUUCCUUGUACAACUGGCCAUCAAUGAUAGUGAAUGACUUCGACCUCGGACUAUCUGCCUGGCCUGGACUUCGUCUUCUGGUAAUUCCUGCCUCAGGAUAUAUGCAAUGAUCGACACAGUCCAAUCGGGGAUGACAGCAAGAAUCUCCAUGAUGAGAUCAACCACAGCAGGUACAUCGACUUCAGUCCGAUCUGUCGUGCUCUUUGGUUGUACUUGUUCUUCUGUGAAAGGAUCUUCUUUGACUGAGGGAAGGUGGAGGUGCUCGAGGCAGACGUCACUCGGGACUGGUCUCCGAGUGAAUCCGAGUUUCGCCAACUCAUCAGCUGCUUGGUUCUUUAGUCAUGGAACAUGGUGGAGUUCUAGACCUUCAAACUUCUUCUCGAGCUUCCUCACUGCAUUGCAGUAUGUGGUCAUGGUGGAGUUCAUGACGUCCCACUCUUUCAUCACUUCAUUAACCACCAAAUCCGAAUCGCCAUAGACCAUCAGGCGACGGACGCCGAGUGCGAUGGCCAUACGCAGUCCAUAAAGGAGAGCUUCAUACUCUGCCUCAUUGUUGGAGGAAUCAAAGUGUAUCUGCAGCACAUAUUUGAGUUUGUCGCCCUUUGGCGAUACGAUCACAACGCUAGCGCCAGAACCAUUCAACAUCUUGGACCCAUCAGAGAACAUUGUCCAAUCAGCCGAGUAGAUGUGGGUCGGUUGCUGUUGUUCUACCCAUUCUGCUAUGAAGUCAGCCAGGGCUUGAGACUUUGUAGCUUUCUUAGCCUCGAACUUGAUAUCGCAGUACAACAUCUUCAUUGCCCACUUCGCCACUCGGCCUGAUGCAUCUCGAUUGUGGAGGAUUUCCGACAACGGGGCAUCAGAAACAACAGACACCAAGUGGUCUUGGAAAUAAUGGGCUACCUUCUUUGCAGUCAUGUAAAUCCCGUAGAUAAGUUUUUGAUAGUGGGGAUACCUCUGCUUGGAAGGAGUCAGGACUUCGGAGACGCAAUACACUGGCCGCUGAACUUUGUAUGCUUUGCCUUCUUCUUCUCGUUCGACUGUAAGAACAGUGCUGACGACUUGAUUAGUAGCCACGAUAUACACAGGAAGAGGCUCUUUACUGAGCGGAGCAGUAAUAACCGGCUGGGUGGAAAGUAGGACUUUGAGGUCGUCGAAUGCGACUUGGGCUUCGUCUGUCCACUCGAAAGUAUCUGAUUUCUUCAUGAGUCGGUACAGAGGAAGUGCUUUAUCGGCGAGUCGACUGAUAAACCUGCUCAAAGCCGCUAGGCAACCUGUGAGCCGUUGAACAUCGUGUAUUCUGACCGGCCUCUCCAUUCGGACGAUGGUCCUGAUUUUUUCGGGGUUGACAUCGCUCCCUCGUUCGGAAACAAAAAAACCUAGUAUCUUUCCACUGGGAACGCCGAAUGAACACUUGGCGGGGUUGAGCUUGAUAUCGUACCUACGAAGGUUGGCGAAUGUUUCUGCCAAGUCAGUCAGCAGGUCGGAACCUUUGCGUGACUUGACUACGAUAUCAUCCAUAUACGCCUCCACAUUCCGACCAAUCUGGUCGAGGAGGCAUUUUUGGAUCAUGCGCAUAAAGGUAGCUCCUGCAUUCUUCAAACCAAAUGGCAUAGUGAUGUAGCAGAAGCAUCCGAAUGGGGUGAUGAAGGCUGUUUUUAAUUCAUCGGGGCCAUUCAGACGGAUCUGAUGAUAGCCUGAGUAGGCAUCAAGAAAUGACAAACGCUCGGAACCCGCAGUCGAAUCGACAAUUUGAUCGAUGCGGGGGAGCGGAAAAUGGUCUUUCGGGCAGACCUGAUUGAGAUGCUUGAAGUCGAUGCACAUUCGGAGCGACUUGUCCUUCUUGGGCACCAUGACAACAUUGGCGAGCCACUCGGAGUGGUGAACCUCGCGAAUGAAGUUGGCUGCCAACAGCUUGGCCACCUCUUCCCCGAUUGCCUUCCUCUUGUGCGCGGCGGACCAGCGCAGGCGUUCUCGGACGGGCCGAGCGGUGGGAUCCACAUGCAAUCGGUGCUCAGCCAACUCCCUGGGUACACCCGGCAUGUCAGAGAGUUUCCAUGCGAAGAUGUCCCAGUUCUCACGGAGGAAUUGGGUGAGCUCGGCUUCCUAUUUAGGAUCGAGGGUGGUGGAGAUGUUCGUCGGGGCAGCAGUGUCGUCCGUCGGGUGGAUGUUGACCUUCUUCGUCUCUCCCGCCGACUGAAAUGCAGACUCCGAAGCUGGCUUCUUCGAACGCAUCAAAUCAGCAGGGUCGACUGUCUUCUUGUACUCGUCAAGCUCGAGGACGGCCAUCUGCUGGUCGGCGAUUCUUGAUCCUUGCUGCAGACACUCUUCGGCUUGCUGUCGAUUGCCAGUGAUGGUGAUCACACCUUUCGGGCCUGGCAUCUUCAGCUUCAGGUAUACGUAACAUGGACGGGCAAUGAAACGCGCAUAUGCCGGGCGGCCUAGAAUUGCGUGGUAAGAGCUCUGGAAGUCUACCACCUCGAACCUCAGCUUUUCCUUGCGGAAGUUCUUGUCGGAGCCGAAAACGACGUCCGACGCGAUCUGGCCGAGUGACUUGGCCUUUCGUCCAGGGACGACUCCAUGGAACUGCAUGCUGCUCUCGCUAUGUUUGGACAUCGGAAUGCCCAUCCCCUUGAGAGUGUCGGCGUACAUGAUGUUCAAGCCACUGCCGCCGUCCAUGAGGACUUUGCGCAGUCGAACUCUUUCCACCACCAGGUCGACGACCAGAGCCUGUCUCCCUGGGGUGGGUACGUGUGCUGGAUGAUCCGACUGGUCAAAGGUGAUCGCAGUCUGAGACCACUUGAGGAACUAGGGGUUGGUAGGGGUGGCCAUGUUCACCUCCCUGUUCACCAGCUUCAGUCGACUCUUGCUCUCAACGUCAGCAAAAAUCAUUAGUGUUGCAUGGACUUGGGGGAACGGAUCCUCCUUAUCCUCCUCAUCCUGUUCAUUGUCCUUUUCACUCGGUUGCCCUUCGCCGAACCCCUGGAUCAGGAGGCUUCACUGUCGAGUGGUAUGCUUCGGAUAUAUGGGGUUGCCCUCUUCAUCCAUCUUCAUAUGAACCGUACAUGGCUGGUCCAGGAUGGGAUUAUUGAACUGCUUCUUCUUGGGGGUGAACUGAGCCUUCACUUUGCCCUUGAACUUGGCAUUGGUUACGGCUGCAGCUUCUGCCUGCGGAGUGGACGGAGCUUUCUGCUUCUGCUUCCGAGUGUUACUCCCAUCUCCAUCGGCGACUGUCUUGUGCUUGCCGCUUCGGAUGCGGUCCUCUUCUUCCCCAUUUGCAUAGCGUGUUGCUAUCUCCAUCAUCUUGCUCAUGGAGAUGUCACCUGUUCGGCCGAACUAUAGGUACAGAUCCCUGUACCGCACGCCUGCCUUGAAAGCGCAGACUGCUUGAUGCUCUGUGACGUUUUCCACCGUGGGAUAGAGAGUUGUCCAACGCUGAAUGAAACCACGUAGGGGCUCAUUCUGCUUCUGGACGCAAUGCUGGAGCUCCACGAGGCCCGCAGGGUGCUUGCACGUCCCUUCGAAGGUCCUGAUGAACACUCGGGCCAGAUCUGCCCAACUGUAGAUGCUUGAGGGGGCCAACUGGUUCAGCCACGCUCGCGCCGAGCCGUCGAGCAUCAGAGGAAGGUGCUUCAUGGCGACAUGGUCGUCCCCUCCUCCGAUCUGGACUGCCACUCGGUAAUCAUCCAGCCACGUUUCUGGCUUGGACUCUCCUGUAAACUUGCUGAUUCCCGUCGCCAAUCGGAAGUUGGGAGGGAUGUCAGCCGAACGGAUGCCUCGACUGAAACACUCGGGACCAGAAACGAUGGUCCUGCUUCCACUUGGACGGUCAAUAUCGUAACCAUCGCGGUGGGCUCGGCCCCUGUCGACCCUCCGUUGGGCGAUACGCCCUCUCGCGUCGGGCCUUGGGUCGUAAUGUCACCGACUGAACGCCGAUCAUCAUGAAGUCGGGGCCCGUAGGGCCCACCCCGCGGAGGGGUGCGUGAAUGGCGACGAUCUUAGGGAUUUAUGGAACGGCUGCCUCCUCUGUGUCGUUCAUGAGAGCCAGGGCUGUGAACUGACCGAUGCGUAUUCGCAUGAACAGAACUAUUGUGGAUCCUGUUAUGCGACUGGGAGACUGCCGAAUUCUGCUGCUGCGCCGUGUGCAACAGGGCGCGGAUUUUCUCGAUCCCCCUACCAGUAUCUGAAUCAGUCGGCUGAAGGGAAUCGGCUAUCUUGGCAGCCGCAGCCAAGUUGAGAAGGGGUGUGCGGAACAACUCCACGUUGCUCCGCCGAGUGUGCCGAUUGGCAGAACGGCGAGGUGGACGACGCGCGCCGAACGUUUCGCCGAUCUCGUGCUCGUUCCGGCCAGCUUGAUGGGGAUCUUCAUGGGAGUUGGCCAUGUGUAAUUCUGCUGCAGGCCCGCGACCCGCGUACUCGGAAGGAAACUCAGUCGGAACCGAGUCCGAGCGCUGGGACAGCGGGGCAACCACAACCGACUCUAGAACCUCCACUUGUGAAGACGCGUUCUGGCGCACCUGGGCGUGUUGCACCCAACGCUUGAACCGCGGACGGCGGGACCGCUUGUUGCGGCACGUGACGACGGUGCAGGUCGACACCGGAGCCGACUGCUGGAGAAGAAGAAUGCCGCGGGCGCUGGCACGAAAGUGAGUAGCCCCGCGGCGGGGAAGCGCCUCGACGUCGAGAGGGGCGUCCCGAAGCCAUGCCGAAUCGUCGACGAUGAAGGAGAGAGCGCCGAAGAAGAUCUCGUGAGCCAUGCUCGAAUCUCCACCGGAAGACAUGAUGAAAUGAUGUAGUCGCAAACUCGCCGGAAGUCGCUUAGACGCCUGCCCCAUGGUGGGCGCCAACUCUCGUGGGUAUAAGCCUGACAGUAGAUGUGUAGGGUACGAAAGGAUGGGCAGAGCCUUAGCUACGGCGAGGUUGUAUGAGUUCAGGCCCCUCUGCGGUGGAGGUAAUAGCCUUAAGUCUCAGUGCUCUCGGAGCUUGUUGUCAAGUGGAAUAUGGAAUACCAUGAGUUGCUAAUCCCUGCACCAGUGGGGGAGGGUGGCUUAUAUAGAGUGCGCUGCCCUCCACAAUGGUUCGGUGCACAGGGGUGGAGUGGUGGCGAAUAAAUGCCUACGUUACAGGUAACGUACGUCUUAAAUGCUAAUAAAGGCACAUGGAAACAUAUGACCCUUUCCCUCCACGGGGGUUACGAUGCACAGAGUGGAAUCCAGUCGGUUAGUUUGAUAAACUCCGAAUGCUAAUCUCCGACUGGAUGGUCGAGGAUCUAUUACCGACUGGAUGAAGGGAACACCUUAGUUCAGUCGGAACUGACUAAGGGCCUUGUCCCUUAUGAGGGGUAGUCCUUGGGUUGGACCUACAGGGCAGGCCUAUGACCCUACCCUAGGACUAUGACCCCAUCAGCGCGGUUCUAUCAAUUUGCUCGACAGUAAUUUGUUCACCCACCGUAAUAUUUGCUAUUUUGAGAGAAGCCUCUAGUGAACACUAUGGCCCCCGGGUCUACUUCACAUCAUAUUUUCAGCCUUACACUUUGACUUUGUUGCUCUUUUCGCCUUCAAAUAUCACUUUGCAAUCAAUCUUGAAGGGAUUGCAACCCCUUUAUAGCGUUGGGUGCAAGCUCUUUUGUGUUUGCGCAGGUACUCUGGACUUGACGCGAUUCUCCUACUGGAAUGAUACCUUGGUUCUCAAACUAAGGGAAAUACUUACUGCUCCUGUGCUGCAUCACCCUUUCCUCUUCGAGGGAAAAACCAGCGCAAGCCAAGUCUCCGUGAACGUGCCAAUUUCUGGCGCUAUUGUCUGUUGCCAUAGUAGAAGAAUUUCUGGCACCAUUUCCGGGGAGGAUCAAGUCAAGAACUCAUCCAAGUAAGUGUCGCAAACUCAUCCAAGUAAGUGUCGCAAACUCAUCUCUUGUUUUCCUCUCCCCCACUUCUGAAAAACAAAAUUUACAAAAAUAUUUGCCUUUUUUGUUUGCCUUUACUUUGCUUGUGUGCUAUGUGCCUUCAAUAUGCUUGCAUCUUCGCCUGCUGAAAAUCUAUUGAUAUGGAUCCUCAUCCACUUGCUAAUCUCUUUAAGAGAUCCAAUUAUAUUGAUCCAAUUGCUAGUGAGUUGAGUGCACUUGAGUUUCUCUAUGGAGUUUUUCUUAAGAUGCGUGAAUCUGAAAAUUGUGAUGAAGAAAUUUAUGAAGUGAUUCACGAGGGCUCCUUGAAUGAAAAGCAUGAUUGCAAUGGUUUCACUAUAAAUCCUAUUAGUGUCAAUCAUGCUAAAAAUAUGCAAAACCCUAAGCUUGGGGAUGCUAGUUUUGCUAUGUCCACUACUUGUUGCAAUGAUCGUGAUUGGGGUGACAAUUUUUCUUAUGAUCUUGAAAAUUUGUUUAAGCCUCAUGAUGAUUAUGAUAUUUGCAAUAAUAUUGAAAGUGGGAUUGGAGAAGUCAUGACUUUAGUUGAUGAUAAUCCCACUAUUUUUGAAAAGCGUCAACUUUGCAUGCAUGUGGAUCAUGAAAAAAAUAUCCUUUGUGAUAGCUAUAUUGUUGAAUUUGAAUAUGAUCCCACAUGCAAUUGCUAUGGGAGAGGAAAAUAUUGUGGUAGAAACUUUCAUGUUACCAAAUUACCUCUCGUUAUGUUGAGAUUGAUAUUGUCUCUUUCUUCUUCCUUGCAUAUGGUAACUAUUGGUUGUCUUGACAAUCUGUUUUCCUAUAAACUGCCUCUGCAUAGGAAGUAUGUUAGACUUAGAUAUGUUUGUAACAUGUUUCAUGAUGCUCUCUUCGUAUCUGAUUGCUAUCUUUUAUGUGAGCAUCAUUGAAUUAUCAAUGCGUAGCUAAGGGCGCUAAACAAUAGCGCUUGUUGGGAGGCAACCCAAUGAAUUUAUCUUUUUCUUUCUGUUUUGUCACGUCCACACCAUCAUAAUUCCAUUAUGAUUGUGUCUUUUGUGUUUCUUUUUGUUUUUGAGCCAAGCAAAACCUUUAUGACUAGUCUUGGUGAUGGUUGUUUGAUCCUGCUAGAAAAAGACAGAAACUUUUCGCUCACGAGAUUAUUUUUAAUUUUUAUUCAGAAAGUGCUGUUGAGCUGAUUCUUUUUGCUGCUGGUUGAUAUGCCUUUUUCCCAGGCUGUCGUAAUUUGUCAGAAUUUUUGAGGUAACAAAAGUAUACGAAGUAUACAGAUUGCUACAGACUGGUCUGUUUUUGACAGAUUCUAUUUUUGUUGAGUUGGUUGCUUGUUUUGAUGAAACUAUGGAUAGUAUCGGGGGGUACUACCAUGGAAAAGUGAGAGUACAGUAAUCUAACACCAAUAUAAAUAGAAAUCAAGAUUGCUACAAUACCUAAAAAGGUGGUAGUUUGUUUUCUUGUGCUAAUGAUAUCACGAGUUUCUGUUUAAGUUUUGUGUUGUGAAGUUUUCAAGUUUAGGGUCAUGUUCUCAUGGACAAAGGGAUAAAGAGUGGAAAGAGAUCAAGCUUGGGGAUGCCCAAGGCAUCCAAAGCCAAAUUCCAGGACACCCAAAAGCCUAAUCUUGGGGAUGCCCCGGGAAGGCAUCCCCUCUUUCGUCUUCAAUCCAUCGGUAACAUUACUUGGAGCUAUGUUUUUAUUCACCACAUGAUAUGUGUUUUUCUUGGAGCGUCUGGUAUCGUGGGAUUCUUUUCUUUUUUGUUGUGUCACAAUCAUCCUUGCUUCACACCUUUUGAGAGAGACACACAGUCAUCGUGAUUUUGCUAGAAUGCUCAUCGUGCUUCACUUAUAUCUUUUGAGCUAGAUAAUUUUGCUCUAUGUGCUUCACUUAGAUCUUUUAGAGUACGGCGGUGCAUGACUUGGUAGUUGGCUUGUUCUAUGAAAGCAGUCCCAAACGUGAUAGGUACCCAAAGAGGAUGCAAAAACUUCCAUAUUCAUGUGCGUUGAGUAGAAAGAAAAGUUUGAUUCCUCUCAAUUAGUUUUGAGACGUGGAUUUGGUAAUAUUAAGAGUUAUGUUAGUAGGGUGUUGUGAAUCUAGAAAUACUUGUGUUGAAGUUAGUGAUUCCCGUAACAUGCACGUAUGGUGAACCUCUAUGUUAGGAAGUCGGAGCAUAAUUGAUCGGGAUCGCGCGAUGGUUAACACCUACCAACCCUUCCCCUAGGAGUAUGCGUUUAGCAUUUUGUUUUGAUUACUAAUAAAAACUUUCGCAACAAGUAUGUGAGUUCUUCAUGACUAAUGUGAGUCCAUGGUAUAGAUGCACUUUCACCUUCCACCAUUGCUAGCCUCUCUUGUACCGUGCAAUUUUCGCCAGUGCAUAAACCCACCAUAUGCCUUCCUCAAAACAGCCACCAUACCUACCUACUAUGUCAUUUUCAUAGCCAUUCCGAGAUAUAUUGCCAUGCAACUCCCACCGUUCCAUCUCAUGACUUGUGCCGUCACUCUCAUAUUGCCAUUGCAUGAUCGUAAGAUAGAUAGCGAGAUGUUUCAAUGUCAUACGCCAAGCUAGAUCGUUGCAUAUCCCGGUACACUGCCGGAGGCAUUUCCUAUAGAGUAAUCAUCGUUCUAAGCUUUGAUGAGGCAGUGUACCUGCGCAAACACAAAAGAGGCUAGUGUACCGCGAGGAUCAUCACACUUUUAUUUACUCACAUCUCAAAAUGAUGAUGACUCUAUAGGAAAUGCCUCCGACUUGUACCGGGAUGUUCAACGAUCUAGCAUGGCGUAUGACGUUCGAAACAUCUCGCUAGCUAUCUUACGAUCAUGCAAUGGCAAUAUAGGAGUGACGGCACAAGUCAUGAGACGGAACGGUGGGAGUUGCAUGGCAAUAUAUCUCGGAAUGGCUAUGAAAAUGCCAUAGUAGGUAGGUUUGGUGGUUGUUUUGAGGAAGGCAUAUGGUGGGUUUGUGUACCGGCGAGAAUUGCGCGGCACUAAAGAGGCUAGCAAUGGUGGAAGGUGAAAGUGCAACUAUACCAUGGACUCACAUUAGUCAUGAAGAACUCACAUACUUGUUGCGAAAGUUCUUAUUAAUAAUCGAAACAAAGUGCUAAAUGCAUACUCUGAGGGGAAGGGUUCGUAGGUGUUAACUAACCUCGAUGGUGAGCUCGACUGGCCGUGGACGACGUGUUAUCUCCGGACAAGAUCUCGUUUGGCGUGCCUUUAUCUGCCAGAGAGUGCUAGGACAACGUAUAAGGCCGUCUCCAAUGGCGAUCGAGCCAUGGGGCCUCCCGUUGCCAGCUAUCAUCACCAGCUCUGGAUCAAUAGGCCCCUCGCUCGGGUUAAAGUCCUCCCCUUUCCUUGCCUUCCCGUGAUCUCUGUACUUCACGAGCUUGUCGUGGGAGCAGAUGUUGGUGAGGUUUUCUGGAUGCUCGAGGUCAGACUCAGAGAAUGCCUUGACCUUCUUGUACGAGGCAGCAUGGGCCAUCGCAUACAGGUCGUACAUCUGUGGCGCCUCUGUCUUAUUGUGACACGCCUAAAAGAGAGAGAGAGGAAAAUUGUAUUGGUAAAGGGCUCAAGAUAGCAUUAAGAAGGAAUUGCAUGAGGCAUGAAGCAAACCACAUACCCAGUUCUCGCCAAAUUGGAUUAAGUUGACACUCCCUUGAUGGUGUGGCACGCCAACCAUUUUGCCACGCCUCUCCUUGGCGUUGUUGUGGUUGGCCUCCCACGUUUCGGAGCACCACUGAUCCACAAAGGCCUCUCAACAAUCCAUCUUAUCCACACCCCAUCUCGGGGGCACCUAAGUUAAUAAAGAGAAAUUUGAGCGCGUAAGAACCAAAUCAAGGAAACUAACUACAAACCUUAAUAAUAUGUAAUUACCUUCAUGUAAUGCUCCUUCUCCAUCUUAGCAUCACGGCACUUCGCCUUGUCAAGCCUAAUACGCCGCGUGGCAUAGUAGUCUCGAACAGCCUGCACCCGAGCCUCGUGCCGAAAGUUUUGAAGUAGGCGGCGACAUUCGAUUUCGAUAACCUUUGCUGCGUCCUCCUCGUAUCCCUCCUCACACCUGUAGUAGGUCAGCAAAUGAGACAGCACCGAUUAGUACAAUAAAUAGCUAUGGUUGAUUUAUAAUUGUGUGAAAGAGAAAUUACCCAGAACUUUCGGAUCACCAUGUCCGCCCUCGUGUCACACAAAACACCGUCGAUCUCCACCUCCGGCGGGGCCGGGGCACCCAAGUAGUGCUCCCAGGUCAUUCCUACCUCUCGCUCUCGAUCGGGCAACGUAACAAACCCUGGGAAGUUUUGACGGCAAAGAACACCAAGGACACUGUUGGGCUUACGGACACCCUUGGCAACAAUCCAACCCCUACAGUAUGACAAAUUAAAUCCAAAACAUUAGAUAUUUGAGAAAACGCGAGGGCAAAAGUUUAAAUAAGAGUAAAUUAACUUACUUGUCCCCAUUUGGCCUAAUCGACCACCUCUGCUCGGGGGUCGCUGGCACGAGCGGGAGCCCUGAACUACCACACUGGUAGACGGUAGCCCCCUCACCCAGCUCCUCGUCGCUACCAGCAUGGCCACUUGGCUCAGGCCAGGUAUCCCACUGAGUCUCUUGGGACAUACCCUCAUCCCUGCUUUGCUCCAGAGUCACCUGGAAGGAAGCCUCUGGGACACGAGUCUCGUGGGUCGAAGGCUCGUCGAACUGAGGCUCGUCGACCCGAGGCUCGUGAACCGGAGACCGUGUAGCCUCCACCUCAGACGAAUCCACCCUAGAAGUCCUGUGCUCAGGUGAAUCAGCUUGGGGUGGUGGCGGAGACCGUGUAGCCCUACCUCUCCCGCGGCCACGUGUACCUUUAGUACAACAUAAAUACCAACAUGAGUAAUAAAAUGUAUAUAAAUACCAAUAUGCAUACAACAUGAGUUCAACAUAAAUACCAACAUGAAUACAACGUGUACCUUUAGUGCCUCUCGGCUUCACGGGGGGUCGACCUCCUCUCACGGGGGGCGCUCCUUGCAAAGUAGAGAGCAACACUCUCUGAAGAGGCGAGGUAGGAAUGGAAGUAUCCAUCCCAUCACCCGCCGACGAAGAAGCAGCCGCGGAGUGCUUUCGACCCUUUCCCACCAUCUUUCGACACCUGUCAUGACAAAGAGUAAAUGAAAUUAGUACAACAUAAAUACCAACAGGAGUAAUAAAAUGUAUAUAAUUUAAGUGUAUCAUUGUCAUAAAUACCAACAUGACUAAUAAAAAUUGAAUACCUAACAUGAACUCAAAAUUUAUAUAUAGUAUAAUAGUUGAAUACCUGACAUGAACUAAUAACAAUCGUCCUUGUCUAUAUAUGCUUCGGGGUCAAUAAAUGCAUCAUGAUCAUCACUAUCAUCAAUAAAUGCAUCAUCAUCAUCACUAUCAUGAAGAACAUGUGGAAGGCCACCAUUAUGUAAUCGGUCAAGAAGUGACAGGUCAUCCGCAGCAGUAAUCUCUUCUUCUUCCAGCUCUUCCUGUUCGGGCUCAGGGGUUAAGACGGAUUCACUGUCGCUAUCUACUUCAAUGUUCUGGGGUGAAGUAGAGCGGUUCUUGAAACGUUUCUUGGACAUACGUGUUUCUUGGAAGAAUUCUCCUUCAUAUGUGUCUGGGUUAAUGUGAGGUUCGUAAUCCUAUUCAUUGAGGGUAGGUGGUCUAAAAUGUGGUGGCACUUCAUAAACGACAUCCCAACCUUUGAGAUUUGGAUCAGUUUGGCAGGCCCGUGGUAGAUAGAAAACUUGUGUCGCCUGUUGAGCCGUAAUAUAGACAUGGGGAACAUCUAAGUGGGUGUUUUGGUUGAUUUUGACUAGUCCUAUAUGUUCAUGAGUCCUUCUAUUCUCCCUCGGCUCAAACCAAUAACAUUUGAAGACUACGACGGUCGGUGGGUUUUCACCAUAGAAUUAAAGUUCAUAAAUUGCUUCAACUCUUCCAUAAUACUCGGUGUCUCCUUUGCCGAUAGCAGAGACAGAACAAUUUGUAGUCUUUAGGUCGGGCAUAGAUAGCUCUUUGCCAAAGGUACGAAAGUGAUACCCGUUGAUGUUGUAUUUGUCAAAUGAACGGACCUUAUAGUCAAAACCAUUAGCGACUUGUCUCAACUCGGCGUCCAUAGACUCUGCAUCAGCCUACAAGUUUAAUACGAAAGAAUGGAUGCAUUAGCCGCAAAUUAGACCAAUAAAUCAAAUGGGCCCUUAAUGGUAAUUAAUUACCCUUUGUUUGAAGCAAGAGAUGAAACUGGGAUAGUCGCCUCCAUGCUUUGCGAGAAGCUCAUACUCUUCGACGGAAUCCUUUUUGAUGACCGCUCCAUCCGAGAAUUCGGAGACGUAUCGACUAUAUCAAAUAUCCGGGAAUAAGAGUAGUUCAAAGUAAUUAGAAGUUGCGGAACAAUAAAUUACCGAGACCUUACUCGAUGUACGGCCGCACUUCUUUUAGGUUGGUGAAGAUAUACAAUGAAAUGGUCCGCCAUUCUUCGACAUCCAACGAUUUCCCUUUCGAUGCAACGGAUGGUGCGAGCUUACCUUUGAAUAGGCUGAGGUGGGAUCAAACUUUUCUCGAUCGCCAUCAUUGUACCGAGGCUUCGGGUUAUGCAAAUGAUGAUUUUUGGCUUCGUAGUGUGUUGUCACGAAGUUUGCCGCCUCCUCAGUAAUGAAUGCCUCGGCCAUCGAUGCUUCAAUUCUACGUUUAUUUUUACACUUAGCUCGAAGCGUCUUCUGCAUCCUCUCAGUUGAGUAGCACCAUCGAUUUUGAACGCCCCCCCCCAUUCUUGCCUCAGUCGGGAGAUGCAAAAUCAAAUGUUGCAUUGGAUUAAAGAAGCCCGGUGGAAAGAUCUUUUAUAAUUUGCAGAUCAACUCCGGCGCCAACUCUUCCAUUUCAUCUAGCACGCCAGGCGAUAGUUCUUUCGCACAAAGAGAACGGAAGAAAUAGCUCAGCUCUGCCAGUACUAGCCAUUCAUGCUCAGGGAUAAAGCCACACAACAUCACCGGCAUUACCCGCUCAAUCCAUAUGUGCCAAUCAUGACUCUUGAGCCCAAAUAUUUUCAAUUUCUCAAUACUCGCUCCCCUCUUUAGAUUCGCAGCAUACCCAUUGGGGAAUAUCAACCGCAUUUUCACACACAAUAGCAUUUCCCUCAUAGCUGGCCUUUCAAGAUUGAACCAUGCCUUUGGCUUCGCUAUGCUUUGCUUUCCUUUCCGUUGUCGCAAGUUUUGCAACGGUCUAUCACAUAGAGCCUCCAGGUCGAUUCUAGCCUUAGGAUUAUCUUUUGACUUCCCCUCUAUGCCGAACAAUGUACUAGAAAUGGCCUCCGCAAUAUUCUUUUCAGUGUGCAUCACGUCAAUCUUGUGUGGGCAAAGGAGGUCUUUGAAGUAAGGGAGAUCCCAUAAGCAUGACUUGUGAGUCCAGGCGUGUUCCGUAUUAUACCCUUUGAAGUAUCCUGGACGCAAAGGAUCAGGCUCGAAAGCAUUUAACUGAUCAAGGGUGUGUUGGCCUGUCAACGCAGCUGGUGCAGUGUUUUUGACAACUCUACCUUUGAUGAAAUUCUUCUUUUCUUUUCUGAACUUAUGGUCAGGAUCCAGGAAUUGUCUAUGCAUGUCAAAGCAAGAAUACUUGCGACCAGCCUACAGCCAACGGAACUAAAGAUCUACCUUGCAUGUGGUGCACGGGAACCUUCCAUGCACACACCAGCCAGCGAAUAGCGCAAACGCCGGAUAAUCAUGUGUCGAGUACAUGUACCACACAUGCAUUUUGAAAUUUGUUUUGGUAGCCGCGUCGUAGGUCUUGAUCCCAUUAUCCCAGGCUUCUUGCAACUCAUCCUUAUUCUUCCCCGGAUAGUUGGGCCCUGGAAUUAUCAACGUCAGGAAAAUGUUCUUUCUUUUCAUAAUCUCUCCGGGUGGCAAAUUUAGUGAAAUGACAAAUACAGCCCAACAACUGUAUUGUGCUGCCUUCAUACCAUACACAUUGAACCCAUCCGUGCUGAUGGCAACUCUAGGUUGCCUUGGAUCUUCCGAUUUAUCCUUAUGUAAUGCAUCGAAGUGCCUCCACGCAAAACCAUCUGUAGUGUGUACCAACAUCUUGUUCCCAUUCGCAUCUAGUUCGGUUCUUUUGCCCAAUUUGUGCCAUGUCAUCUGUCUGGCCGUCUCUUCGACCAUGAAAAGACGUUGAAGUCUUGGUAUGAUUGGCAGAUAUCGAAGAACACUAAUGGGGAUUUUGGUCUGAUUCUUCUCACCCAUGCCGUUGUCUACCACAAUAUACCUGGAAGAAUUGCAAAUGGGGCAAUAGUUCAAGGCCGCAUACUCAAGCCUAAAUAAGGCACAUCCAUUCUCACAGGCAUGUAUCUUCUCAUAGGGCAUCUUAAGUACACGGAGGAUAUUCUCUAACUGGUACAGGUAUGCAGGCAGUACAUGGCCUUUGGGUAGAAAGCUUCCAAAUAUCGUCAUCAUCGCGUCGUAGCAUUCUCUGCCUAGUUUGAAUUGAGCCUUCAGAGCCAUUACUUGCGCGAUGGCAUCCAGCUGACAAAGCUCAGUCUGCUCGUGGAGAAGACGUUUUGAAGACUCCAGCAUUUCAUAGAAGGCCUUUGAAGAUUCCUCCAUCUCAUCAUCCGAAUCACGAGCAUCAUCAAAGUCUUGCACCAUGUCUUCAAUCCCGGUACCAUGCUCGUCGGUGCGACGACGAAUCACCUUAGCUCUGGCACGUUGGUCAGACUCACCAUGAAAAGUCCACACCGUAUAAUUAGGCGUAAAACCCCACUUCUCCAGGUGCUUACCCAUUUCAAACUCUGUCUGCUUUUUCCAGUUGUCGCAGUUGGGACAGGGGCACCAUAUUUUAUGCUGGCCAUUUGCAAAUGCGUCUCUCACAAACCCCCUGGUUUUUGUUAACCAUUCAUGGGUCAUGUCUUUCUGACUAGGGUGACCAGCGUACAUCCAAGCACGAUCACUCAUGUUGCCUAGCUACCUAUGGAGGCAUAAGAAAUAAAUAUAUAAUUCAUCAUCUAUAUUCAUACGCUAAUCAAGUUUUUCAGUUUUAUUACGUCCAUGCAACCUACACGCUAAUAGGUAAAGAUAGGUCCUAAUCCCACCCGAGUAUGUGUAGACUGGGUUCGUUUUCCCAUGCUCUCCUCCAGAUGCAACGCAGAAUUUCGGCAGCACCUCCCCGCUGUUCUCCUGAUACACGUCUCGGCAAUAAGCAGAGAGGAUGUGUACCCAGAGAACAAGAGGGGAGGCACUGACGAAAUUCCGCAUCGGAUCCGGAGCACAGCAUACGGGAAAACAAACCCAAUCUACACAUACUCGGGCUGUCAAUGGAUAAUGUUGGACAAUUCGGAAGGAUGGCGGUUAUAAAUACGCAAAGAAAUGCAUAUUUAUAGAUGUCGCCCUUUCGAACGGGAGACGCAUACUGGUCACGCAUACUCAUGAUUGAAGAAACCUAUAGCUAGCAAGUUUCAUCGGCACGAAGACCGGGGGUAGGAGGAGAAGUCAUUUGUGCUCACCAACAAACGCAAGGGCGGAGCUCGUCCAACGCACAUGGAGGUCGUCGAACAACUGCACAUUGAAAUUCACACAAUCAACACAAAUACGAUGUUUUUAUAAUUAACAUAAUCAGAAAAUAUGUGAACUAACUCAUAAUUUACAAAAUGCGUCGAUGGUCGGGAGUCGGGUUAAAUGCGUCGAUGGUCGGNNNNNNNNNNNNNNNNNNNNNNNNNNNNNNNNNNNNNNNNNNNNNNNNNNNNNNNNNNNNNNNNNNNNNNNNNNNNNNNNNNNNNNNNNNNNNNNNNNNNNNNNNNNNNNNNNNNNNNNNNNNNNNNNNNNNNNNNNNNNNNNNNNNNNNNNNNNNNNNNNNNNNNNNNNNNNNNNNNNNNNNNNNNNNNNNNNNNNNNNNNNNNNNNNNNNNNNNNNNNNNNNNNNNNNNNNNNNNNNNNNNNNNNNNNNNNNNNNNNNNNNNNNNNNNNNNNNNNNNNNNNNNNNNNNNNNNNNNNNNNNNNNNNNNNNNNNNNNNNNNNNNNNNNNNNNNNNNNNNNNNNNNNNNNNNNNNNNNNNNNNNNNNNNNNNNAAUGCGUCGAUGGUCGGGGGUCAGUGUCAUCGGGGGUCGAGGGUCACUAGCGUCGGGGGUUGGGGUCUUUUCGAUCAACAAGAGGCCAAAGAGGUGUCGAGGGCCCGGGGUUGGUAGUUCAUGGCGUCGGGNNNNNNNNNNNNNNNNNNNNNNNNNNNNNNNNNNNNNNNNNNNNNNNNNNNNNNNNNNNNNNNNNNNNNNNNNNNNNNNNNNNNNNNNNNNNNNNNNNNNNNNNNNNNNNNNNNNNNNNNNNNNNNNNNNNNNNNNNNNNNNNNNNNNNNNNNNNNNNNNNNNNNNNNNNNNNNNNNNNNNNNNNNNNNNNNNNNNNNNNNNNNNNNNNNNNNNNNNNNNNNNNNNNNNNNNNNNNNNNNNNNNNNNNNNNNNNNNNNNNNNNNNNNNNNNNNNNNNNNNNNNNNNNNNNNNNNNNNNNNNNNNNNNNNNNNNNNNNNNNNNNNNNNNNNNNNNNNNNNNNNNNNNNNNNNNNNNNNNNNNNNNNNNNNNNNNNNNNNNNNNNNNNNNNNNNNNNNNNNNNNNNNNNNNNNNNNNNNNNNNNNNNNNNNNNNNNNNNNNNNNNNNNNNNNNNNNNNNNNNNNNNNNNNNNNNNNNNNNGUGAGCGCGAGGGGGAGAGAGACAGUACCGUGGGGGGGACAGAGAGAGACAGUGAGCGCGAGGGGGAGAAGACGGCCGUUAAACGGUCGGCCCCUUUGCCGUGUGCCCCCUGACGGCAAAGGCUCAACGGCAGACGGAAAAGGCCGACACACGACAAAGCUAGUCUUCCGUCGGGCACGGCAGGCAUGGGACCCAUCCGUGCUCUUUGUCGUCUGCCCUUGGUCCCUUUGCCGUCCGCUGGCAGACGGAAAAGGGCCGACACAUGGCAAAUAGUAAUUUUGCCAUCUGUCAGCCCUUUGUCGUCCGCCUUGUGUCAACUGACGGCAAAGAGGUUCUUUGGCAUCAGCCAGCAGACGGUAAAGACAUGGCUGACAUCAAAGAACUGGAUUCCAUUAGUGUGGGCAAGAUGACUACGACUCCAUUCUCAGGAAUAAUCGAGAGAGCAACCGACUUAUUGGAAAUAAUACAUACUGAUGUGUGUGGCCCAAUGAACGUUGAAGCUCGCGGUGGCUAUCAUUAUGUUCUCACUCUGACCGAUGAUUUGAGUAGGUAUGGAUAUAUCUACUUGAUGAAGCACAAAUCUGAGACGUUUGAAAAGUUCAAGGAAUUUCAGAGUGAGGUCGAGAAUCAACGUGACAGAAAAAUUAAGUGUCUACGAUCUGAUCGUGGAGGAGAAUAUUUGAGUCACGAGUUCGGCAUGCACCUAAGGAAGUGUGGAAUCGUUUCACAACUGACGCCGCCUGGCACACCGCAACGCAACGGGGUGUCUGAACAUCGUAAUCGCACUUUAUUAGAUAUGCUACGAUCUAUGAUGUCUCUUACCGACUUACCGCUGUCAUUUUGGGGAUACGCAUUAGAAACUGCAGCAUUCACUUUAAAUAGGGCACCGUCUAAAUCCGUUGAGACGACACCAUAUGAACUAUGGUUUGGCAAGAAACCUAUGUUGUUGUUUCUUAAAGUUUGGGGCUGCAAUGCUUAUGUGAAGAAACUUCAACCAGAAAAGCUCGAACCCAAAUCGGAGAAAUGUGUAUUCAUAGGAUACCCUAAGGAAACUAUUGGGUAUACCUUCUAUCUUAGAUCCGAAGGUAAAACCUUUCUUGCCAAGAACGGAUCCUUUCUAGAGAAAUAGUUUCUCUCGAAAGAAGUAAGUGGGAGGAAGGUAGAACUUGAUGAGGUAAUUACACCCCCUCUCGAACAGAAUAGUAGCGCAACGCGGGAAGUUGUUCCUGUGGCGCCUACACCAACUGAAGAGGAACUUAAUGAUAAUGAUCAUGAAGCUUCGGAUCAAGUUACUACUGAACCUCGAAGGUCCACAAGGGUACGCUCCGCACCAGAGUGGUACGGCAACCCUGUAAUCGAAAUCAUGUUGUUAGACAACAGUGAACCUUCGAACUAGGAAGAAGCGAUGACGGGCCCGGAUUCCAACAAAUGGCUUGAAGCUAUGAAAUUCGAGAUAGGAUCCAUGUAUGAGAACAAAGUAUGGACUUUGGUGGACUUGCCCGAUGACCGGCGAGCCAUAGAAAAUAAAUAGAUAUUCAAGAAGAAGACUGAUGCAAACUGUAGUGUAACCGUUUAUAAAGCUCGACUUGUCCCAAAGGGUUUUCGACAAAUUCAAGGGAUUGACUACGAAGAGUCUUUCUCUCCCGUAGCGAAGCUGAAAUCAGUCCGAAUCAUGUCAGCAAUUGCCGCCUUUUAUGAUUAUGAAAUUUGGCAAAUGGACGUCAAAACAGCGUUCCUUAACGGGAACCUUAAGGAAGAGUUGUAUAUGAUGCAACCAGAAGGUUUUGUCGACCCUAAGGGUGCUAACAAAGUGUGCAAGCUCCAGCGCUCCAUCUAUGGGCUGGUGCAAGCAUCUCGUAGUUGGAACAUUCGCUUUAAUGAGGUGAUUAAAGCGUUCGGGUUCAUACAGGUUUACGGCGAAGCCUGUCUGUACAAGAAAGUGAGUGGGAGCUCUGUAGCUUUCCUCGUACUGUAUGUGGAUGACAUAUUAUUGAUGGGGAAUAAUAUAGAGAUGUUGGAGAGCAUAAAGGCCUAUUUGAACAAGAGGUUUUCAAUGAAGGACCUUGGAGAAGCUGCAUACAUAUUAGGCAUCAAGAUCUAUGGAGAUAGAUCGAGACACCUCAUAGGUAUUUCGCAAAUUACAUACCUUGACAAGAUAGAAGUUCAAUAUGGAAAACUCAAAGAAAGGGUUCUUGCCAGUUUUGUAAGGUAUGAGAUUGAGUAAGACUCAGUCGCCGACCACGGCAGCAGAUAGAGAGAAGAUGAGUUAUGUCCCCUACGCUUCAACCGUAGGUUCUCUUAUGUAUGCCAUGCUGUGUACCAGACCUUAUAUAAACCUUGCCGUAAGUUUGGUAGGGAGGUACCAAAGUGAUCCCGAUACGAAACACUGGACAGCGGUCAAGAAUAUACUUAAGUACCUGAAAAGGACUAAGGAAAUGUUUCUCGUUUAUGGAGGUGACGAAGAGCUUGUCGUAAAGGGUUACGUCGACGCUAGCUUCGACACAGAUCGGGACGACUCUAAGUCACGUAUAUGUUUUGAAUGGUGGGGAAGUGAGCUGGUGCAGCAGCAAGCAAGAAGUCGUGGCAACAUCUACAUGCGAAGUGGAGUACAUAGCUGCUUCAGAAGCAGCUCAUGAAGGAAUUUGGAUGAAGGAGCUCAUCACCGACCUUGGAGUGGUUCCAAGCUCGUCGGGUCCAAUGACACUCUUCUGUGAUAACACUGGGGCCAUUGCCAUAGCCAAGGAGCCCAGGUUUCACCGGAAGACGAAGCACAUCAAACGCCGCUGCAACUCCAUCCAGGACCAUGUCCAGAGUGGGGUAAUAGAGAUUUGUAAAGUACACGCGGAUCUGAAUGUUGCAGACCCGUUGACUAAACCUCUUCCACGAGCAAAACAUGAUCAACAUCAAAAUGCUAUGGGUGUUCGAUACAUCACAAUGUAACUAGAUUAUUGACUCUAGUGCAAGUGCGAGACUGUUGGAAAUAUGCCCUAGAGGCAAUAAUAAAAUGGUUAUUAUCAUAUUUACUUGUUCAUGAUAAUCGUCUAUUGUUCAUGCUAUAAUUGUGUUAACAGGAAACAGUAAUACAUAUGUGAAUAAAUAGAUCAUAAUGUGUCCCUAAGCGUAGCACUAGAUUGUAUUGUUCGUAUGCUAANNNNNNNNNNNNNNNNNNNNNNNNNNNNNNNNNNNNNNNNNNNNNNNNNNNNNNNNNNNNNNNNNNNNNNNNNNNNNNNNNNNNNNNNNNNNNNNNNNNNNNNNNNNNNNNNNNNNNNNNNNNNNNNNNNNNNNNNNNNNNNNNNNNNNNNNNNNNNNNNNNNNNNNNNNNNNNNNNNNNNNNNNNNNNNNNNNNNNNNNNNNNNNNNNNNNNNNNNNNNNNNNNNNNNNNNNNNNNNNNNNNNNNNNNNNNNNNNNNNNNNNNNNNNNNNNNNNNNNNNNNNNNNNNNNNNNNNNNNNNNNNNNNNNNNNNNNNNNNNNNNNNNNNNNNNNNNNNNNNNAAUCGAGAUCGGGAUUUGUAACUCCGUGUUAUGGAAAGGUAUCUCUGGGCCCACUCGGUAGAACAUCAUCCUGAGCUCAAUGUGAAUAAAGGAGUUAGUCACACGAUGACGUUCUACGGAACGAGUAAAGAGACUUACCGGUAACGAGAUUGAACAAGGUAUAGGUAUACCGACGAUCGAAUCUCGGGCAAGUUCUAUACGGACAGACAAAGGGAAUUGNNNNNNNNNNNNNNNNNNNNNNNNNNNNNNNNNNNNNNNNNNNNNNNNNNNNNNNNNNNNNNNNNNNNNNNNNNNNNNNNNNNNNNNNNNNNNNNNNNNNNNNNNNNNNNNNNNNNNNNNNNNNNNNNNNNNNNNNNNNNNNNNNNNNNNNNNNNNNNNNNNNNNNNNNNNNNNNNNNNNNNNNNNNNNNNNNNNNNNNNNNNNNNNNNNNNNNNNNNNNNNNNNNNNNNNNNNNNNNNNNNNNNNNNNNNNNNNNNNNNNNNNNNNNNNNNNNNNNNNNNNNNNNNNNNNNNNNNNNNNNNNNNNNNNNNNNNNNNNNNNNNNNNNNNNNNNNNNNNNNNNNNNNNNNNNNNNNNNNNNNNNNNNNNNNNNNNNNNNNNNNNNNNNNNNNNNNNNNNNNNNNNNNNNNNNNNNNNNNNNNNNNNNNNNNNNNNGCUGAUGGUUAUUGGCCAGAGAGGUGUCUUGGUCAUGUCUACAUGUUCCCCGAACCCGUAGGGUCUACACACUUAAGGUUCGAUGACGCUAGGGUUAUAGGGAAUUGUUAUAAGAGGUUAUCGAAAGUUGUUCGGAGUCCUGGAUGAUAUCCGAGACGUCACGAGGAGCUCCGGAAUGGUCCGGAGGUAAAUAUUGAUAUAUAGGACGGAUGGUUUCGGACACCGGAAGUGUUUCGGGCGUCACCGGUAACGUACCGGGACCACCGGGACCACCGGAGGUGUCCCCGGGGGUCCACCGGAAGGGCGCAACGACCCCGGGAGGAUAGAUGGGCCAAGUGCGGGAGGGGACCAGCCCCUAGGUGGGCUGGUGCGCCCCCCACACUCAGCCCAAGNNNNNNNNNNNNNNNNNNNNNNNNNNNNNNNNNNNNNNNNNNNNNNNNNNNNNNNNNNNNNNNNNNNNNNNNNNNNNNNNNNNNNNNNNNNNNNNNNNNNNNNNNNNNNNNNNNNNNNNNNNNNNNNNNNNNNNNNNNNNNNNNNNNNNNNNNNNNNNNNNNNNNNNNNNNNNNNNNNNNNNNNNNNNNNNNNNNNNNNNNNNNNNNNNNNNNNNNNNNNNNNNNNNNNNNNNNNNNNNNNNNNNNNNNNNNNNNNNNNNNNNNNNNNNNNNNNNNNNNNNNNNNNNNNNNNNNNNNNNNNNNNNNNNNNNNNNNNNNNNNNNNNNNNNNNNNNNNNNNNNNNNNNNNNNNNNNNNNNNNNNNNCACCUCCCAUCUGGGGGGCUGCCGCACCACCUAGGGUGGGAACCCUAGGGGUGGCACCCCCCUCCCCUCCUCCUAUAUAUAGUGGGAGUUUCGGUGCUCUUUUACACACAGUUUUCUCUCUCCCACGACGCAGUCGUGCUCUUCUUUCUCCUCCUCUCUGCCGGUGCUUGGCGAAGCCCUGCCGGGAGACCUCGUCUCUCCAUCGACACCACGCCGUCGUGCUGCCGGAGAUCUUCCCCAACCUCUCCCUCCUCCUUGCUGGAUCAAGGUGCGGGAGACGUCACCGGGCUGCACGUGUGUUGAACGCCGAGGUGCCGUAGUUCGGCACUAGAUCGGAAUCACACCGCAAUCUGAAUCGCCGCGAGUACGACUCCAUCAACCGCCUUCUAGUAACGCUUCCGCUUAGCGAUCUUCAAAUGUAUGAAGACGCACUCACCCCUCUCUCGUUGCUGGUCUCUCCAUAGGAAGAUCUGAAUAUGCGUAGGAAAAACUUUGAAUUUAUGCUACGUUACCCAACAGUGGCAUCCGAGCCAGGUUUUCUAUGCGUAGAUUCUAUGCAUGAGUAGAACACAAAAGGUUGUGGGAGAUGAUUUUUCAAUUGCUUGCCGCUACUAGUAUUAUUAUUUUCCGGCGGUAUUCUGGGAUGAAGCGGCCCGGACCGACCUUACACGUACGCUUACGUGAGACUGGUUCCACCGACAGACAUGCACACCGUGCAUAAAGGUGGCUAGCGGGUGUUUGUCUCUCCCACUCUAGUCGGAUUGGAUUUGAUGAAAAGGGUCCUUAUGAAGGGUAAAUAAAUUUGGCAUAUCAUCGUUGUGGCUGUCACGUAGGUAAGCGUUCUUGCUAGAAACCCAAAUCAGCCACGUAAAACUUGCAACAAGAAUUAGAGGACGUCUAACUUGUUUUUGCAGGGUUUGACAUGUGAUGUGAUAUGGCCAAAGUUGUGAUGUUGCAUGUGUGAUGUAUGACAUGUUCAUGUUAUUGUAAUAGGUCUCACGACUUGCAUGUCGAUGAGUAUGACAACCGGCAGGAGCCAUAGGAGUUGUCUUAAUUUAUUGUAUGAGAUGCAACGCCAUGUGCUUACUACUUUUACUUCAUUGCUAACGGUUAGCUAUAGUAGUAGUGAUAGUAGUAGUUGGCGUGACGACUUCACGGAGACACGAUGAUGGAGAUCAUGAUGAUGGAGAUCAUGGUGUCACGCCGGUGACAAUGAUGAUCAUGCGAUGCCUGAAGAUGGAGAUCGAAAGAGCAAAGAUGAUAAUGGCCAUAUCAUGUCACUAUAUGAUUGCAUUGUGAUGUUUUUCAUGUUCUUCAUCUUAUUUCUUAGAACGACGGUAGUAUAAUAAGAUGAUCCCUCUUCAAAUUUUAAGAACGUAUUCCCCUAAGUGUGCACCGUUGCGAAGGAUCGUUGUCUCGAAGCACCACGUGAGGAUCGGGUGUGAUAGAUUCUAACGUUCGCAUACAACGGGUGUAAGCCAGAUUUACACACGCGAAUCACCUAGGUUGACUCGACGAGCUUAGCAUGUACACACAUGACCUCGAAUACAAGAGACCGGAAGGUCAAACAUGAGUCGUAUGGUUGAAUACGAUCAACAUGAAGUUGCUCGACAUGGUGACUAGUCCGUCUCACGUGAUGAUCGGACACGGGUUAUUCAACAUGGAUCAUGUACCACUUAGAUGACUAGAGGGAUGUCGAUUUAAGUGGGAGUUCAUACUUAAUUUGAUUAAAUGAACUUACUUCUCAUGAACUUAGUCUAAAAGAUGUCUUUAUAAAUAUUGUAAAUGGCCAACGUCAACCUCAAUUUCAACGCAUUCCUAGAGAAAAACAAGCUGAAAGAUGAUGGUAGCAACUAUGCGGACUGGGUUCGCAACUUGAAGCUCAUCCUUGAAGCAGCUAAAAAGGCUUAUGUCCUAGAUGCGCCGCUAGGUGACUCUCCCGCUCCCGCAGUAGCCCAGGACAUUCUGAACGUCUGGCAAACGCGGAGUGAUGGCUACUCUCUGGUUAGGUGUGGCAUGUUAUACAGUUUAGAAACGGGGCUCCAAAGGCAUUUUGAGCAACACGGUGCAUAUGAGAUGUUCCAAGAGCUGAAGCUAGUUUUUAGCUGUAAGAUAUGAAGUCUCCGACAAGUUCUUUAGCUGUAAGAUGGAGGAGAACAGUUCUGUCAGUGAGCACAUACUCAAAAUGUCUGGGUUACACGGUCGUCUGACUUCACUUGGAGUCGAACUUCUGGAUGAUGCUAUAAUUGACAGAGUCCUCCAGUCUCUCCCACCAAGCUACAAAGGUUUUGUGAUGAACUACAACAUGUAAGGGAUGGAGGAGACCAUUCCCGAGUUGUACUCGAUGCUCAAGUCUGCAGAAGUAGACGUCAAGAAAGAGCAUCAAGUGUUGAUGGUCAACAAGACCACUAGUUUCAAGAAGGGCAAGGGUAAGAAGAACUUCAAGAAAGACGGCAAAGCCGUUGCCGCACCAGGUAAGCCAUAUGCCGGGAAGAAGAAAAAGAAUGGACCCAAGCCUGAGACUGAGUGCUUCUAUUGCAAGGGAAAAGGUCACUCGAAGCGGAACUGCCCCAAAUACUUAGCGGACAAUAAGGCCGGCAACGUUAAAGGUAUAUGUGAUAUACAUGUUAUUGAUGUGUACCUUACCAGCGCUCGUAGUAGCUCCUGGGUAUUUGAUACCGGUGUUGUUGCUCACAUUUGCAACUCAAAGCAGGAACUGCAGAAUAAGCGGAGACUGGCCAAGGACGAGGUGACGAUGCGAAUCGGGAAUGGCUCCAAGGUCGAUGUGAUCGCCGUCGGCGCGCUACCUGUACAUCAACCGUCGGGAUUAGUUUUAAACCUUAAUAAUUGUUAUUUAGUACCAGCUUUGAGCAUGAAUAUUGUAUCAGGGUCUUGCUUAAUGCGAGACGGCUACUCAUUUAAGUAAGAGAAUAAUAGUUGUUCUAUUUAUAUGAGUGAUAUGUUUUAUGGUCAUGCUCCGCUGGUGAAUGGUUUAUUCCGGAUGAACCUCGAUCGUGAUGUUACGCAUAUUCAUAGUGUGAGCACCAAAGGAUGUAAACUUGAUCAUGAUAGUCCCACAUACUUGUGGCACUGCCGCCUUGGUCAUAUCGGUGUUAAGCGCAUGAAGAAGCUCGAUACUGAUGGACUAUUAGAGUAUCUUGAUUUUGAAUCAUUUGACACAUGCGAACCCUGCCUCAUGGGCAAGAUGACUAAGACUCCAUUCUCGGGAAUAAUGGAGAGAGCAACCGACUUAUUGGAAAUAAUACAUACUGAUGUGUGUGGUCCAAUGAACGUUGAAGCUCGCGGUGGCUAUCGUUAUAUUCUCACUCUCACCGAUGAUUUGAGUAGGUAUGGGUAUAUCUACUUGAUGAAACACAAAUAUGAGACGUUUGAAAAGUUCAAGAAAUUUCAGAGUGAGGUCGAGAAUCAACGUGACAGAAAAAUUAAGUGUCUACGAUCUGAUCAUGGAGGAGAAUAUUUGAGUCACGAGUUUGGCAUGCACCUAAGGAAGUGUGGAAUCAUUUCACAACUCACGCCGCCUGGCACACCGCAACGCAACGGGGUGUCUGAACGUCGUAAUCGCACUUUAUUAGAUAUGCUACGAUCUGUGAUGUCUCUUACCGACUUACCGCUGUCAUUUUGGGGAUACACAUUAGAAACUGCAGCAUUCACUUUAAAUAGGGCACCGUCUAAAUCCGUUGAGACGACACCGUAUGAACUAUGGUUUGGCAAGAAACCUAAGUUGUUGUUUCUUAAAGUUUGGGGUUGCGAUGCUUAUGUGAAGAAACUUCAACCAGAAAAGCUCGAACCCAAAUCGGAGAAAUGUGUAUUCAUAGGAUACCCUAAGGAAACUAUUGGGCAUACCUUCUAUCUUAGAUCCGAAGGUAAAACCUUUGUUGCCAAGAACGGGUCCUUUCUAGAGAAAGAGUUUCUCUCGGAAGAAGUAAGUGGGAGGAAGGUAGAACUUGAUGAGGUAAUUACACCCCCUCUCGAACAGAAUAGUAGCGCAGCGCGGGAAGUUGUUCCUGUGGCGCCUACACCAACUGAAGAGGAACUUAAUGAUAUUGAUCAUGAAGCUUCGGAUCAAGUUACUACUGAACCUCGAAGGUCCACAAGGGUACGCUCCGCACUAGAGUGGUAUGGCAACCCUGUAAUGGAAAUCAUGUUGUUAGACAACGGUGAACCUUCGAACUAUGAAGAAGCGAUGGCGGGCCCGAAUUCCAACAAAUGGCUUGAAGCUAUGAAGUUCGAGAUAGGAUCCAUGUAUGAGAACAAAGUAUGGACUUUGGUGGACUUGCCGAUGACCGGCGAGCCAUAGAAAAUAAAUAGAUCUUCAAGAAGAAGACUGAUGCAAACGGUAGUGUAACCAUUUAUAAAGCUCGACUUGUCGCAAAGGGUUUUGACAAAUUCAAGGGAUUGACUACGAAGAGACUUUCUCUCCCGUAGCGAAGCAGAAAUCAGUCCGAAUCAUGUUAGCAAUUGCCGCCUUUUAUGAUUAUGAAAUUUGGCAAAUGGACGUCAAAACAGCGUUUCUUAACGGGAACCUUAAGGAAGAGUUGUAUAUGAUGCAACCAGAAGGUUUUGUCGACCCUAAGGGUGCUAACAAAGUGUGCAAGCUCCAGCUCUCCAUCUAUGGGCUGGUGCAAGCAUCUCGGAGUUGGAACAUUCGAUUUAAUGAGGUGAUUAAAGCGUUUGGGUUCAUACAGGUUUACGGAGAAGCCUGACUGUACAAGAAAGUGAGUGGGAGCUCUGUAGCUUUCCUCAUAUUGUAUGUGGAUGGCAUAUUAUUGAUGGGGAAUAAUAUAGAUAUGUUGGAGAUCAUAAAGGCCUAUGUGAACAAGAGUUUUUCAAUGAAGGACCUUGGAGAAACUGGAUACAUAUUAGGCAUCAAGAUCUAUGGAGAUAGAUCGAGACACCUCAUAGGUAUUUCGCAAAGUACAUACCUUGACAAGAUAUUGAAGAAGUUCAAUAUGGAAAACUCAAAAGAAAGGGUACUUGCCAAUUUUGCAAGGUAUGAGAUUGAGUAAGACUCAGUCGUCGACCACGACAGCACAUAGAGAGAAGAUGAGUUAUGUCCCCUAUGCUUCAGCCGUAGGCUCUCUUAUGUAUGUCAUGCUGUGUACCAGACCUGAUAUAAACCUUGCCAUAAGUUUGGUAGGGAGGUACCAAAGUGAUCCCGGUAUGGAACACUGGACAGCGGUCAAGAAUAUCCUUAAGUACCUGAAAAGGACUAAGGAAAUGUUUCUCGUUUAUGAAGGUGACCAAGAGCUCGUCGUAAUGGGUUACGUCGAUGCUAGCUUCGACAUAGAUCCGGAUGACUCUAAGUCACAGACCGGGUACAUAUAUGUUUUGAAUGGUGGGGCAGUGAGAUGGUGCAGCAGCAAGCAAGAAGUCGUGGCCGCAUCUACAUGUGAAGCGGAGUACAUAGCUGCUUCAGAACACUACAAGAAAUAUGUCCAUUUAUGACAAAAAUAUAACGACCAGGGUUUAUUGGUCAUAGAUCAGUGACCAAAUAAUACAAAAUGGUCAAGGGGUGUCAAGGUGGUCUAAAAACCCCAUAAUUGUGACAAUUUUUGUAAAAAAGGUCAUGGCGUUAUCACGUCAAUUGGUCAUAAAAUGUAUAGCACUAUCCAUGGCCUUAUUUUGGGUUCACCUUGAUCAUAUUAAUAUGUUCAUAGACUGGGUAGUUACCUCAAAUCCGGAUUUUCUUUUGUGUCAUGUAUACAUGUAGUAAUUUUGUAUAGGUGUUAGCCAUGUGUGUCAAAUCAACCUAAGUGUGGAGGACCAACGAGGUAUAUCUACACUUGACACGUGGGUCCUAGCUAUUCGGCAAAUCCGGAUUUGACGUGUGAGACCAGCAGUCCUAGAGAACACAUCAAUCCUCUGAUCCGCUAGCAUGCAGGGCCCACCUAAAAGACGAGAAUUCAAUGGCCCACGGGCCACCUUACACCUGAGUCCAUCUAACCUACCUUACAAAUAGAAUACCGAGAAAAUAAAAAGACCCUGAGCGGGUGGGCUAGGCCCGUUACGAAGAGGAAUAGUUGGGUAGGUUGUCUACUCACGACAAGGGCUGGAUUUCGAUUAAAAAUGCAAGGGAUUGCUUUUAUACUUUUUUUAUUUCAAUUUUUAAAAAUUCAAAAUUGUUCGAUGAUUCAAAUUUGCUUCAACCUUUUUGUAAUUUUAUGAGGAUUAUCCAUAUUUUUCAUAUGCAAACAAAAAUAAUCGUAUUUUGUAACCUUACGCCCGUUUGGGGCACCUAGGUGCCCAGGCACCUUGCCUAGAAAUCGUUGGAUUACAUUGAGAUGCGUGCAUUUGUAAUUAGUAUUAACAAUAAUGGGUCAAUCCAUUAGCCUUUAUUAGGAAAGAAUUAUUGCUUGAAAUAUAGAGAAAAUCAGCAAUUAAUGGUUAAUUAAGGCCAUGCAUGCUCUAUGGUACGUGCCCAACUUUAGUUCUUAUACGUACACUUUUUCUUUUGUACAUAACAUAGGAAGUCAUAUAGACAAUUAGGUACGUAGGUAUAUCAUCAUCUUGGGUAUAAAAUGUAUGAUUACCAUUUGUCACCAUGGAAAAAUAAUCCCGUAUGUCGUUAAACAUAUACUUGUAUUUAAAAAAGAUAUAUUUUUUGGUGUGUGCAUACCCAUCGUAUUUCUGUACAUAACCUCAAAUGUGUGAUUUUUACCCCGGGUAUUCAGAUACAUAUGUAUGUCAUAAUUCACGUAGUCGAGUAUAUACGUAACCAUAUUUUACUUUAUAUACAUUAACAGGAUAUCUACAAUAGUUUUCUACUUUUUUCCAUGUAGUUGGAUAUAUAUGUGUACUAACACAUUGGGUAUAUUGUUUUACUUUUAUGUGCAUUUGGUAUAUAGUAGGAGAUUUAUGUGAGUAUCGUGUAAAUUUGUCGGUAUACUAGGAGUUCAUUGAGUAUAUUUUAUGUAGUCGGGCUGAUAUUUUUAGGCAUAUUUUACGUAACCUGUUAUAUACGUUGUUACAUUUUAUAUAGUCGGAUAGAUAAGUAGCCGUAUUUUACAAAUAAAAUUCACAUCAAGAUACGCACUAUUUGUUUGCGGGUAUUUGAGUAUAUUCACUUAAAAAUACAUUAGACUACGUGUGUAGGUAUUUAAUGUCCAGAAUAAAUUAUUGGGUAUAUAUGUAUCUAAGUACGAGUGUUCAGAUUAUUUUUAACAAGAUUAUAGUAUAAUUGUUUAUUAAGGAAAUAAGUCAAUUAUGAGGCGGUCAAUGACAUGCAUUUGUUUUGAAAAUCCAUCUACAAUCUGUGACGUGAGUACUAGUGCAUGCAAGCAAAAAUGGAAAGUGAAUUAUUUGGAAAGCAUUAGUGGUUAUUUAUACGUACAAAAUGCACUGACGAAUUAAAUCCAAACAAGGUGCCUGGGCACCUAGGUGCCCCAGGUAAUUUACCUAUAUAUAUAUAUUGGUCAUAUAGUUGAUGUUUGUUGUUUGAUGAAUAUGCAUUUUUGUAACAUGGUUUCCUUCGAAAUUAAAAUCAAAAAUCAAAAAUUUAUGCUAUAUAAGACAACCAUUAGGCCCAUAUAAUGGAUUAUUUAAUGUUUAUACUAGUGUUGUCAUGAGACCGUGGAACUAUGGAGCUCACCACCGCCCUUGUUAAUGUAUAUAGUUUAGAUGUCAUGUUUCUACUACCCUCUAUCCAUUCCAACCUUGCCUUAUAAAAUAUCACUUGAAGAAUUAAACGCACACGUACAGAGACAAGAGACAAUUCCUAUUACAAAAAGAAGACAUCACACGGAAAAAAGGUAGUCUUAACGCUGUCAAAUAAAUUUUUGAUAAUAACGCUAUCAAGUAUAGCCAUCAUGAUUAGAAAAGAUCAUCUAAACCCUCACGUACAAUACUGGGCCACUUCGUAUUAUUAAAGGGCUAUGUCAUGUGGAGAAAAAAGGAGUCCUUAUGCUAAAAGAGGUUUUUUCUUUAUUGGAAUACACACGCUCGCGCCAUAUGUCCACCAAAUUUCCAGCACGCGCCAAAUUUCCCAACGAUUACCCGCGCGCGGCUUCUCGGCCCAAACUAGAGCAGCCCACAUCGUAUAAGGUGUAUGAAACCCUAACUCCUCCCAAAUCCCCUCGAGCGCCGCCACCCCCUCGUCCCUCCCCGUCCCCCGGUUUUGGGACUCUCCCCACGAGCCCCUCCUCCUCAUCGAACCUUGAUCUGGCCAGAUCCAUCCAUUCCACCAGGACCGCCGUGGCUAUGGCGGCAGGCCACCAGGAUGGUGGAGGGAACCAGGACCGCCGUGGCUAUGGUGGCUAUGUGGUCGCUACCGCCUCUGCCAGCAACAAACGACGUGCUUCUUGCUGAUUAGCAGGUGUUCGGUGAGCCGCGUCGCUGGAGUGGGUCAUCUCCAAUGGCCCCGGUACCAGCGGCGGUGAGGAGUAGGACGACCGGACCGUGCGGCGGGAGGUGGUGCUCGCAGCAGCCGCUCGCAUCCCCAUCUGGACAUCCUCACUAUCGUCGUCACCUUUGAGUUCAGCAUCGGUGAGUGUCUUCCUUUUCUUUCUAAUCACUAUCAAUCAAUGAAGGUAUUUGUGGCUGCUCAAAUAAUAUCUGUGUGCCAAAUAAAUUGCUAUGUAGGAACUAAAUUUUUUUGCUCUGAAGGUGCCGGCGUCGGUGAGGCAAUUUAUCAAUGGUGGGUUCAGUAGUUAGUGGUAACUCAAAUCUGCUGCUAUUUUGUUUGCAGCCAGAGAAGAAACAUGUUCAUGCCAUUUUCUUCACUGAUUGGCAUUGAUUCGGCUUCACACAGUUGUUGCUUCUGCUUCGGCUGAAAAAUGGAACGAUGCCAGUGUGUUCUUGAAGCUUAGUUAGCCGAAUAGACCUGCCAGAUUACUCAAUAGUUCAUCAUUUUUAAUCAUCCCAAGCCCAAGGAUUAUUGUUCAGCUAGCUCUACAAAUACCACACUGAUAGCCAAGCUGAUAGUGCGAUCACUGUUGUUUUAGUCAGAAACAAAUGGCCUGCACCUUUUCAGAUCAUACUACUACCGGCUUCAUAAUUUAGCACCCCUCACCACCGGAAUUCCAAGAUCAAGCUGCAUCCCCGUAACACCAAAUGCAAUGCUUCCAAUGUGUUCUUGCGGCUUAGUUAGCUCAGUGUAGCAAGUAGUAAUUGGCAUGUCGCAUUGUUAAACAGUUGGUUGUCUUCAUUUUCCCCAAAUUGUGGUGGAUCUGCAAAUCCUCCACUGCUAACCAAGCUGCGAAUGCAAAUACUACUGUUUUUUUAAAUAGAGAUGUCAUUGUAUUUUACCCUUUUCUGAACAUACUGACUCUUUUAUAAUUUAGCACAUGGCUACCUGAAUUUUUGUAAGAUCGAACCUACGACCUCAUGGCACUAGAAAGCAUGAGAUUCUUUGCUGAUCGACUAAACCAUUAUUUGCCAAGUCUCCGAUUAUUAAUUGUGUUAAAGAUAAACGAUUGACGUCUCUUCAGCUUGGACGUUAUUAACAUGAGCUUUUUGUGCACAAAUUGUUGAUCUAACACAAGAAUAAUCUUGUAAUUCCUGAAAUUUCUAUGGGACCAGGUCUUAAGUCUUGUGUUUCUAUUAAUUGUUGUGGAAUUUUAAGUCUGAUUCCUGAAUGUAGAACCUCCAUUUGUCAUUUGGUUGCUCAUAUUUUGUAUGCUCUCUUAUGUUUGAUUGUUCCAAUUAUCAGGAUGAUCGGAAGCACUUGGGAGAAGCGAAGUGUUCCUCAUGUUAUGUGUGAUAAACUAAAAUUUAUCUUCUUUGUCCAAUCUCUGUAGAACUAUGUUGAUUUAUUCUUGUGCACUUCUAGGGUGUUUUUGUUGUCCGCUUGCACGUUUAGAACCAUUUGUUGCGCACUUGUGCACUUGUUGUGCCUCGAAACUUAUAUGUACAGAUUCCCAGAUGUUGUAUUGUAUUCCAUGUGAUGUGUUGGUGAAAUGAAAUAUACAGUUUAUUUGCAAUACUGUAAUUUGUUGUACUCUGUGCUUGUUUUCAAAUGGGCCUAACAUGAGAUAUGCAUGAAAAAAUAAUAAUGCAUCUGCCUGAAUAAAUCAGAACAUUUUAAUAAAAUAAUAGGUAUUGGGCCAGGCCCAUGUAAACUAGAUUGGGAUGUGAAAUUUAUGAUGAUUCCAUUUGGUCACUAACAAUGCCACGUAAGCUCACCCACAUCAGAUCCUAUGUGGCUCAGUCAAAUGAGUAAUGACCAAAUCAAAAUUUUGGUCAAUAGAGAGCUACGACGAAAAUUUUAGAAAGGUCAUGUUUGUUCGUUCUUGACGGCCAACUGUUGACCUUUUGAAUUUGGUCAUCGAAAGGUCAUAAAACAUAAAUAAUGACGAUAUAGUGACAAAAAUAGAGGGUCAAUAAUGAACGAAUUUCUUGUAGUGGAAGCAGCUCAUGAAGGAAUUUGGAUGAAGGAGCUCAUCACCGACCUUGGAGUGGUUCCAAGCUCGUGGGGUCCAAUGACACUCUUCUGUGAUAACACUGGGGUCAUUGCCAUAGCCAAGGAGCCCAGGUUUCACCGGAUGACGAAGCACAUCAAACGCCGCUGCAACUCCAUCCAGGACCAUGUCCAGAGUGGAGUAAUAGAGAUUUGUAAAGUACACACGGAUCUGAAUGUUGCAGACCCGUUGACUAAACCUCUUUCACGAGCAAAACAUGAUCAACAUCAUAAAGCUAUGGGUGUUCGAUACAUCACAAUGUAACUAGAUUAUUGACUCUAGUGCAAGUGGGGGACUGUUGGAAAUAUGCCCUAGAGGCAAUAAUAAAAUGGUUAUUAUCAUAUUUCCUUGUUCAUGAUAAUCGUCUAUUGUUCAUGCUAUAAUUGUGUUAACAGGAAACAGUAAUACCUGUGUGAAUAAAUAGAUCACAAUAUGUCCCUAGCAAGCCUCUAGUUGGCUAGCUCGUUAGUAAAUAGAUGAUCAUGGUUUCCUCGUCAUAGGCAUUAGAUGUCAUUGAUAACGGGAUCACAUCAUUGGGAGAAUGAUGUGAUGGACAAGACCCAAUCUUAAGCGUAGCACUAGAUCGUAUUGUUCGUAUGCUAAAGCUUUUCUAAUGUCAAGUGUCUUUUCCUUCGACCGUGAGAUUGUGCAACUCCCGGAUACCGUAGGAGUGCUUUGGGUGUAUCAAACGUCACAACGUAACUGGGUGACUAUAAAGGUGCACUACGGGUACCUCUGAAAGUGUCUGUUGGGUUGGUACGAAUCGAGAUCGGGAUUUGNNNNNNNNNNNNNNNNNNNNNNNNNNNNNNNNNNNNNNNNNNNNNNNNNNNNNNNNNNNNNNNNNNNNNNNNNNNNNNNNNNNNNNNNNNNNNNNNNNNNNNNNNNNNNNNNNNNNNNNNNNNNNNNNNNNNNNNNNNNNNNNNNNNNNNNNNNNNNNNNNNNNNNNNNNNNNNNNNNNNNNNNNNNNNNNNNNNNNNNNNNNNNNNNNNNNNNNNNNNNNNNNNNNNNNNNNNNNNNNNNNNNNNNNNNNNNNNNNNNNNNNNNNNNNNNNNNNNNNNNNNNNNNNNNNNNNNNNNNNNNNNNNNNNNNNNNNNNNNNNNNNNNNNNNNNNNNNNNNNNNNNNNNNNNNNNNNNNNNNNNNNNNNNNNNNNNNNNNNNNNNNNNNNNNNNNNNNNNNNNNNNNNNNNGACAGACAAAGGGAAUUGUAUACGGGAUUGAUUGAAUCCUUGACAUCGUGGUUCAUCCGAUGAGAUCAUCGUGGAGCAAGUGGGAGCCACCAUGGGUAUCCAGACCCCGCUGAUGGUUAUUGGCCANAAUCGAGAUCGGGAUUUGCCACUCCGUGUGGCGGAGAGGUAUCUCUGGGCCCACUCGGUAGAACAUCAUCAUGAGCUCAAUGUGACUAAAUGAGUUAGUCACGCGAUGACGUGCUACGGAACGAGUAAAGAGACUUACCGGUAACGAGAUUGAACAAGGUAUAGGUAUACAGACGAUCGAAUCUCGCGCAAGUUCUAUACCGACAGACAAAGGGAAUUGNNNNNNNNNNNNNNNNNNNNNNNNNNNNNNNNNNNNNNNNNNNNNNNNNNNNNNNNNNNNNNNNNNNNNNNNNNNNNNNNNNNNNNNNNNNNNNNNNNNNNNNNNNNNNNNNNNNNNNNNNNNNNNNNNNNNNNNNNNNNNNNNNNNNNNNNNNNNNNNNNNNNNNNNNNNNNNNNNNNNNNNNNNNNNNNNNNNNNNNNNNNNNNNNNNNNNNNNNNNNNNNNNNNNNNNNNNNNNNNNNNNNNNNNNNNNNNNNNNNNNNNNNNNNNNNNNNNNNNNNNNNNNNNNNNNNNNNNNNNNNNNNNNNNNNNNNNNNNNNNNNNNNNNNNNNNNNNNNNNNNNNNNNNNNNNNNNNNNNNNNNNNNNNNNNNNNNNNNNNNNNNNNNNGCUGAUGGUUAUUGGCCACAGAGGUGUCUUGGUCAUCUCUACAUGUUCCCCGAACCCGUAGGGUCUACACACUUAAGGUUCGAUGAUGCUAGGGCUAUAGGGAAUUGUUAUACGAGGUUAUCGAAAGUUGUUCGGAGUCCCGGAUGAGAUCCCAAACGCCACGAGGAGCUCCGGAAUGGUCCGGAGGCAAAGAUUGAUAUAUAGGACGGAUGGUUUCGGACACCGGAAGUGUUUCGGGCGUCACCGGUAACGCACCGGGACCACCGGAGGUGGCCCCGGGGGUCCACCGGAAGGGGGCAACGACCCCGGGAGGCUAGAUGGGCCAAGUGCGAGAGGGGACCAGCCCCUAGGUGGGCUGGUGCGCCUCCCCACACUCAGCCCAAGGCGCAGGAGGUGGGGAGAGGGGGAAACCCUAGGCGCUGGUGGUCCUAAGGCCCACCUACGGGUGCCCCACCCCUCCCCCCUGCCCUGGCCGCCGCACCUCCCAUCUGGGGGGGUGCCGCACCACCUAGGGUGGGAACCCUAGGGGUGGCACCCCCCUCCCUUCCUCCUAUAUAUAGUGGGAGUUUCGGUGCUCUUUUACACACAGUUUUCUCUCUCCCACGACGCAGCCGUGCUCUUCUUUCUCCUCCUCUCUGCCGGUGCUUGGCGAAGCCCUGCCGGGAGACCUCGUCUCUCCAUCGACACCACGCCGGCGUGCUGCCGGAGAUCUUCCCCAACCUCUCCCUCCUCCUUGCUGGAUCAAGGUGCGGGAGACGUCACCGGGCUGCACGUGUGUUGAACGCCGAGGUGCCGUAGUUCGGCACUAGAUCGGAAUCACACCGCAAUCUGAAUCGCCGCGAGUACGACUCCAUCAACCGCGUUCUAGUAACGCUUCCGCUUAGCGAUCUUCAAAUGUAUGAAGACGCACUCACCCCUCUCUCGUUGCUGGUCUCUCCAUAGAAAGAUCUGAAUAUGCGUAGGAAAAACUUUGAAUUUAUGCUACGUUACCCAACAUUGACAUCAUCACUCUACCAGAAAAACCGAGACUGAUAGAAAUCCAAACUUUUUCGCACCCCAACUGGUACUUCAAAAAAUGAUAGGAGGAACAUGAGCAUGCUUGAUAAUACAGAAUUAAAAAGUACCAAACGUCCUCGAUUGGAUAAAAGAUUGCGUUCCCAGCAACCUAACUUUUUUUCGAAUCGAUCCUCGAUACAUUUCCACUUCUUAUUUGAUAACUUUCGGUGGUGAAUAGGAGUCCCUAAUUACGUGAAAUGGAAAUUCUCGCUUUCACAACCGAACAGUUGGUUAUAAGUGUGCUGUUCUGUUUUGGCCUUUUCAAAGCAAAACAAUUCACUUUUAUUAAAAUUAAUCUUCAGUCCAGAUAGCUGCUCAAAUAAGCAUAAUAUAAGUUUCAUGUUUCUGACCUUGUUAAGAUCAUGCUCAUGCAAGGAAUCAUCCUCGUUUUGCAAAAAAUAUAUAUACCGUGCUCACACUCUCACAACAAUAAUGUACUAUUGCUAAAACAACUCAUGAAAGAUAUCACCAUUCAAACCAAACCUAUAACAGCAUAAUAAAACACUACCAGAAAACUCAUUGCAUGUUCAUUUAAUAGUGGACGACCAUCACGUCAUCGUAUCUGUCGACGGAUGGACUCCGCUCCCCACGGUUGGCUUCGGUUGCAGGCGCCGUCUUCAUUGAAAACGGCAAGUUAGAGCCAGCCAGCGACACCGAGAGCACCCGGGCAUUUCCUGACUUUCCACAGAGAGCACAGAAACCGUUCAUCCAUGAUGCCCUCGCAGUCGCCGCAGGCGCAAGAACUACCUUAGCACGGUAGAAACGCAAUUUCGAACACUGUACGGUUAGUCCACGUCGGUUCAUGACCCCCACCGUUUACGGGACCCGCUAACCGCGACUAACCCACUUUCGCGCAUGUUACCGUCGGUCCCACCUCACUAGUAGAAAAUUAGGCUUCCGGUCGGAACAGAAAAUUGCAUUAGCCUCGGGUCAAAAUAAAACCGAGAUCAAUGCCAGGCAUGGGUCCCGAUUCACGGUGCCAGGGCCUUGCGGGGCAAUAUUCCUCGUAGUAAGUGGGGAGUGCCAACGUAAUUGUCCAUACGGAUAAUGAUCAUUCAGAGCCUUGGGGAGUGCCAAAGUAAUUGUCUGAUGUCAACACAGUGUAUGCGUGUUUGUAUGGGCGCUUGCGACUGUACUGUGUUAAAAACAAGCGACUCAAUAGUUACGGCAAAUAUUAUCAUAUCUUAAUUGUUACCCAGAUCUUAAUUUGAACUAUUUUUUUCAUAUCCGGCAGAAAGAUAAUGGUUUAUAAGGGAUAUUUGAGCCACGAGGCAUGACAUAUUCCUCACCUCUUUGGGGCACCUAAACACUCAAACAACGACAACAAUGCUAACUAUAUCCAUUCACUACGGGUGAAACCAGACUUUCUCCUGCACUCAUCUAUGCAGCAACGGUGGCAUCCCCAAACCCCUUCAACAGGGCUGGUCCUCAUACCAAAGAUCAGGCAUGACUAAAGCAUACUGUCACUCGAUUAUAUAGGUUUAAAUAUGUGUUAAUUCGAUAAUACACCAAACAUUGAUGCUAAAAAGUGAUUGUAGUACUAAAGUAAUAAAAGUGAUCUCAUUAUCUGCCGAAAACCAUCAUCCAUCUACUAUCAGUUUUGUUAUUGUACAGUGCACAUUGCUGAUAAUUGCAAGAAAAGCUAAAGAUAUGAGUUACAGAGAACAAUAUAUGAACAUUCGCUACAACUUGCUGGAUAAAUCUCGCCACCUAUGGAUGGAAAAAAUCAAGUAAUAUAAUUGAUUGGCUCAGAGACUUGUGAUUAACACCACGGAGUUAAUAACGAAUGAACUAGGGGUGGCCGAUAAAUGAACAUGGGAUUGUCUGUGUAGAGGAUAUUAACCUAGAUCGGUGGUCACCUGAUCCAUUGCAAGUUUUUUAUUUGACUUCCGAUCCGUUGCAAGUUAGUGACAGGUCCUUCGUACCUUCGCAAAGGUCAAGUAAUCGGGUCAUGAGUGUGCGAUCGGUGAAAUAGCCUUUUCGUGGUUAAUUUUUCUUUUUUUCUGGGAAAGGGGAGGGGGUGGCAUCUUGGGACAAGUCAAAUUACAAUAAAGUUUUUAUAUAAUUAAAAAACACAUUAUUUAAUCAAAAGUAAUAUGCUUAAUUAAACUGACCACAAAUAUUCCUAUAAAAAAGAUCAUUACAAAUAAUAUUACACCAAUAUAUGUUAAGGAUAGAUAUAUGUUAGUAACUUGUAAGCAAUGACCAUCCUUUAAAUGUAAAGGGAAUUCGAUGAGUCAUGUCAUGACCUAUAGGUGUCGGUUCAUCUUAUGAUCUGGGAGAACAAUACAAAGCUAGUUUUAUAAAAAACAGUCGAGUCUAGAAGAACGGUCCACAUGUAAGGCUUUAAUAAUCGAGCAUAUCUUAACAACCCACACACGAUUGCAACUUAGUCCUACAAAAGUUUUGCCUUUCUUGUUUCUCGCUAACAACCUAUACAAGGUUCCAAAAUCGUUUGCAGAAGUGAUACUAGCUUGAUAAGUGCGUGACAUGUAAAGUGAAUAAGGUGAGUCAUGUAUACCAAACCUCGGGAUUUCUAUACUUUGUGUAUGAUCAUAUGCACAACUAAAAAGGAACUUUGAUGAUCAAUCCAAAAGUACGUUUGUAGCUUGUGCAACCUACCAUAAUGUACCAAAAAUCCAUUUCCAAACAUCGAAACACAAUUGUUAAAGUUGAUGCAAAGAAGGAAAGAGAUGAAGCCAUGGCUACUAUAAAUAGGCAUGUAGUACACAGAUCAUCACAAGCACAAGCAUGAAAACGAAGCAACACUAGUUAACACCAAUCCACCAUGAAGACCUUCCUCAUCUUUGCACUCCUCGCCAUUGCGGCAACAAGUACGAUUGCGCAGCAACAACCAUUUCCGCAACAACCCAUCCCACAACAACCACAACCAUACCCACCACAACCAUACCCACAACAACCACAACCAUAUCCACAACAACCCUUCCCACCGCAACUACCAUUUCCACAACAACCCGUCCCACAACAACCACAACCAUACCCACAACAACCCUUCCCACCGCAACAACCAUUUCCACAACAACCACCAUUUUGGCAACAAAAACCAUUUCCACAACAACCACCAUUUGGGCUACAACAACCAAUUCUAUCGCAGCAACAACCAUGUACACCACAACAAACACCACUCCCACAAGGACAACUGUACCAACCGCUUCUGCAACUACAAAUACAAUAUGUUCAUCCAUCUAUUUUGCAACAGCUAAACCCAUGCAAGGUAUUCCUCCAGCAGCAGUGCAGCCCUGUGCCAAUGCCACAACGUAUCGCUAGGUCGCAAAUGUUGCAGCAGAGCAGUUGCCAUGUGUUGCAGGAACAAUGUUGCCAACAACUGCCCCAAAUCCCCGAACAAUUCCGUCAUGAGGCAAUCCGUGCAAUCGUCUACUCUAUCUUCCUGCAAGAACAACUCCAACAAUCGGUCCAAGGUGUCUCCCAACCCCAACAACAGUUGGGGCAGCAGCAAGUCGGACAAUGUUCUUUCCAACAACCUCAACCACAACAAGUUGGCCAACAACAACAGGUACCACAGAGUGCUUUCUUGCAGCCACACCAGAUAGCUCAGCUUGAGGCGACGAUUUCCAUUGCGCUGCGUACCCUACCAACGAUGUGCAGUGUUAAUGUGC
RNAcentral lists this long non-coding RNA (162115 nucleotides) under Hordeum vulgare. RNAcentral describes it as "long non-coding RNA (HVUL_LNC000031)". Lineage: Eukaryota; Viridiplantae; Streptophyta; Magnoliopsida; Poales; Poaceae. The record is from RNAcentral.